This 91237-nucleotide non-coding RNA is filed under the name Pongo abelii (Sumatran orangutan). The record is from RNAcentral. Lineage: Eukaryota; Metazoa; Chordata; Mammalia; Primates; Hominidae.
AGAACGGUCGCCGCGUCGCCUCAGCACGGACCUCCAGGAAGCUCCUCAGCAAGAUCCUGCCAGGGCGCCCCUCAGCGUGGCUCUCCCCGGGGUUCCUCAGCGCGAUUCUCCGGGUGCGCCCCUCAGCGCGGUCCUCCCCGGUGCGUCCGUCAUCGUGGUUCUCCCCGGCGCGCCCCUCGGUGAGGUUCUCCUCGGGGCUCCUCAGCGCGGUUCUCCCCGGGGCUCCUCAGCGUGGAGCUCUUCCAGGGGCUCCUCCCCGGGGCUCCUCGGCGCGGUUCUCCCCCGGGCUCCUCGCGCGGUUCUCCCCCGGGGCUCCUCGGCGCGGUUCUCCCCGGGGCUCCUCGGCGCGGUUCUCCCCGCGCCCGGGCUCCUGCGCGGUUCUCCCGGGGCUCCUCGGCGCGGUUCUCCCCCGGGGCUCCUCGGCGCGGUUCUCCCCUGGGACUCCUCGCCACGGUUCGGUUCUCCCCGGGGGCUCCUCAGCACGAUUCUCCUCCGCGCGGUUCUCCUUGGGGCUCCUCAGCUCGGUUUUCCCCAGGAGCUCCUCAGCGCGACUCUCUGGGGCUCCUCAGCGGGGUUCUCCCUGGCGGCUCCUCAGCGCGGCCCUCCCCAUCUCUCUGGGAGGGUUUGAACACGGUCAGCACGGAACUGGGCGGACGGCGUGGGACGGGUGAUCACUGGCGUUGCUGAGGUGAGCUGUGUGCCCCGCGGCCGUCCCAGAUCACAGGCGUCAGCAGUACAGCCUGGCCUGGGCAGUGCGCUCCCAUCUGCACCUUAUGGACAGCGUGGCCAGGGUCCAGGUCCGAGUUCCUGGCCGCGUCCCAAGAAUCGGAUUCCAGGUCUAUAGUUCUCAUGGUGGUUCAGAGUGGGCUGAAUUGGGAUUGGAGUCUGGAAUCCGCAUCGUGGUUCUGAGUCCGCGCUAUUGGGAUGGAAGUUGGGAAUCCAUGUUGUGGUUUUGAGUCAAAGCCCGAAUUGGGACCGGAGUCGGAAAUCCACUUAGUGGUUCUGAGUCAGGGCCCGAAUUAGGAUCGGAGUUGGGAAUCCCCGUUGUGGUUCUGAGUUAGGUAUCCUAGUUGGGAUCAGAAUUCGGGUCUAGGGUCCACAUCCUGGCUGGGAGUUUGCCUGAGUUGGGAUCUGAGUAGUUGGGGUCCCAGUCAGUCCAGGUCUGGAGUCCGCAUGGUGGUUUUAGGUUGGGCCUCAUUAGGGACAGAGGAUCGGGAGUCUGAGUUGGGGACCUGAAUCCCUGUCUGGAGUCUGCAUCAUGGCUCUGAGUUGAGAUCCAAGGGAGGUCCGAGUUGGCGACUGGAGUUAGGGUCUGGAGUCUGUCUUUGGGUAGAGGUUCUGAAUGCGGGGCUCUGAGUUAAGAGAUUGGGAUUGGGGUUAGAGGUCUGAGUGGGGUAUGGGAGUCAGGAAUUGAAGUCGAAGUUCUGCAUCUAGGUGGGGAUUCUGAGUCAGGAACUAGGGGGCGAAGUAAAGGUUACAGUCUGAGUUGGGGGUGGUGAUCACCUGCCAGGUGAGAGGUAGUGGUAGAAGUCUUGGUCAUAUUGGAGAUGAGAGUUGAUUGGAUGGUGGUCUCAGUCUGGGUAGUAGGCUUGAAGGGCCACCACUAUGUUCAGAUCCCAGUGCCCCACUGUGGUCCCUGAGCAGGUCAAAUAGCCUUUUCUAUAAAAUUGGGGGUAAGAGUGCCUUCUCACAGAACUGUUCUGGGUAUAAAAGAGAAUAAUUCAUCCAGGUAGAAUAGUUCUGUCUUAGAUUAUCACAAAGUAUAAAAACUUUCCUGAUAAUAUCCACAUUUGAUGUGCAUUUACCAGUUCUUUCUUUACUGUGGUGCCCCUCUUGCUAGACCAAAAGCUCCCAGGGAGGAACUCUGUUUUGUUUUCUGCUGCCUGCUCUGUAACCAGCCAAGAGCCUGAUACACAGCCUUACUCAGUCAGUACUUGAAGGAAAGCAGGCAGGCAGGAUUAACCAGAUUUCUAUGGUGUCUCAAAUGAUCCAUUUCUGCACCUGUUUUCCAGAUACUCACUAGGAGAAAAAUUUAAGGAUUGAGUUGCUUGAUUAUGGUUGUAUUUUAAUGUGUUUCCUAACAUGCUGAGGAGAAAAGUGGGUCUGUUUCAGGAUUUAUGCUCCAGCUAGAGGGAUUUUUUAAAAUUGCGAAUCAGAGCAUGUCCAAAUUCAGAUAGACAGCACAAGAAAACUAUAAAGAAUUUCCCUUACGAAUGUAGAUGCAGAAGUUCCGUGUACAAUGCUAGCUAACUGAAUCCAAUAAUAUAUAUUAAACAACAAUUCUUAAACAAGUGGGAUUUCUCUUAGGAAUGCAAAGAUGAUCCAAUAUCAGAAACUUUAUCCAUGUAAUUCACAUUAAGAGGCUACAGGAGAAAAACCAUAUGGUUCUCUCAAUAGAGGCAGAAAAAAUGAUGUGAUAAAGUUUAACGCCUAUGUGUGAUUUUGGGGUAGUGGAGGACACCACUUAGCAAGCCAGGACUAGAGAGGAACUUCUUCAACUUGAUACAAGUUAUAAACCAAAACUUAACUUUUCAGUAAACUUGAUAGAGAAAUUAAAAAUGUAUCAUUCUCUUUAAGAUAAGGAGUAGGCCAAGGAUGUCAUCCUGGCCAUACCCUAAUACAAGAAAAAGAAAUGGAGAUGUGAGGAUCGGGUAGGAAGUGAUAAAACUUAGUGUAGCUCAUAGGAUUGAUGGUCUCCAUAAAGGUUCUCAAACAUUUUGGUGUUACGACUUGUUGUAUUCUUAAAAGUUAUUGAAACCCCCAAAGGGCUUUUCUUGAUAGAGAUUCUAUCUAUUGAUAGUUACCAUCUUAGAAGUUAAAACUAAGAAAUGUUUAAAGCAGAACUAUACAAGCACAUAUUCCAGUGGGGUCAUGGUGUGCUGCCUCUGGAAAACUCUUUAUCUUUGUGAGAAUGAAAGAAAAGGCAAAUAAUGUCUGAGUAUUAUUAUGAAAAUGUUUUUGACCUUUCCUGAAAGGGUCUGGGGGACUCUCUGGAAUCCCUAUACUACACUUUGAAAAUUACUGGGCUACAUGGAAAAAAAAAUUAAGGAACUUACAACUAAAGAGAGAUUUCAGAUUUCAGAGAGGUUUUGGAUAUAAGAUCAGUGUACUCAAAACAAAAAACAAAAACAAACCACAUUUCUUUAUGCCAAUGGCAACUGACUAAAAAAAAAAGCAUAACAGAGAUUAGGACAGCAAUCAGAAUAGCAACAAAAUUUAUACCAGUCUAGGAAUUAAUAAAGACGAUGACUUUUAUGGAAAAAAUUUUAAAACUCUAUUGGAGGAUAUAGAGGGAGAUCUUUCCAUAUGCAGAGACAUUUUAUUUUCUUGAGUGGGGCAACUUGGCAUUAGAAUGACGUCAGGAUUUUCCAAAUCUGUAAGUUCAAUAGGACUCCACUCAAACUUCCAGUUGGAGGGCUUGAGUAAUUUAACAAACAUAUUCUAAAAUGUAUGUGGAAGAAAAAUAUUUGUAAAUGCCAACUGAACUUUUGAAAAGGAGAGCAGAGGACUUCUGCUGGCAGAUACCAGGGCACACGCCAAGCUUCAGCAAUCAGAGCGGUGUGGUGACAGAGGCCCACAAGAGAGCUCAGAGGUAACUCCAAGUCUAGAGGAAGGGGACAUGUGAUAAAGGUGGCACCACAUAUCAGUGGGGACUGUUCAGAAGAUGAUGUUGGAAAGCCAGCCCUAAAAUGGAGGAAUAGGAAUAUGGAUUCCUAACUGAGCCCCUAGGAAAAGUAGGCUCCAAAUGGACUAAAGAUUUGAAAGCAAAAGGUAGUUGCCAUUUGUUUAAUAGUAGAAAAAAUGAAUAAUCUCCAGGGCCAGGGUGGCCGUGGGGUUCUUAAACAGGAUCCAGAAAGCACAAACCUCAAGACUAAAAUGUAUGAACUUGAAUGCAUUAAUGAUUAUGGAUUAAGGAUUUCUGUUAAAUAAAUCCAUCAUGGCAAGGGUCAGGACUGUUUUCAUAAUAAUACUAAGGAAACGAUUUGCGUUUUUCACUUUUACACUCAUGAAUUUAACUUUGCCAUGACUAGUUACAAGAUAAUUUGAAACAAAGCUGAGGAGGGAACAACAGCUAAAAUAUACCAGAAAGCACCACAAAUCAUUAAGAAAAAGGUAGGAAGAUUGCCAGUUUGCAGGAGGGUUAACAAACAGAUGAAAAUUUGCCCAAGCUAAUCAGUUAUCAGAGAAAUGUAAAUGAAAGCAACAGCUAUUCUUCAUAGAAGCGUUAGAAAGUAGGAUAAGGCCAAGUGUUGGCAGAAGGCAGGGAACAAGUCUCCCUGUGUGCUGCAGGUGGGGACGGAGACAGGCACAGACGUUCUGAAGAGCUGGCCAACACUUCUUCCUCAAAUAAAAUAUUUUAUACCUGUGGCCCAGCAGUUUCCCUCCUAAGUAAACAUGCUGGAGCAGUUCUCACCCAGAACAACGAGAGGCUGUGUGUGUGCAUGCUCAGGGCAGCGUGGCCCAUAGGGGUGGGCAGUUGGAGCUGGUCACUGUGGUUAGGAGCAGGGGACUAGAUGUACACUUCACAAGAUAGAGACGUGUGGAAACACAGUGCUGAGUGACACAAAUGCCAAACAGAACGAGGGCCUCAGUACAUGACUGUGUAUUUAAAUUAAAAUUACACACCACCCAGACACGCAGUACUAGGGAGUGCUCGUGAGUGCACACACACACAAUGAUAUAAAUAAAUUACCCUGGAGCAGCUGUUUGUGUAGGGAGGAGAGCAAGGAUAGAGGAUAGAGAUGAAGUGGAAAAGCAUGGAGAGGAAGAGAGCAGCGACUUUAUGCAGACCCUUACAGGGUGACAGUGUUUCAUAGGCUGAGGGCUGUGAUCAGCUCUGUGCAGAGUCCCAAAAGCCAAGAACGAACGAAUGAAUGUGCCUCCAUGACUCUCCUGCCAGAUACCCUCUAGUGGCUUCUAUUUCUAGGAAAUAAAAUUCAAAUUCCGUCAGGUUUUUACAAGACCUGCCCUGCUUACCUCUCUGACCACUGUCCUCCCUCACUGAGCUUUGGCUCUGCCAGCCUUCUUCUUCUUUGUUAAAUCUGCCAAGUAUCCCUCCUGCCCCAAGGCCUUCACCACCUCUGCCUGGCUUGUCUUUUCUGGUGAUCUUCCCUUGACAAUUCCUUCUUAUUUAAAUCUCACAGGAAAUUUUGCUCUGACCUGCCGUAUCUGUCAUCCCUUUCAGUCACUCACUAGCUGAGGACUACAUUUCAAGUCUCUGCAAAGCACAGGCUACGCUUUUCUAGGCAUCUACUUAUUUGUUGGCUGCCUAUCUCUUCUACCGGAAGGGAGGCCCCAAGAGAGCAUAUCUGUCUUCUGUAUAGGGUCUGCACAUGGUGGGUGUGUCACAGAUUUCUGUUGAAUGGUUUCAUUCAUUUAUUGAAUGAAGGAAGAGGCCAGGCCAGGAAAGUGUGCAUCCAUUUUCACAACUCAGUGAGAAAGCAAAUAGCAUGUCAAAAUCUGACCCCUUGCAACCAGGGUUUCUUAGCCAACCACACUGGUAAUGCUUGGGACAGGAUGUAUCUUUGUUGUGAGGGGCUGUCAUUUAUAUUGUAAGAUGUUUAGCACCCUGCCUCGUCUCUACCUAGUAGAUAUUAGUAAUUCUCCCAUAGUUGUGAUAGCCAAAAAUGUCUCCAGAUAUUGCCAUAUGUCCCCUGGGGGGCACUGCAGAUGACAACCACUUCCUUAGACCAGCUCUUGGGACUGGGAUGGUGUCUCUGCUCUGGCUCUUUAAAGGCAGCAGGCCCUGGCUUGCAUCCUGCCACAUCUAACACCUAUAGCCUCACCACCUCUGUGAGAAAGACCCUGGCCCAGGCCUGGCCAAUCAGAGUACCCUCUUCCCUGGUCAGCAGUAUAAUUUGAGUUUGGCAAGCACUUCCAGUCCCACAACCUAUGGGUUGCCACCCAGAGGUUUAGUUGGAACUACGUUUCAGCUGCAGUCCCUCAGCCAUCUAUGGCAUGGGCACCUGUGGCUUGACCAAGUUGGAGGUGGCCUAGAGAGGCCGGGCUGGGCCUGCUCACCUUCUCCAGUUAGUGCAGACUGAUGAAUGAGUGGUUCUCGGCGGAUACCAGAUCCAGGUUUGCAGUACACUCCAGGAGGAGGACGAGAAGGGUUUCUCUCAGAGCAGGCCUGGAUGGGAGGGCAAGGGGUGGCCUCUAAUACUGCCUUUCCUUCCGGUGCCUUUAUCAGCCUGUGCCAUGCUCCUCUGAACUGGCCGGCCCCAGCAUGUCCAGGUUACUGGCAGGAGCCUGGAUAACCCAGGGUUCCAGUCAGACCAGCCAGGAAGGCCCAGGAGGCUAGAGCGCACCCAGUCUCUGGCUGCUCUGUCUGCGGAACUAAAAGCCUUUCUCCCAGAGCCUUUCGUACGGCUGGGCGAGGCUCUUGUUUGCAAUUUAAAUGUGGCCUCAUUUAUGGAAGACUCCCUGCUCCUCCGAAAAGCCUUGGGUUCAACCUCCCUAGCAGCCCGGGCCUCAGCCAGGAGAAGAAAUGGAUCUAAAAGGCCUUUCUCCUGCUAAUUGUAGCAAUUAGCAUUAGAGAAUGGGGACUCGAUGGGGGGCCAGCGCCUGGCAAAACAAGCUUAUUCCCAGCUUAGGCCCAGGCCCAGCUCCACACACUGCUGCUUGGCCAGACUCAGCCCCCACCCAGGGUCUGGCUGGCUUCAGGGCAGGGAGAGAGGGCCCAGGCCUGCGGGUGCUAAGAGCAGUUGUGGAGGGCGUGCAUCUGAGUUGUUAAGACUGGUAGCUGUACAGGUAGCCCUGGGCUAUGACUUGUGGUCCUCUCAGAAAAGGGCCUGACUGGAACGCAGAGCCAGACCAGAUAUUCAUGAGUGGAUCAUAGAGUGCAGACUGAGGGCUAUCUGGUGAUGUGACAGAAAGUAGUCUUGGAGCAAAUGACUCUUAGAGAGUAAGGAGCCAUUCCCCUGUAUGGCUAACUGGAUGCCUUUCUCUCCCCCUACUCCAGAAAGGACUUCCUGUUCCUUCACUGAGUGUGCUUGCUUAUGAGGCUUCUGAGAACCAGGAGAGUUCAGUGGGCCUCAUUAUUGAGCGUAUGGGCACCACAACCUGCUUGAGACAUAGGCCAUGCUACAGUUGAUUUUAGCCAGCUUGCUGCAUCUACACAGCACAGUGCCUUCCCAGGCAGUGAAUUAUGUCUAACAGGCAGGGGAAUGAUCAUUGCCUCAUUUUAGGGAUGCAGUCAUUCAAGAAAUAUUUGUCAAACACUCACCAGGUACUAGACCCUGGCCCAGAGGGAGGGAUUUGAUAGGAGCAGGGACCUGCCUACCCUCCGAGGGUUUGUGGACAAAGGGGAGAAAGACUAACUAAUGUUGAAGGACCAUUUGCACCCUGAGGGGAGUGCUGAGGCCUGGGAGCACAGACGGUGUAUAGCAGGAACCCACUGGAACUAGCCUGGGGUCUGAGAAAACUCCCUUGGGGAAAGUGGCAGGGGCAGGCCAAGGGCCCUCUGGUGGUAGGGAGCCCGUGAGCACCUGGGAUGGAAAGAAGCCAAGCAUCUGAACUACCAGAAAAGCAGCUGCAGCAUUAAGCAAGACCCACAGGUCUCUAAACUUUGAAAGGAUUUCUGUCCACUGAGUAGAUAAUUGAUUGGAAUGGGGCAGGGGAUGUGAGAAUGCCAGUUAGGAGGUGCCUGCAGUACAGAGAAAUGGUGGUCUAUCAGGACAGUGGCAAUAGGGAUGGAGGGAAGCAGGGAACCUCUAGAACUAUGGAUGGGUGAAGUAAGCCUGGCUUGGUGAUGGGCUUGAUGCAGGUGGUGAGGAAGCGGGUGUAUCGGAAAUGACCCCAGAACUUCUGGCUUGUGCCACUGAAAGGAUGGGUGACAGACAGGGGCCUUCAGUAGAGUGGGCUAUAAAAUGAUGGAGGCUGUGGAGAGGAGGUGGGGGCAGGUGACUGGAAUGUGGGUCUGGCUGGGUUGGAGCGACAUUUGGGGGGUCAGGGCAUCACAGGUGGUCUGGAAGCCCUUGGUGCUGAGGGAACAGCUUAGGGAAAUGGCUUGCAUAGAGAAAGUCACUGGCAUUUAGUAGCCACGCCAGAAGGGAAAACCUGCCAAGGAGACUGAGGAUAGAGCCAGAGAGAUGGCAAGAAAGCCAGGAGAACUGGAGGGAUGGAAAAGAGGACCUAGGGGUCAUGGUCCUGGCAGAGGUCACACUGGAUCCAGUGCUUGUGAUUCUCUGAUUGCUGGCAGUGGAUGGCCACUGGCCUGCAAAUGGCCCUAGUGGAAUGUCCCCUGCCUGUGUGGCUCCCUGUGGGCUGCCUUUCCCCUGGACAGAUGGGGAGAGACCCCUUCCCCACCUGGUUCUCUGUUUCACCCUUGGAACUGUGGUGGUAAAGAGGACCUCCCCACAGUACAUGCAGGGAACAAGCUCGGCUGACUCCCUCAGGGAGGCCUCGUCCUUGCUGAGGUAUUUCAUAACCUCACAAGGAUAGAGAAAUCCCCCCAACUUUAAUGCAAAGCCAAGCAAGCUGAAAAAUGGCCUUGAAUAGGCUGAGAUGAAAAAACAAAGAGGCUGUCAACAUCAGAGACUCAGUGGGGGCAGGGAGCUUCAGUGGACUCCCCACAGACAGCAAUUCCUGGGCUUCUAUGCCCGGACCCAGAGGCCUGAGCCAAAGAUGUCAGGAUGGGUGGUCACUGUAAGUGCAGUGGAUUGCAGCUCAGAGGCAAGAGAUCUCCUUUUUCUUGUCAUCUCUCCUUCCUGAUUAGUGGCUCAAACAGCCUUCCGAGACUCAAGGGGUUAACUGCAGAUCCUCUAACUCCUCCACUUGCUAAUUUUUAAACACAGCUGAGCUCUGAGCACCCCUCCCAAGGCUGUGAGAGGCCAGAGGCCAGCACAGACUCUGCACUAGGUCUGCACAUCCUCCACCCCUACUGUUGUCAGGAAUCUGCAGGCAUCUAGAACAAAGGUUCCUCCAUUAUUUCCCUCACCCAGCAUAUCCUGAUACCUGAGCCAAGACUUCACCCAGAGCUUUUGCCCACUUCAUUGAUGGUCUGGUGGGCUUUUGUUGACACAUACCCGUGACUCCCAAAUGAACCUUUAAGGUUGGCUUAAAGCAGCUGGGACCUACACAUGACAAAACCCAGAUGGAAACAGUGGCUUACACUCCUAAAGAUACCUGUUCCUAACAGUGGGAGUGCCAAAGCCUGGAAGCUGGAAGCCAAGGAGACAGGGAGCUCCCUCCUGCUGACCCCCUGCCAGGCCACAUCCACCUAAGGGAUUUGGGAUCAUACUCCAUCUUCAACCACUGGGAUCAAAUGGAAAACCCUCAGGAAUUCUGAGAGACAGCCCCUAUACCUAUGUGCACUGACACACAUACACUGACAAAUAUGCAUUCUGACACAUAUAUGAACAUGUACAUACAUGUGCCCCACUCCCUGCCAGGAGGUGGGUUCUGUCUCAUCAUUGACAUGUUACUUCUUGUCCUUCCCUAGGCCCAGUGGCACUUUCUUUGUGAUAGGUGCUGAGACCCCCCACCGACUGGGCCCAGUGGCUGUUCCCAGGACCCAGCCUCUGCUCUUAGCUUACCCAGCUCUAGCUCCCAGGACCCCAGCUUUUCGCAGGGAGAGAGAUAGCUCUUUUGGUCUGGCACAUGUUCCAUGCCAAGUAGUUGAAACAGCAGCUGCAGGGCAGCCUCAGACUUGACAUCAUUUAAUCCUUGUGACAAUCCUACAGGGAGGAAGACACUACACAUACGUGCAGAUGCAGCAAAGAGCAGCUCAGCCACAUGGAAUGACUUGCUUGAGGUCACCGGACACUUGACACAACAGAGUUUAGCCCAGUCUCUGGAGAGACCAGCCUUCCACAUCCUGUCAUGCUGAGGAGGGCUGCCAGCUUUUGUCCCUGCUCCCCCAGUUCUAACCCUGGAAGAGUGAUUGUCCCUGCUGUGCCUUCAGCCCAGACAGAAGCAGGCUAAGAGAGGGGAGAAGAGGCAGGGCUGGCCCUUGGAAGGCUCACCUUCCUCACCAGUUCUCUGCUUGGGCAAAGGUCUUCCAAGCAGCCAAGCUCUGAGGCUAGUCACUGUCAUCGUCGGGUGAGGCAGCCUGGGAGUACCAGAGGUUGGAGCAGUUAGGAACCUUCCCCAGGGAAGGGGCUGGAUAGGCAGGGGUGGGUGCUAAGUGGCAGGCCACAACCAGGCACCUGGGAGGGCCAAGCACCACACUGAGAACGCAGUGCUUCCCCUCCCCUCCUAGGCUGCUCAGGAACCCAUCAGUCUCCUGUAAACAAAUGAGACUAAGUCUCUGGCACUCUUGGCCCAGGUGCAAAGGGCAGCUGCCCCUGCAGCUACUCACUCUGCCCUGGCCCUCUCAGGAGGCUAUGUGACCUCUGCACUUGCUGGCUUGUUUUGUUCCUAAAAUACCUGGAUGCUUGAGAAUCUAGACGACACCACUGCUAACAGAUUUCCACAUCGUUCAUUCUGUGCUUCAUGCUGGGACAGGGACCAUAAAACAAGGUGACCCAAAACUUUCAGCAGAAUGCAGGUAGGCAGAGCAGAGGUCUCUGGGAGUGUCAUUCCAAGGCAGUGUCUUCCUCCUCCCCUAUGCUCCCCAUUUCCCAAGAGUGGGCUUCUUCUACCCCACUCAGGCACCUCUUCCCAAGGCUGACCUAAAGGCCUCAAGCUCUGUGGAUAGGGGCAGUCCUGAGGUGGCAUUGAGUCUUAGGGUUGGAGUGGGAGAUAUCUGUGCAAAGGCUGAUAGGAACGUCCUCCAAGGGCUGACUUCAAAGCUUGGCCUAAACCACUGCAUCAAAGUCAGCAAGCUGAGCUGUUUGCACAGAAAAGGAGGAGGGGCAGGCCCUUGAGCCACCUGUAGCUCUCCUUACGGUCUCAGGCUUUCACACCAGGGCAGGCCUUGGGCCAGACUACCCAACUUCCAGGCCGGAUAUGCCACUGGGGUGGAGGAGGUAACUGCCCCUCAAAACCCUGCAGCCCAGGACUCCAGGAUUCCAACCCAGGGACCUGCAGGCUCCCCUGCUCUCCAGAUCAGACCCCUACUCUCAGAGCCCUAGGCCCAGUGGGGGAACAGCCUGUGAGAGAGGCCUGUGUGGGGUGGCCCUAGCCCCACCUCAGCUUCCAGCCUGACCUUGCUGCAUGACCUCUGGCCCAGCCCUCUCCACCUGGAGUGCCAUCUCUCUUUGUGGGGCCAGGUGGGUUGUGUGUGGGGGAGGGCAAGUAUAUAGGUGUGGUAUAGGUGGAAACUGCCACAGUACCCAGCAGCAGCUCAGAGCCGGGCCACCCAAUUUGUAUGCCAGCCCCAGCUGGGCCUAGGCACGUGGUGUGUGGAAAUAAACAAAGCAGGCAGCCCUAGGGUUAGGAGGCAGGUCCAGAGCUCACCCAGGCACAGCACAAGAUGAGUGCCUGGCCUCAGCGAGCGAGCACUGGCUGCUAUGCAGCUGUGGUGUGGAACCUUGACACUAGGGCCACUGGCCUGGCUGUGUGACCUCUACCUCAUCACCCAGAGCAGGGCAACCAGAGGCAGAGCCUCAGUGUGGUGUUCUCCUGUGAAAUAGUGAUGGCACAGGCAGGGGCUGGGGCCCAGUGCCUACACAGAGGAUCAGCAAAGGAUGGCAGUUAUUGAAACUUCUACGGGGAAGUUCCCCAGACACGAGAGGAAGACCCCCAUGGAAGCUGUGUGUGUAACGUGCUUAGAUUUUCCAGAGUCUUCAUUUUCCUUGUCUAAACAGAGGUCAUGGCGCCUCCCUCUCAGAUCAAACAGCCUUGUAUGAGUGGCUACAACCUUUGGUGGGCUCAGUGCAGCCCCUCCUGCCCCCUUGCUUGGGAGCUGUCUGUACAGGCCUGGGGAGCUGCGUGGGGUCUUUCCACCUCAGCCUGUCUCCCCACCCCCACCAGGUCCCCUGCCUGACUCCAGCAUACCCAGGCCCUAGAAGCACCAACUCCAUGGCUGCAGCUGAGUGGAGUGUGUGCCUGCCCAAGCCUAGAGGGGUGCUGACCCCUCCCUCACACGAGGAGACAUCAAAGGGAAGCAGGAAGCAGCGGCCUGGCUGACCCACAGCGGGUGGGAGAAGUGCAGCCUCACAACUGCUGGGGAUUUUCCAUCCCACCAGGAUUUCCGCGGGACACCCCAAGUCCAGCCUUUGAGGCUCCUCAGGAACCAGAGUUUGGCCUGGAGCCAGUUGGGGCAGAGGAGGGGGGCCAGGCUGGGUGGCUUAGGGGUGUGGUUAGGCCUGCUAGGGGGCUCCUCUUCUCAGUCUCCCCAUGAUUUGCUGGUUACUGGCUUGAAAUCUGGGCCCAGACCCAUUCCAACACUGAACCCUGAGCUCCCUGAGACCUGGCUGGCAAGGACAGGUCCCAAUUUUUACAGGGGCCUGAGAGGAAUGGAGAAGGGAUCUCUGCCCCUUCCCUUCUCAGUCACACCUCCUUGACAGGGGGUCAUCAGAGUGGGCUGUGGUAGGUGCACCAGGGAAGGGACCAUACAGAGGAGGCUGGUCUCAAAUCCUAGGGUGCCUGGGAUGGCCCUAUUGAAAUGCUGCAGCAGCUCCUGUGCAGGCAGGGAUCUGUAUGGACAGCUGGGUAGACACAGGUGCCUACUGACCUCCCAGAUCCUUCAGCAGAGCUCAGCCCUGAGUGACAGCCCAAGGCAGACCUGGCUACCUUAGCCUCUGGCUCACAACCCUCAGCCAGAGCCCUGAGAGGCCUGGGAUCUCAAAGCUGCAAGGUGGGAGGCCAGAGGAGAGAAGCCCGGAGCUGGUUGUGAUGCUGGCUGAGUGAAAAUUGCACAUGUCCCAACACUGCGAUGCUCCCUAUCCAGCCUGGGCUUUUGGCAGACUUCUGUGCUUUGAGGAGGAAGCUGGCUCAGAUUCCUCCCCUCCCUGUGCAGUUGUGUGUCAAGGUGUACUUGUCACACCCAACUCAGGAUAUCUUGCAUCACUUUUUGGGUCCCUGUCCCCCAGAGCUGGGACUGCUGAGUUUUAGCCCUAAGCUCUUGCUCCCGUCUUAGCAAGUCAGGGCCCAGUGUUGUCCUUGCCUUUGCAUCAGGAUGGUAAGCUGGGCAUGCUCUGCAUCACGGAGACCUGCAUGGACCUGGAUUGGGUUGCCUCUAUCUUCAGGCUGGUCACUGGGCAGACACAAACCAGGGCUUCUGGCCAGAGGGGACAAUGGCUCUGAGUUACUUUUGCUGCUCUUUAGGGGUGAGCAGGGGCUGCUUGUGCAUCAUAGCGCAUCACAGGGGAUGCACAUUUACAGUUGAAAGCUACUGGUACUGGGUAGAAGUGGGGCCGAGUAGGACUUCCCAGCCUUGAACAUGGGUUUGUCAUCCAACUGGGACCCACAUUUGAUCCAGCAGCCAUGCUCUGUGCAGCCUGGGUCUGAAGGCAGCCACGCUCAUGUGAAAAGUGCUAGUAGCCAAGCUGCCAUUCUAGUCACCACAGCUGUCCUUGCAGGAGCACACUGCCCAGGGCUGGGAGCUGUCAUUUCCGUGACGGGAGUGAGACACAACACUGGGUGAGGGUGGGGGUAUCUGUUGGGAAUUAUUUCAAAACAGUUGUGGAAACUUGGCAGUGGAGGGGCUCUGGGCAUAGGUAUCCACAAUAUCCCAGUCAGGGGUUGGGGUACCCUGGCUCUGCUGAUAAGCCCAAGUGAGCAUACUCCUCCUCCAGCUUGGAAAAGGUGGGACAGGCCAGGUGACACUAGUGUGGUCUGUGGUCUGGCCUCCCAAGCCAGUGGCAGUACUGGGGUGGCAGACGUUUGCUGUGUGCUAUCCCAAGGCCUAAAGGUCACACAGCGAGGUUGGAGCAGGGUUUUGGGCAGGAUGAGUAGGUAUUGCUGUGCUCUCAGAGAGGUGAAGCAAACCCCAAGCAAGGGGGCGAGACAGGGCAAAGGCCUACACUUUGCCAUCAACUCAGGCCUACUCAAUGCUGGCCCUGUCCCUCCCCUGCCCCUGCCCCAUCAGAUGGUGCGAGCUGGUGGGGCUUAGAGUGAGCCCCCCUGACUCUCCUUGGUGUGGAGUCUGAGGCCCAGAGUAUACAGGCCUCAUCCGUGUGACCCAGCAGGAGGAUGGGAGAGUGGGCCCAGAACUUGGUCAGGCUCAUCCGUGGAGAACAAGUUCUUCCCUAGUCUAGUUGUGGUCUGAGUCCUGGAUGAAGCAGGAGGCAGCCUGGGAAACAGGCUCGUUCUAGUAGGAAUCGCAUUCUCAGGAACGCUGACUGUGCAGGGCCCUUUCUCACUGCCACCUGGGAGGAUGCCUGCCUGCUGGCCAUUUGGGCGGACUGUCAGAGCACCCUCCCUGGUGUCCCAGACCGAAGGCCUGAAGUCCACAUGGGACCCCUGAGCUUCUGGUACCUGUGUGGGCUUGUCCCCUCAACCCUGAGUGGAAUGGCAACAGCCAGCUGCAACCCUCCUAGCUUCCUGUCACGUGCUGUAUGGAAGGGCCAAGAGCUGUAGUCAUCUGCAGAUCCUCCCACUGCACCUGUAGGACUAGCGUCUCCUGUCUGGAUGUGAGCAACUUGCUGGUGGCCUGUGAGAUGGGAGUUGCACUGGGUUUCUGGAUAAGGGCUUCUUAUUCAGGUGACAAUUCUAUGUGAAGGAGACCCAUGGAAACACAUCUAUCCCCUGCCCAUGUACCAGGCAGAGAUGGUACCUGCCCAUGUACCCUCCAUGACAUGGCUGGGUCCCUGAAACAUCAGACAGAUCGAUACUCUGUGUGCAUGUUUGUGGGCAAGACACAGUGGCAUGUGUGCCAUGGAGUUUGGUAAUGGGAGGACUGAGUAGUGCCUCUGUGUGUGAGCUGUCCAGCCAUCCCCACGAAGGGGGCAUUCCAUGCAGAUGGGGAUCCUCUCCAGGCAGCUUCUUCCACACCUGAUUAGCUGUGACCAUCAGACCCCCCUUGCCAAAAGGGGCCCUUCCCUGGAAUCUGUAAUUCUCACAGGCUGUCCCAUACAUUUUAAAUCCAGGAAAUGUGCUCACCCAUGAGACAGGGAUGGCAAGAAGAUAUGAAUGAAAAGCAGCCAGUCCGUAAAGUUGGAAGCCAUUUCACUCCUUACCAGGUACAAAGAUAACAUGCUGCAUGGAUCAGGGACACAAACUUACCUACCUUAUGAUGUAGUGAAAGAAUCUGUAAAACUUUUGUCUCAGCAUACUCCCUGGAGGAAGCCAAUAACAGGAGGCCUUGACUAGGAGACCUCAAGCCUUGGCAUGUGCCCAGACCAGUGGGGAAGGAAGGCUGGGAGGCAGUCCUCCCUUACCCCUUUUCUCCCAGGCAGACCUACCCUGGGUUCUUUCCAGGCCCCUCCGCCCGAGCAAGUGCUCAGUUGGCCACUAGCUCCCUGCAAGUCCAACAAGCCUUUCUUUCCUGUUCCUUCUUCAAGGAAGGCUUAGCCUCAACUCCGGGGCCACAGACAAAGGACAGUCACUCUCCUCUGUCAGAAAGUCAUUUAUGGGACAUGGAGAAAGCAUCAAAUAUAUUGCUUUUCCAACACCUAACAGCGGAAUAGGAGGAAUAGAAGGGGAACUCAGCCAGAAAGUUCUGGAGCAUAGUCUUUUUGCCAAAAGAACAUGUUUUCAAAUGAAAGAGGUGGUGCUGGGGCACUGAGGAAUCAGGGGGAUGGACCCCACUGGAGCUUGUGUCAUGCUGGCAGCAAGUCCCAGGCCUCAAACACAUACCUGGGCCACCUCAGGAGAGAGACUGCAGGGAAGAAAUGAGUUGCAAUGCUCCAGCCUAACCAGCUCCCCUUUUGUUAAUCCAAUCCCAGAAAGUACUGGGUAGGGUCAGUUAACAGACAGCUGCCUGUCUCCUGGCAGAGUCUGACCAAGCCCCAGUGGGCGCUUCUCUUCCUAAGUCCUCUGGUGUACCCCAUUCUUCAAGGGAAACGGUCCCCUUAAGAAUCUAUGUGAAAGGGUUCUGAAAUUGCUGUACCAGUUAAUGAAUUAUUUACUCUAAACAAUGUCUUGAUAAAGGGGGAGGAUGAAAUUAGCUGAUGUUGACUAAGGAGAGACAGAGUUGCCAAGGAAAUUCUUCUAAAUGAAAAAAAAAAAAAGUAAAAGCAGUCAGCCGGUUUUGUCUGACUAUGAAACGUGUCAUAGAGCAUGCACCUUUGGCCAUCUUUCGCAUUUAUGAUUUGGAAGAGAGAUGUAGCAGUGAGUGUGGGGCCAGGGAGGGGAAUCCAACAAAGCCAUUCUGCAAGCUAGUGGCUGGGAUUUUGGGGUAUAGAGUAAGAGCAGCCAGCCUUAGAGGCCCACGUCAUCUGGGCUGCCUCAGAGCUAAAGCUAGGUAACCAGAGGGAGUAAGGAAAGGCCUGAGUCCCAGGCUAGGCUUUUCACAGUUGUAUUGAGAUGGGAAAGUAAGGGAUGUUCCUUGCAGCAGAUGCAGGGCCCAGUUGGCUAGAGUAGUAUUUGAAAUAAAUUGGCAUUUCAGGGCAGUGUUUGUGAUGCCAGUCAGUAGGUAGGGGCUUCUACCCCUUUUUUAAGCCUUGCUCUAUGUUAUAAUCUCUACUUCUUCUCAGAAGUUUGAAAUGUUUACUCUGAACUAAGCUCUAUGCUUUAACAAGUUAUGUUUUAAUAGGAAAACUGUCAUUGAUGGAAUCAUAUGUAAUUCCUACAUUUUUCCAGUUACCCAUUCCUGGGGAAAGCUUAGCCAUUGGACAAACCACCCAGAGCCCCAGGAACCUGCAUUUGCAGACAGCAGUGGCAGGCACAGUGGUCUAGUGUUGGGCGGGGGAAACCUGGCCUCUAUGUGUCUGGUUUUGCAAACUAAAACUCCAUUGCCCAUACUCAGGCUGACAGGUUCUGGAGGUGCCAGGGACUCCUGCUCUGUAUCUCACCUCUAAUUCCAUCACAAUGCAUGAGCUGUCAGUGGGAGCCUUUUAAUGCAGAUGCUAAUACCCAUUCCUAAUGCUGGCCCAUUCCCACGCCUCCUGAGUUGGUGCGAUAUAUCCUGGGAACAAGAAAAUCUGAAGGCUCCUGGUCCUCAGGCUAGCAAGAGCCUUGCCUGUAAGAAGUGGGAGAAGGUCACCUCUCUCAGGAGGCAGAACUAAGGCUGCACAGCACAAGGGAGAUGUCUGAAUGCACAGUCUGGGUGGCAGAAGGACUCCUGUCCUUUCUUCCACACAGACCUGAGCACCUCUCCAGGUGCCACCAUUUUCUGUCUGGUAACAUCUGCUAUCCCCAAGCCUCAGUUUCCUGGUCUACAAAACUGAGAUGGUCUCUUCUAUACAAGGCCCCAGGAGGAUCACUGCAAGUCACUGCAUUUCAUGGUGCCCAGAUUUCCCUGCAUUUCUAGAAUGUCAACAGAGAUGAGUGGGCUCAAGGGGAAGAGAUUCUUUAUGACUAGAGAUAUUCUGGUCGACUUUGGACCCCAGCUUCUAUGGACAAUAGCAUGUGGACAUGAGUCCUGGGGAAGCAGGGAUGACUGAGCCUGAAGAAGAGCUCUCAAGCCUUACACUCUCCAGACCAGCCUUGGGUUGCCUGAACCCCAGCAUAGCCUUAUGGAACCCCUGCCUGGGUCCUAGCACCUGGUUUGACCUGGGCACAAGUACUCACUCACUCACUCACUCACUCACUCAUCAAACAUUCACUGAGGGUCCGUGACAGGCUCCAUAUGGAUUAAGCACUGAAGAUAAAACACUGAAUAGAAACAGCCAGCCUGUACCCUCAUGCUCCUUGAAUGUGAUAGAAGGAGCCAGCCAGUAAACCCUUUACCACAAAUAAACACACAGUUACACAUUAAGAAUGGGAGGGGAGGUAUGUGAUUUUUUACAGCCCAGUCUUAAGCUUUAGAAAUUGGCUCCUCUGAGGAAGGGACAUUUCAGCUAAGAACCACAGGAUAAGACAGUCCUAGCCUGGGGAAGGGGAGAGAAGGUCAGGAGAGAGCUUGAUAUGUUUAAUACUGAAAGAAUAUUUGAUGAGCUGGGACAUCUCCUGCAGAUCCACGGCUCCCUAGCUUUGUGACCCUGGGCCCUAGACUCAAUCCCUCAACCCUUAGGAGAUUAUGUAUAAAACAGGAAUGAUAAUAUUCUUGUGUUAAAAGCUGCUGUGAGGAUUAGUGAAAUGAUGUCUAUAUUUGCCUGGCAAACAGGAAGUUUAAGUAGUAGUAUCAUUUGAAGAUUAUUCUUCAGCCUAAACGUGUGUUCAUUAUGGCCGGUGUGUUUUCUCCCCACCUAGAUGGUAGUGCUGGGCCUCCUUUGGAGUACCUUGAUUCUUGGGGAGCAUGGAUGAUAUGACCAUAACCUGAGAAAGCAGGGACUGUACCCAUUCUGGUCCUCCCGGGUCCCAGGGCCCCCACAGUGCCCUGGUGUGUGAUCAGUGCCCACAAUACUGAAUAGAGGAACAGACACAUGGGAAGCAACGGCAGUUGCCUGGUCUUUAAGGGUGAGGGAGCACCUUCUCCUGAGAGAGGGAGAGAGAGGUUGGGGAAGGUUGGGUGGGGGUGGGGAGAGCGAGCAAGCAAGCAAGCUAGAAACUUCCUGAAAAGGGAAGUUACUCUAGAAAAGGGUAAGUUCCUUCCAGGCAUCAUGGGCUGGCUUAACCUGGACCAGUUUGACUUUACUAAGUCCCAUUUCUCAUCUAGGGAGCCUGAGGCCAUUAAGGUUAUCUGGUCCCAAAAUCCCCUGGAGCUGUCACAGGGAUCCCCAUUCUUUGCCUUUAGUCACCCCAGCCCCAAGAGCCAUCCUCCACAUGGAGUGAGCAGGGAGCUACGAGGAAAAGACGGUCACAGUUGGAGAGAGACAGAGAGAACCAGGUGGGCUGGUAGGACAGGAAGAUAUAGGCAGAAAGUAAAGCUCUCUCCUGGGGAGGCAGGAAUACUCUCCUGCUUCCUUCUACCUGGCCUCCUUCUACCCACUCUUCAUAGAACACAAACACUGCAAAAAUGACUUUUUCCAAACCCUCUUAGCAUUCAGAAGUAGAAUUGCUAUGUAAGAAUUUUUUCAUAGGUGCUUUUUUGGGGGGGGGGUAUCUAUUUAAAAAACAACCACAUCAUUAGUGAAAUCUUCCAAAGUCUCUUUUUGGAGCCCAAAUUUCACUAAUGUCCACAUCUGAGGAGGCUUUCAUAAUAAAAGAACACAUACCUAUUUCACCUAUGAUGGUCAGUGCAAUCUUGAAAACACUAGUAAAUAGUGUCCAUCAGCUUUAAAAAUACAAACCCAAAUUGGGUCAUACCAAAAUGCAAGGAUACACACAAUAACCUGGGUGAAUCUUCAGGGAAUUGUGCUGAGUGAAAAGAGCCAAUCCCAAAAAGGUGAUUUGCUUAUGUGGUUCCAUUUAUAUAAUUUUCUUGGAAUGAUAAAGAAAUGAAGAAUAGGUUAGUAGUUGUCAGGGGCUAAGGACAGGGUAGGGUGGGAGGGAAUUGGGGGUGGCUAUAAAAGGGGGACAUAAGGGAUUCUUGAAGAGUUAGAAAUGUCCUGUAGUGAGACUAUCAAUGCAAUAUCCUGGUCAGAAUAUUGUACUACAGUUUUGCAAGAUGUUACUAUUGGGGGAGACUAGGUAAAGGAGUACGUAAGAUUUCUCUGUGUUGUUUCUUAGAACUGCAUGAGAAAUCUACAAUUAUCUCAAAAUAAAAAUUUAUUUUAAAAAAUCCCCAAAUUUAAAAAAAUCAGUAGUCCUCCUAAAAAUACCCAGAAAUGAAUUUUAGAAUGUCCAAAAUCCAUACAAAGAUCUAAAAAAUAUGGAAGGAUGUUGCAAUGGAUUUGAACAUGUGGGUAAACUGCUUCUAUUUAUGGCUGGAAAGACUUUUUUUUGAGGGGGGGAAGGCAAUUCUUCAUAAGUUAAUCUAAAUUGAACGAAGUUUCAAUAACAAAUGCCAAUGGGAUAUGGAUAUGCACACAGAUAGACAACUUUUUUUUUUUUUUUUUUUAAUUAGGCAAGCUGAGGCCAGGUGCGGUGGCUCAUGCCCGUAAUCCCAGCACUUUGGGAGGCUGAGGCGAGCAGAUCACUUGAGGUCAGGAGUUUGAGACCAGCCUGGCCAACAUGGUGAAACCCUGUCUCUAAUAAAAAAAAAUUAGCCAGUCAUGGUGGCAGAUGUCUGUAGUCCCAGCUACUAGGGAGGCUAAGGCAAGAGAAUUGCUUGAACCUAGGAGGCAGAGGUUGCAGUGAGCCGAGAUUGCGCCACUGCACUCCUGCCUAGGUGACAGAGUGAGACUCUGCCUCAAAAAAAUAAUAAUAAAAAUAAAAAUAAAAAAAUAAAUCAGACAUGCUAGUUCUAAGUUUAUAUGAAAAAAAAUGUAUGUCCUGUAAAAUUCAGAAGUAGCAGCAGUCUGGCCCCUUGUGCUCCUCUAGCCCCCAACUGGCCUAACAGGCCCUAGUGUGCAGCAGGGACCAUUUUCCCAUCACUGUCCACAGCAUCUAGACAAGAAUGCAGAGAACGACAGAUUUCAAAAACUCUAAUCUGGGAUCCUGUGCAUCCUAAAUAAUCUUAUGAGGAUGCACUUGUAUUUUUUCUGAUGCUGAUAACAUUCAUUCCAACUCGCCUCCCCAUCAGCUUUGUCAGGCACUGUGAAUUGCAUGGUACACAUGAUUACAAUGGAUGGAAUGGCCAUCAUGAGGUAUAGCAAUACAUUUAAGUAACACUGUGUCACUACUAUAGGACAGGCACCUUUCUGCAUACUUUAUAUUAUUAAUUUGUGUAAUCCUCCUAACAACCCUCUGAGGAAGGUACUCUUAUGAUUCUCAUUUUACAGAUAAAGAAACUGAGACUAAGUGACUCACUCAAGGUGUAGCAGGUAGAAAGUAGUAGAAUUAGGAUAUGAGUUUAGACGCUAGACCCUGCUAUUAGCCCCUGUCUUUGGCUAUGGAUUAGUAAAGGAGAGCACAGCCAAGGGUGGGACAGGCAGCUGUAGUCCUCUGGACCAGCUUCUCAUGGAUGGGGCUGCAUUGCUACAGGUGGCCUAACUCAGACAUGGAAACUGAGUCGCUGCUGCCCAACUCAUGCUAUGAAACCAUUUUGGCCUGCACAGCUUAUAAUAGCACUCUAGCUCUAGCUAUGACACUUUAUGGUGUUAGUGGGUUUUUUUGGUGGUUGGUAUGGAGGAGGGGCUGGGCUACAAGUUUUAGAUUAUGCUUCUUAUUGCGGGUUUUUAAAAAUUCUUGAAUUAGGCCUAUUUGCUCUUUUGUUCUCUAUUGAGUUAGCAAAUUCAGUUUUUCCAAGAUGCCCUGAAAGUAUGAUCAUACAUGUAUAUGAAAUGGUCCUUGGGUCCAGCUGGCAACUCCUGUGCACCCCCGACCUGGAUUCUGCCUUCCUUGAAGUGAGCCUUGGAAGAAACAAGUGCUCAUGCUCCCUGACAUUAUUAGCUGCCAAGAUGAAGCCUCAGUCCCAAACACCCCAGCUUCCUGUCUAACUCAAGAGCUAAUCGUGUGUUUAAAUCUUAAGAGUGUUUAGAUCUUAGGCCAUGCCAUGAAUUCCCCUGGUUGACUGCAUUGUGAAAAUGAGCUUCCUAUUAUUGGCUCUUAAGUAAUGGAGAUGAGGGGGAGUCCUGCUACACAGAUAAGUGCAUCAUAAAGUUACAUAAUUAAAAUAACUGAGCUCUGGCCUAUCAACAGACCCAUCAGCAGUCCAGAAUAGAGUCUAGAAAUGGACACAAAUUAAAUGAGAGUUUGAAAUAUGAUAAAGGUAGCAGUUGAAAUUAGUAGAGAGAUGAUGAUGUACUCAAAUAAAUAGUGUUGGACAACUGGACAAACAUAUGGGAAACCAAACUGGAUUUAAUUACUAUGUCAAAAUCCUGAUAAAGCAAGGAUUUAAAUGUAAAAAAUGAAAUAAAAAAUGAUAGAAGAAAACAUGGAAGAAUUUAUUAAAACAAUUUCAGGAUGAGGAGGUUAUUUCAAAAUUUAAGAUAAGGACCUCAAACCAUAAAAGACUGACACAGUUGACUAUGUGAAAUUAAAAAAAUUCUGCCACCAGAAAAAUAUUAUAGAAAAAGCCAAAACACCUAAAGAAAAUUAAGAUAAAAUAUUUUCAAUGAAUAUGACAAAGCAAGUUUCUACAAAUCAAUAAGACAAGGUAUUUUACAGAGUCCAAAGGGUAUGAAGAGAUAGUUCACAAAAAAGAAAAAACAAAUGAUUUUAAGCGUUUGAAAAGAUAAAAACCUCAUUUCCAACAAAAGAAAUGUAAAUUAAAGCUCCAGUGUACCAUUUCUCAUCUAUGAAAUGAAUGAAGAUAAAAACCUGCAUAUACACUUGGUAAGGGUGGGGGAAGCAAGUGCAUUUGUGCAGUCAAAGUGAUGUAAAUGGUACAGCCCUUAUUUGGCAGUAUCUAUCACAACAUAAACAAAUAUUUUAAUUCUGCUGGAAAUGGGGGGAAAGGGAGGCUCUCUUAAACUAAAUCCACUGAAAAUGGAGACCAAAAUUUUACAAUAGAGAUAUUUGAUUGGGAAGUUAUUUUGAAAAAUAACGGUAGUUAAAAUAUUAUUUUAUCUCAUAUGUAAUAACAGUUGUUAGAGUUACAAUUAUAUACACAUUUUAGAAAAAAACAAAUCCAGCGGGGAUUUUGGUUUGUCUUUUGUAAAACAUUAUAUAGUAACAUCUGAGGGCAUCUUUUAUAUUUGGCAGAGGAUGUUGGCAGCACUUCCACAGAGAGGAUCAUUUUUUGUAGAAGUAUGGCAUGGUUUCACUGCUUGACCAAGAGGCCACCUGCAUCAAUUAUCAUCUCCCCUGCUGUCCUCUGAAAUGCUUAUCUAGGCAUCAAUCUUGGUUUCCUCUUCAACUGAUUAACUAACUGGUCUACUCUGCCCAGUCUCUAUUUGAGAAAUUAUUUGAUAUCAUUUUCUUUAACUUGAUGAAAUCUCCUAUUUUGGCAAGAUUUACAGUUCCUCUUUAUAAGUUCCUCUUUACUUUGUGUGUGCUUUAUAUUGUCUUUGGUUGACAAGAGACAGCCAAAUAGAUCAGUCAGCAGAGAUACAAGUAGGGAUAAGAUGGAUAAGGAGAAACAACAGUGUUCAAUAGGGAGGGAUGUUUCAGGGAAACUAAUUUCAUAAGUGGUCAUUUCAGUAGUGAAUAUAUUUGAAUGGUUAAUGGCUGCUGUUUUUUAGCUGCCCUACAUACCCAUCAAUAGAGGAUCUGUUCCAUAAAUCAUGGCACAAUGAAACUCUGCAGCUGUUAAUGAAGAGGAGAUUUGCUAGAUGUCUUAAUACGGAUCCAUCUCCAGAACAUACCAGUGUCUUCCUUUUAAGUGGUGCACAUUGGGGCUGAACACUUACUAAGAAAUGAAAGGGCUCCCCAGUCAAAGCUGACAGGUGUCAUUACAACAUGACCCCUGUGAUAGAUCCCAGCACAAUACACUGGCCAUCACUCCAUUCUCUUCAAAUGUCCUGGGGUUGCUUCAUACAGCAGACCAUCAUACCCAAAGCCACUAUGCAUGUAACUUGGUUAUCUCCUGCCAGGCUGUAGUCCAGUUAGUGCUCCCUUGGAAAUACUCAAGACCUUAAUGAACUAUCCAUCUGUGAAUCUGUGAAGCUACCCAUUUCUUAGAGGCCUCUUUGGAGAGCUGGCUGUUGAAUACCCAGUAUGAUGGUCCUUAGCCGCCUUAGAUCUUUCCUGUACCACUACCUCUAUGCCUUUUGCCAAGUCCAAGUGUUCACUAGAGAUGGAACUGAUGCCAGAAAGACUACAGCUAACAAUCUGAGCAGAACAGUGAGCAUGUCCUAUCUGGGAAAAGCCCAGCCCAUUGGGCUAAAUCUCUAGCUGAACACAGAGACUAUGCUCCUUCCAAUUAUACUGGAAGCCCAACCAUGAGAAAACAACACUUCAACUACACUGUUCAGAGCCAUCACCUCUUCACAUGUGUGCCUGUAUACGUGUACACACACAUUUUGCAAUAAAAAUGCUUCUCAGAUAUACUGCACCAUAAUAAAUCAGCAUUGUAUGUACAGCUCAAAAAGAAGUAUGGCAUACCUAUGGAAGAAGUCAAAGGCAAAGUGUAGAAAAAUACAUACAGUAUGUUACCAUUUGUAUAAAAAGGAGCCGUAUCUACUAAGUACAUGCACACACAGACACACAUAUAUUUGUUUAUAUAAAAUAUGUCUGGAAAGAUGCAAUAGGAAAGUGUUGAGUGGUAACCUUUAGGGAAGGAAACUUGGAAUUAGGGUUGGGUGGGGAGAGUGUUAUUUUUCACCCCUUUUGUACUCUGAAUUUGUUUUACCAUGUGUGUAAAGACUGUUCUAUGAUUUUUGUAGCACAACACUUGAAUACAUAAAGCACGACUGGCUCCCCAGAAGGCAGGUGUUGGCCAGGCAGUGGAUGCACGGUAGGGCAGUGUGCAGCCCUGCGUGCACGUGGCUGGUAUGCCCUGCGGGCAGCAGCUCCCCACACACAGUGCUGUGAGUCUCUGGUUCAUGUCACUCUGUGGAGCAGGGGCUGCUCCAGCACAAAGAGGUUUUUGACAGGGAAAGGCAGAGCCAGAGUCAGGGCAGGCCCUGGGCGGGCUCCCAGAGAGCCCAACCACCCUCUAAUAAGGGGUGCUCUCCACCCUAUCUGAGGAGCAAUUGGGAUCUCCUAGGAAGUGAAACUGUUACGUAUGUCUUAUUACAGAAUUUCCAGUGGAGUGAUUCUGAAAGAAAUGUGUAUGGCAUGUUGUGACUGCUAUGUCUCAUGAAAUAUUUACAUUUUUAUGUAACUUUUUUCCAUUUUCAGAUCAUCUUUUAUUUUAACGCAAAAUGACAAUAUAUUUUUCAAUUCAUUUGCCCAAUGUCUGUGUUUAAAUGUUUUCUAAUGCACACACGUGUUUUAAACUCAUUAAAAAAAUAUGACUUAGAUCCCAUCCCACUUUCAUGUUUUAUAUUGCCAGAACUCUGCUUUUGGGAGGGGUGAGUUAUCUUCACUUCUGAAACAGUACUGCUUGGGAGCUGGUUUGGCCCUGGCUAUUCUGGGGAAAUGACACAAUAUUGACCUAGGAGGGGCCCUAAUCUUUCCCCACUAGAGCACUACCUCUAAUAGGGGGAAGGAUGGGAGAAAGAGGCUAGUGAACCCACCUUCAGGCCUGUCCACUCAGGACAUGCCCACACUAGCCUCUCCAGGGGCUCUGCCCUUGGCAUCCCCGUCCCCCACCUGGGCUCUGGCAGAGAAGUCGGGCGGGAAGAAGCCGGCUGAGUGCCCGCCACUGUAAGAGGAAACGAAGAGAAACAGCUCCAGUCAGCCCCAGAAGCGAGGCCUGGAAAAACUCUGCAGCUGGAGCUAACACAAAGGACUUUUCAGACCCUGCAGCCAAGGUGCCCAGUGAGCUUUUUUUUUUUUUUUUUUUUAAAAACAGCUAUUAGGGUGACAAGCCUUUCCAAAGGCCAGCAGUUGGCGAGAGUUUCCAGGAAGCUGGUCUGGCACUGGGCUGGGAUUGGAGCAACUUUAACGAGUUAAGUUCAGAAGGAAGGAGUCAUCAGGAAAGGUUUAAGGUUCAACAAACUUUUCAAAUUAUUUUGCAAAAAGUUCUGGCUUUCCAAUUCAAAGGCAUGUUUCGCUGUGACUGUUUUAAGCCAGAGCCUAUUUAAAAGGCAACGCAACUAGCACGCUUCAGAUUCACUCGCUCGAGGUAUUUGUCUAAAUCCUCCGAAUGGGCUUUAUAAGUGCCAUCUAGUGCCUGGUAACACUGGGGCCAUCUUACACAUCUUGACAGGCAGCCCUCCUCCCCACGUGCCUCCCCCCAGUCUCUGUGGUCGUGUGUGCGCGCGUGCGCACACACACAUACGCACGCGUGCACCUUCCCUAAGCAGGAAGCUGCUCUUUGCCAAGAGCGAAUGGAAUUCAGAUUUCCAGAGGGUGUCCUUGGCCUCCAGCUCUAUGGCUGCAUGAUGAAGAAAGGUCCUAGUGUGUGUGCUGGGGGCUGGGAGAGAGGGGCCUCCAGCUCUGCUCACAUCUAUCUGGGCCCCAAGAAAAACCCACAACUGGCUGUGCUCUCCCCAGCCACACCCAGCCUUGGUCACAUUCCUUCCCUUCCUGAGCCCACACUGGGUGGCCCCGGCAAACCAGCUUCCACACCUUCCUCCCCACCGGCAGGGAGACCUAGCCCAAGCCCCCAUGGGGCAGCCAGCAAGUACAAAUGAGGGGCUGCACCCCAGGCCCAAAGAGCCAGAAAGCACGGAGGGCCCUCCCCCCACCCCACCCCCAAUGCUGGGCAUCCCGUUGUGGCUGCUGUCACUCAUGGGGAAAGAGACACACUCCCUUGUCUAGCACCCGGUGGGCUGAGCUCCCAUCCCUUCCUGUGCCUGCUUUCAGGAAGUCCCUCUUCAUAUCCAACCUUGACUCUCCUGGCCGUGGUGCUUGUGGGCCUGGGAUUGAAGGGCCAUCACUGCCCUUUGCACCAGAGCUUCCCAACAUACCAGCAAGAAAGGACUGUACCCCUUCCCCCGUCCAGUCUGGGCCUUCCAAGCCCUGAGAUUCAGCAACCUCAGGAAUUAAACAUUUAUAGGAAAACACCUAUGCAGACCAGGGACAUGAGUCAGGGUGGUCAUCAGCAGUAGCAAGGUGGGUAGGCUGGUCACGUUUAGCUUCUCUUUAGCCCAAGUAAUAGGGUCUUCCACCUGUGUGGCCAGGGAGGGGAUAGGCUAAGAGCAAUCUUUCUACAGGCUGUCAGCAUCAACAAGUGGUUGUGAUGAGCAGGAGUUUGUAUGGCUUUUCAGGUGUUCCGGCUCAAGGAGGCCCAACACCAAGUUGGAACCUCCAGGCCUGGUACCUAGGCAGAAGGUGGGCUAAACAGAGGCCAAGGGGAGCUCUGCUCUGUCACUUCCCUUUGUUUGCUAAUGAGACUGUUUCCAAAAGCUGGCCUGGUAGCCUGUGGGAUUGUUUCUCUCAAGAUUUCUUCUAGGGGAGAAGGUGGCCGAGGCUUUGCAGUCUGCAUCACCCAGUCCCCAGAAUCUACAGGGGACUCAGCUUGCCUAGUCACAGUUCGGCUUUUGGCCUUGGCUCCAGGGCCCAUUCUGAUCCUCGUGCUUGGGUCAGGGAUGGUCAGCACCCCUGCCCUGAUGCUGCCUGGUGGGGUCUCCUGCUGAGUACCAUGAAGGCCUACUGUGGCCUGAGAAGGCAACUUCACUGUCCCUUUUGGCCAGCCCUAGACCCUAUAUUUGUUCAAGUAAUACAUUGAUUCACUGGCUUCUCCUUUAGGCAAGGCCUGCAGGGGACUCAGCUGGGGUUCAUGAUUCCUUGCCACCUGUGGUGGGCCUGCAUGGCCAGGCCCAAGGCCUCAAAUGCCACAUACUGCUCCCCUGACAGUCAGGUGGCUAGGGUGUGACACUCAAGAAAAUGCCCAGGCAGAACCCAGAGUUGGGGUCACUUGGUCCAGCCCUUCUGAAGGGGACUGGUUGGAUCUGGUGCAGGGAGGAGACAGGCCAUGCUGGACCAGCAAAAAAGCAUAGAACUUGGAGUCUGGAACCUGACAUCUGGCCUUGGCUCUGCCAUCAGCUGGCUGUGUCCACUGGGAAAGGUCCUAUCAUAUCUGGUCUCAGUGCUUCCAUUUACCUAGAGUCCUUCCAUCACCUGACACCUACAGGGAUGCUUUCCCAAUCAAAAUUCAGGCCAUGUGGUUUAAUAAGGCCACCUUCCAAUGUGGAAGACAGGCUGGUAAUGGAGAGGCCUGGGAGCACAGAGCUCCUAGGCACUGCCAUGGAAUGUGGGGACCUUAGGGGAAGGAUAUCUCAAUUGAAGCUCUUCAGGGCCCCUGGGGUGGACAGUUCUGUACUCUCAUCCCCUAACCCAUACCAGCCUGAGCUCAAUCAUACCAUCCUGUGAAGGCUGCCCCACCACACUGCUACUGCACCCACCACACCAGGCCCCCUUGAGCUCCCACCUGGAGCCCACACACCCAGCUGGUGGGGUUCAUGGGGCAGUUCAAAAAGAAAAGCAGAAAAAAGCAUUUGAGUGUUUCAGACUAGAAGGAAUUCAAUUUAACUUAACAAAUCAGGACAUGAACCUAAAGAAAACACUGAAAAACAAGCCCACCUUUGAAGGCCCAAAGCGGGAGGAUUAGGUGGGAGAAGAAAGGUCCCCUUGGGGCAGAAGACAGCUGCUCAGUCCAGACCAGGGACCAGGGGGAGGAUACUGGGCUUGAGUGCAGACCGGGCCAGGGUAGGGAGACAAGCCCAACACACACUCGAGGACUUGAAGUCAGGGGUGCUAGCUGACUUUUUAGCCCACUCUUUCUACCCCAGAUACAGAGACUAGCUGCCUGAGGAAGCAUAGCGGGGCCCGCAGGCUGGCUGCCUGGUGCUGCCCACCACCUCUCCAGGGCUUGGCUCCCUGAGGCAGAAGGCUCAGACCUAUAACCACAGUGGGGUUGCAGGGAUUUAUUUGGGGGAAGAACCCUGACUGGGUCAGAAUGAUUAUGUGCAUGCAUGUAUGUGUGUGUAGCUCUUUGUUCUCUGAAAAGCCUUGCCUACCACCCUACUUCCCAAGUACGAGUACCCUCUAUUGCCUUGCAAAGUCACCCCUGCUCUCUGCCUCAGUUUCCCCAGCAGGGCACCACAGGACACUGCUGUGGCGAGGUUUACACUUAGGGUGCAGUGCAGUCUGAUCUUGUAUAAAUGCUCAGUGCCAAAGACUUAGGAGAUAAGUCAGGCAGAGUCAAAAUUAACCUUUGAAAAAUCCCUUGAAUUGGCCCUAAAAAUAAUCCCUUUCUCAGAUCUUUGUGUAUGUCCCCUGCUGGGUUGCUCUUCUGCCUGCUGAAGUGGGAGAAUCUCUGGGUGGACAUCCAGAGUACCCUGGAAGAGGCAUGCCAGGUGUUCCUGUACCUUUUUCAGGAUAUUCCCAGUGUCAUCUUCAGAGGGAGCCUCUGAGGCUGCAGCCACACAUGGGAAAAGAUUACUUAUGGAGAAGAUCAGAGGCUAAGGGGCUGGGGAUGGUGGGGACAUCUGAUUUUGAGGUCAGACCUGGACUCCUGUCUACCUCUGUCUCUCUACCUUUUAUUUUUCUUUCCUUUUCUCCCAACAAGGCCCUCUUUCUAAGAUGGCACCUCAGACCUCCCAUGGGACCAACCAGGCCUGACAGACUAACUGCCAGACUUCCUCCUGCUAGCCAGUCACUACCAAGGACGUGUGCCUCAGAUACAGCCCCUGCCCAGGACACCUACAUUGUCCCUAACAGGGCCCACAUAUCUAAAGCAUGAAUGCCUAGCUGGGAGUUCUGGGGCACCAUGAGAAGGCAUGAAGCUAGGCCUGCCAGUUUGCAUCCUGGGACGGCAGGUCAGCCGUGUCCAGGCAAUCCAGGAGGCUUCCCAGCAGCCCACUGGCCAGUGAGGACCUUUCACCUCCUUGGCUGGUGGCACCAGGUUUAUGAUGCACAUAGACGCUGAACUUGAAGAAUUCUUAUUGCAGAGGGCAGCCACAAGAGCCACUGGCCAGUGCCCAGAUAAUCUCUGCAGACUGUUCCCUCCUGCUCCAUGGGCCACAGAAUCCCUUUGUCUUGUUACUGCUACACUGCCUUCCUACCAACCUUCAGGGUUCAUCCUGGCCUCUGCCAUGCAUAUCCAGGCUCCCCCAGAGAUUGUGUCUGGGAAUGAGCCCUGGCUUCUGCUACUAUCUCCCAGUGAUACUGGCAAGUCCUUAUCCUUCUUGAGGCUUCAAUUUCCCCUUCUGUGAGCCGGGAGGACAGGCCCACUAGAUGCUCUCUGAAGGACCUACCAAGGAUGUGGGCUGUGUGUCUCAGCCAACAGCAGUAUCUCCUAACCCCAACACAAGAAAUACACGUAGUAGGUGUCUGGUUAACGCUCUUGGAAUUUCAGCCUAUACUAAGCAUCUGAAAGCCACUGAGUCUGAACUCUGCUACCAUAUUUGAGAUUAUCUUUCCAUUAGGCACCUAUGGGUUGCCUAGAGACAAGCUACCAUGGUCCUCUUCCCUCACCCAUCAUGUGCAGGGUCAAAGGCAGGUGAGCUACACAGCUCGCCCUGCUCUUCACUCUGCUUGAAUGUGGGUGCUGGCCUUGGCAGAUGGGCCCGACAGUGAUGAGAACAAAUGACAGAUGAAUACUGGGGCACCUGUGACUGCCAUGAGGCACAGUCCACUUAUUCUGCCUCCAACCUCCUCCCCAGAGCAGAAUAGUGAGUGCUAGGUUUCUGCCUGUACCUCCACGGGAGGCCCAACAGCUCCUGAACCCCAUUCCGAGACUUGAGGUUGUGACUUGGGGACCUCUAGACUUCCCUUCCCUCCACCUGACUCCAGACUGUCCUGGAGUUUGGGACUCUCAGGCCUCUAGGCACAUCUUAUUAAGGACAGCAGCUGACAGCCAUAUGUUGUGACCCCAUUUGUAUCCCAUGGUAACUCAUGACCUGGCAGUCUCAAAAGCUCUCAGGCCAAAUAAGGAAUGUCCCCACAGGAUCUCCCAUCAUAAAGAGACAUUGUAUGCUGGCUAAUAUUUUCAGGCUUUUCCCCGAGUCAGGUAUGUGGCUGGAUGCCUAACACCAUCUCAAGGCCUUACACUAAUACUGUGAGAUAUACUCCCAAUGUAUACAAGAGGAAACUGAGGCUUAUAGAGAUUAGGUGACUGCCCCAGUGUCCUGUGGGCAGGAUGAAAUGACCCAAGCUGGCCAGGGCUCCCUGACAGACCUUGUCCCUGGAUUCAGUGAACAUACACCAAACCAUUAGCUGACAAGGAAUGAAUUUGACAAGCUGUUCAUGACCACCACACUGAAAACUACAGGGCAGGGUAAAAGAUAUGAAAGUCAACGUAAAUAAACAAGGGACACAUGAUGCCAUGUUUCAGGAGCCCCAAUACUAUAAGGAUACCCAUUCUCCCAUGCCCAUCUAGAGUCUGCUGCACCUAGAGGAGGCUUUCCAUGGCAACUGGCAUAUAUAUGGUGAGACAGAAACCCUACAAAGACAGCAAAGCCAGUGAUGGGGAAGGAGAAGCAGCCAGAGCCAGCAGGACCAGCUGUCAAAACCUGUUAGCAAACUACAGUGAGAAUGAAGCAAGGUCCUGGCCACAAAGAACAACUUGAAUCUGACCAGUGGCACCAAAUAGGGUCCAGAAACAGAGCCAUAUGUAGCCAGUGAGCUGAUUGUAAAGACACUGGUACGGCAGGGUAGUGGGGAGAGGAUGGGCCUUCCCAUGCCGGGUGCUGAGCCAGACUGGAUAUACAAGUAGGGGAAGAGUGGACCUUGACCUCGGCCUCACACUGGACACAAAAAUCAAUCCCAGAUGGAGUGCAGAUCUACAUGGGAAAGGUGAGCUAAUAAAGCUUUGAAUAAACCAGAAUAUCUUUAUGACCUUGGAGUAGUCAAAGUUUCUUAAAUAGGACACAAACAGCCCUAUCCAGAGAGGAAAUGUUUGAUUAACUGGACCACAUGAAAAUUAAGACCUUCUGUUCAUCAAAAGACACCAUCAAGAGAGGAAGAAGGCAGCCUGCAGAGGGGGAGGCGAUAUUUGCAAUGUGUGUGUGUGUGUGUAUCUCUCUCUCUGACAAAUGACUCCAGAAUAUCUAAAGAUAUAUAGGACCAUAAAUCAACAUAAAACAGGCAGAAGAUGUAGGCAAUUUAUACGGAAUGAUGUAUCUGACUAAAUGAUAACAUGGAAAGGGACUCAACUUCAUUAGUCAACAGGUUACUGCAAAUUAAAAUCACCAUUUGAUGCUGCUAGACAUUCACCAUCAUGGCUGAAAAGGAAACAACGGAAAAUGCCAAGUGUUAGGAUGUGGAGCAGCCAGAAUGCUGCCUGUGGGAAUGAAAAUUGGAAUGACUCCUUUGGUAGACUGCUGGGUAGUAUUCACUAAAAGUAAACAUAUGCCCACCCAGGACCCUGCAGCUCCACACAUAGGCAUAUAUUCCCCAGAAAUGCAACCUGAUGCUCACCAAAAGCAUGUACAGAAUAUUCUUAAACAGCAACCUACACCAGAAACUGCCUGCUGGCCACAGGUGGUAGAACGGAUGAAUGAUGUAGGCCAUGCACACAAUGGAGCACCAGUCAGCAAGGAGCGUGAGGGAGCACUGCUCCCUUCAGCCCCAUAGAGAGGCUGCCAAACAUCAAAUUGAGUUAGGGACAUUGGACACAAAGGUGUAUGAGUUGCAUCAUUCCCACCGCAUAAAGUUCAAAUGUGGGCAAAGCUGGUCCUUGCUGCUAGAAGUUAGGCUUGUGGUUAAUCUCAAGGUCAGUGACAGGAAAUGGGAGCCUGAGAGGCUUUCUGGGGGUUCUGUUGCUUCCUCUGGGUGCUGCACACAUGGGUCCCAGGGACUGAAGAUGCCUCAAGCUGUGCACUUGAGACCUGUGUACUAAUCUGUGUGCAUGCACGUCACCCUUUAACUAAAAGUUUACCGCCACCACCCUAUACCAGGGUAGCCCAGGUGAGCCUAAUUAGGUGGAUAGCCCUGGCCUUCAGGACCACUAGGCCCAGCCCCAUCCCACUCCCUCACUUAAGGGGACACGGCUUCCAGACUUCCUGACUAGGUCACCUUCGUGCUUCAGCCUCCAGAUGCUCUGCAGUUCAAUCUCCCCUUUCAGGUAUAGGCAGAGCACACAAGAGAUCUAUAUGGGAUGUGCCCCCUGCCCAACCCCGCCCCGACCCCCUGCCCCAACUGCCAGAAGUGUCUCCAUGACAAUAUCAGUGCAGUUGUGAAGUCCUUUGCCCUCCAGCCACCUCUGUGGUGUGAAUGUUCUCUCCGUCACAUCCUCCAACACCACCUGCUUGGCUGAGGACCUGAGCAGCAUCAUGGCUGGGAGUUCACAAGUGGAGAGGGCUGAGCCUGGCCAGAGUGCGCUGGGGCAGGGUGAUUUGGAUGGCCUUUCCCUUCCAGAGGAGAUGAGAAGCCUCACUGCUUUCCUCUGGGCCAUCCACCUAGACAGUGUGGCCCUCUCCCCACAGCAGCAGCCCUAGGCUAGCCGCUUCUUCCUCACAUGCUCAGAUGGAGGAAGUGAAGUUUGGAAAGGUUAGGGGGCCACGGGGGGCCGCCACAGCUGGGCUGAUGCAGGCUGGAAGCCAGAUUGAGGGCAUCUGAUUCCCAAUCCCAUCUCUUUCCCACUGAGCCAUUAUGCCUCGGUUUUAAUUUAAUUAGAAGAACAUUUAAUCUCCCCGUGCAUUUCAGAGACGGGUUUGAGCCUGGCUGGGGCUAUGUGGGGCUCUGACAGGGAUCCUAUGACUCAUGCAGCCCUGCACAGCCCUCCCGGGCGGGCCCCCAGAGGGCUUCCUUGGCACCUCGUGCAGACAGAGGUGGUCUGGAGCUUUGCAGAAGACAGGACACUGGUCUAGAAAGACAAAAUGGUCUCAUCUGUUCUUGACAAGCCCCUCACUCAUCCUUCUGGACACUGGUUCCCAGAAUGGCCUUUCUGUCCUUUCCCACCAAAGUUUACAGGAAGAGAAAUAUGGUGAGGAGCUUAGACACUUACAGAGCUGCAGUGCCUGGUACCCUGGGGUCUGUGGGAGUGGGCCACAGUGGGCCUGGUGUCUCCAAAAUGUCCCAGGCCAAGCUGGUCCCAUCAAAAGAGCUAGCCCCUUGGUCCAUGGAGCCAAAUUUGGGGCCACCCUUGUGACGUUUGCCCUUAUUUCCAGACGGCACAGACUGGCCCUGUCCUUGCUGACAAAUGCAGAAUUCAGGAGACAUUAGUAGUGAUGUGGAUGAAAGCCAGGCCACAGCAGCCUUGCUGGAAAAGAGCAACUUGAAUGUCUUGGCGUGAGAUUCUGCAGGGUCCAGGAGAAAGUUGAAGACAUGGAAAUUCUAAUUAACGCACACGGGGCUGUUUUUGCUCAAGGAUUUGCGAAGCUGUCAUGUCGCAAGAGGCCAGGCAAGCACAUGCUUGCCAGGGAGGUGCUCACAGUCACCUGGUGGGGGUCUCUGCAGCUUUUCCUCUGCCUUCUUUCCACCCCCUCUGCCCAGCCUCGGGGGUCCUGGUCCUCCCCCAUGCCCAUCUCAAUGGGCUGGGUGCUCCCUGAGUGUCCCUCUGGAGAGUGGGACUGAGGGCGGUAUCUGUUAACCUCGAGCUGGGGCUUGCCUGUCUAAGAUGCCAAAACAGAAGAGACGGGGGCCCUUCAGAGAAACCACACGACUGGGCUGGGCAGAGCCAUAGGCUGCAGGGCUUAUGGGCCUGUCCUCUUGGGCUAUCUCAGGUAUCCAUGUGCAACCAAUGGGGCAGACGUGUGAAUUCCAGGCCAGUCCUGGCUGGCUUGGCAGCUGGGGAUGCAGUGUGAGGGAGGAUUCACAAAAAUGGUUUCAGCCUCCCAGGGUUGCUGGGAGAAGCUCACCCAGGCCACACCUGCACACAGCCCCCAAGUUCAGAGCCGCAGAUCCUCAGGCCCCUAGCCCUGUGCCUCAGCACUGGCACAAUGUGUCUGCAGUCCUUGCUUCAUCUUAGGCAGGGUUGAGUAAGCAGCAAUCCUAGGGCUUCUCCAUGCCUGGGGCUUUGGGGGUUCUGGGGAGGAAGAGACCAAGAGGGCUAUACAUGCCCUGCUCCCUCCUGGCACCAUUCGAAAGACUUAGGGAACUGGUACUGAGGGCUUUGAGAGCCAAAGGAGGACACAGCCGUGCAGCCUAAGUGUGUCCUGGGGGGUUUGCUGAGCAGACGUUGGAAAGAUGAAUGGAAAUCUGGUGGCUGCAGAUGGGUGACAAGGGCAUUCUAGAUGGCAGGUCACCACACGCAAGGCACAGGGUUGCACACAGGCAUGGCACCGUCCCCGCCCACUGUCGAGCCAGUGACCCUUGGUGAGCAGAGGAUAGUGAGUGGGUCAGAAUCCCAGGAACUCACCCUGGCUCUUGGGGUACAGGGCUCCUCUUGUCAUGGGGGUGCUCCCCAACUGCCCAUGCAGGCCUAUAGUCUCUACUUCACACCUUUCUCUCAGAAGCCCUGUCAUAUGGUUCUGGGUGGGAGACACAGGCUCAGGGAGUUUGAGGCUGGCAGGGACUGUCUUGUGCCCCAUUCAACUUAGGAAGACAGCUUCUGCCUGAAAGGUGUGUUUGAGGCUGAGUUCUGGCCGCCCAGAGCUGGUUGAGGGUUCCUGAGGCUGAGCAGUAGGGCCCACCUACAGGCUGGGAUGCAGCGACGCCACUCUUUGUCUCCUGGGUACCCCGCGCCUCAGCUUGUCAUGACUCCCUAGCUUGCAUCAGGCCUGCUCACCCCCCACCCCACCUCUGGCUAACAGGCCCCGGAAAGAGGAGCUUCGCCCAGCCCCAGGGACCUUCCCGUAAUCAAGGCUAUAGUGACCUCACCUCUCUGGGGCCCUGCGGGCGGGGAGAGCUCGAGAUGGAAACAAAAUGUGUCUUUAUUUAUGUUUUUAAUUUGAAUUCUGGAACUGGCCCAGCAUGGUAAUACAUUUAACAUCAGUAGAAUGCUGAAGAAAAAUGGAAAUGUUUUUUGGUAACUGCCUCCCACCCACUCUACCCCCUGUGAGACCCCAGCACACAUCCCUGUCCCUCACACACACCAGGGUGUGUGCCUCUCUUCCCAGUUCAGGGUCCAUGGAGCCAGGCUGCCCACAGGAGCUUCGCUGCAUCCCUGAGCAGCUGGAGCUGAGUUUAACUAUGGGCAUCACUGGGCAGGCUGUGCGGGAGGUGGAGGAAUGCAGCCUCAAUGUGGGCAGAAGACCUGCAUGGCCCCCACACCCCUGCUGCCAGGUGGUUUGGGCCCUGAGGAAACAGGGUUCCCACUGCUGCCAGCCUUCUCCCCCAGAUGGAGUGGGGCCUCUGCCCAGCCUGUAUCCCUGGAGGAGCCUGGGUUCCUAGGCCCUGACAAUGUACGUGCCCACUCUCCCCUUCAGGCCUCUCUGGAGGGACCGUACCCUGACUUCUGAGGAUGCAGGAACCCAGCUCCCCUGAAGCCUCAGCCCUGAGUCUUCCCUGACCAGAACACAAUGCCUCAAGGUGGCCCCUUUGCAGCAACCUCCUUGUUUUUCCCUCUCCCAGUCCCCUCUUCAGAUCCCUCACCCCAAGCCCCACACCUGGGCUCCUAACUGCCUUCCCAGGCUGGCUCACAUCCAGCAGCCACUUUUGGAACAGCCUGCUCUGAGAGAGGCCUUGGUAAGUUCCAGGGCAGGGACCUGGUUGGGUAACGACUGGAGUCUCUGACCUGCCUGGGCCCACUUAUCACUGGAGGCCAUGGGAGUGCCAACCUGAAAAGGCUGCAGGAUCUUGCAGAAUGGUAAUGUGCCAGACCCAAAGUGGGCAGAGAGCUUGGGGAUGGAUGUUCAGGUCUCUCAGGCCCUGUCAUCCUGGAGUGGAACAAGAAACAGCCCAGUGUCCUAGAUGACACAGCCACACUGGCUUGGGGUCACCCCUGGGCAGGUGGGUAACCACUGGCUCCAGGGAGCUUGGCAUGUGCUGAUACCAGCACUGGCAGCCCUCAUCCCCAUAGUGGUGAUUUACUGGGCAGCUGCAAGUUUGGCUGUGAUCCACAUAAGUGCCUUGUCUCUCACCACCUUCACCUGCAGGGGCCUUGCAAGACCCAAGAGUUGGUAAGGCCUGGCUGCCCAGCUAAAUGGACUGUGGGUGAUGGCCCUCUCCUCCCAGUAGGACUUUUUGCAUGUCUGGAUGCCGGUCUGUGACCAAGAGAACCAACGUGAGCGAGAGCUCCAACAGGAGAAGCAAGCAGCCAGAAGGAUGAGAAGGGACAGUCCCCUCUCUGAGAGGCCAGCCAAGAGGCAAUACAGGCACUGCCACCUGUAUUGCACACAACAUGAGCCACUAAACUCUAACACUGAUCACUUUGGAGGUCUGUCAUAUCCAGGACUUGGUACAAGCCUUGGCCACAGUGUAAGCCAUCAUUCUGCCUUCUGGUGCUGACCUGUACCUGGGCAGCCCAUCUGGCUACCAGCCUGCUCACACCUCUGCUCCUGCCUUUUUACCCAGCCAGGAGGGGCCCAGAAGCUCAGAGCCCUAUUCUCAGGGUGUCCAUGACUAGUCACCCCUGCUUUCCAGUGACCUGCUGGCUCCCUUGGAGCCUCUUCACACCCUACCAACCAUGAGGUACUGCCAACCUCUCUGUGAACUGGCGGGGGAGGGGGGGGGCCUGGAAAGAUAGUGGGCAGGUCCCGUCUGAUCAUAAUUACCCCUUAAGACAGCCACUCCUUCCCUGGAGGUGGCCUCAUUCUGGCUACCCAACCCUGCCAGUUCUCUGGUUAUACCUGCAGCCCCCAGCACCAUGGGUCCCGAUUUCCUCAGUGAUUUGCAAGGCUAGGCCUGCACCUGGCUGGCUGCAAAGGCAGGAGGCCCAGGGCCUCACUACGACAAAGACACACAUGGCUCAGGACAACCUCCUGACCCCCAGAGAGUCCAAAGAACAAAACACCCUUUAGAAAAACGUCGGUAGAGAGAAGGAGAGUUCCCACAAGUGACCCUCAGAAGGGCCGCGAGUGUCACUCACAGAUCUUGACACAAAGACAUUUAUCAAGGGGAAUCCCCAAUGGGUUAGCAGCCAGAAUGGGACUGUGGCCAGAAUGGACUUGGGCGCCCCACUGACCCCACUGCAUGGCUGUCACCGCUGGGCACCCCAGCGGGGAGUCACAUGUCGCAGGGGAAUCACACCAUGGCCGGGCACCGGGGAUUGGCCUGGCCAUGCCGUGACGGCGGGGGAGGACGGGCAUGCAUCCCAGGCCAGCUGUGCCUCAGGGGAAGGCCAACUGGAAGGCGUGGAAAAUCAGCCAUUUCCUCCACCUGAAGGAGCCCCUGAGGACAGCAGCAGCAACUGGCAGACUGCACCCGGCAUCUGCCCCAUGGCUUUGGCCAGGGUUCCACGGGGAAAUGCUAAAAAACAAAGUCGUCUCUUUUUUGGGGGGCAGGGGAGGGGGCUGGGGGAGAGAAAAACAAUCUCAGACUCUCAAAGCAUGAAAACAAGUGGAAAAUGAUCAGUCUGGUUUUCCAUAAGUCAAAACAAGAGGAUCAUGUUCCCAGGCUCAGUGGGAAGUGCCCUUGCUCUCCUCUCUUGCCUGGUGCCUCCGUGCUGGGGCUAGGCAGACGGCAAGUGGUGGGCACUGGGCGAGUAGAUAGCACUCUGGCCAGAGAGCAAGCCUUCCCCAGCACCAAGGCUGACUCCUUGAGCCCCAGUCCCCUCCAGCCCAGCCCUUCACGCACAUGUAGGCACUCACUGUGAGAUGUGGGUGAUGGGUGUCAGCAGAGUCUCCCCUUCCAGGUCCAGGUCCUCAGCGAAGCUGUUGGUUCUCAUGAAGUGGGGCAUGCUCACUUCCAGCAGUGUUGGGCUCUUCCUCACUGAGGAGAAAAGUGUGGGGACAGCACGUUAGGCCUCCCACCCAACCUGCCAGUGCUGUGGAGCCAGGCCUGUGAGCUCCCAGGGCCAGGUGAGGAGUGGAGCUUGUGCCUGGAAGCUCCAGCCCUGACAAUCAGUUUUAUAGUGGGGUGUUGGGGUGGGUGGGUGUUUAAGAUGGCCCCAAAGUGCCUGACACCUCAGUGUCUGAGGAGAGUAAAGGCCAGUGAAUCCUCUUCAGAGUGGUAACUGCCUGGGGAUGUGCUCAGGUGUCCAAGACUCUCCCCACCUUAGGUUCUGGGCCUCUUCCCAUGUUCACAACUGAUACUUGGGUCAAGAAUAAAACAGAAGUGACACGCACAGGCCUGGUAAGGGACAACAGCUCCCACCACCAUACAUUGUCACACUCAUACAUUGACACAGCAGUGGGUCAGGAAAGAUGGGGUGAUAGGACCUCUGGCCCACGAGGAAUGGCAGGCCUGGGAGGUGGGGGCAGCCACAGAACUCCUUUCUCAAAACACGAUGCCACAUCAACCAGUUGUACCUCCAGUGAGGCACAGGAGUCCCUCCAACAGCUGGCUUCACAUUCUGAUUCCUGGGCCCACCUCUGCAACUUUGACACAGGAGCUCAGGAUACUGAUCCUUAUCACUUCCCACUCUCUGUUGACACUAUCAGUAUUUGCUCUUGGCUUAUAUUUGUCUUCAUUUAAAUAUUUUAUUGCAAAAGGAUUAAGUACUCAUCUGUGAGAAAUGGAAUAAUUCGAAGAUUCACAAUGGCGUUCCUCCCCCAAGGUCAUCAGUGUUAACUGCCAACUAGAUCCCUAGCCCACCCUCUCUGCUCAUCCGAGCAGCAGAUGCCAGGUGGGAGUUGCUUUUAUACACAUGGGAUGUCACUGUGACUCUGUUCCUGUCACUCUGUAACAUAAGCUCAUUUCAUUUUUCUCUAGGUAUAUAGGCAUGGAUUUAAUUAUUAUUUUAGUCAUUACAUAAUAGUCCACAGUUUAGAUUGGCCACAGCUAACCAUUCUGUAUAUCAUGGACAUUCAGGCUCUUAUAGUUUUAAGCUGCUUAAUUAUUCAGACUAUGAUGCCAUAUCCAUCUUUAUUCUUAAAAGCUGACAUACUGGAGCAGGGUGAGAAGGUGUGUCCUUAGUAAUUUUAAUAAAUGUUGCUAGAUUGCUUUCCCAAGAAGUUGUAGCAAUUCAGGCUCCCCUGGCUUUCCCACAUCCAUGCCUGAAUGAAGUGUUGAAUGAAGCCUGAAUGAAGGUUGUCAGCACCUUUUGCAGGGACUACCAAGCAUGGAUGAAAACUGAGGCAUUGCUGUUAUUUCCAUCUGUGUUGAAUACCUUUUAUGGGCUUGGCAUCUAUUUGGGUUUCCUCUUGCAGAAUUGCCUGUUCAUAUGCUUUGCUCACUUUUGCUUAUCACUUUGUAGGAAUUUUCUAUACAUUACAGACAUUAACUCCUUGUUAUAUGAGGCAUAGAUAUCUUCCCCAGUCUGUUUUUUCACCUGAAUUAUGUUGCUUUUAUCCUAGAAAAUGUUUUAUGUUUUUAAAGUGAUACAUCUUUUGCUUUAUAAAAAAGGAAGGUUUUCCCACAUCAGCGUAAUACAACUCUCUCUUAAAUUUAUUCCUAAUUUCACUAUUUGAAUGUGUUCUAUGUAUACAUAUGUAUGUGUGUAAAAAUUUUAAUGCAUUUAGUAUUUAUGCCUGAUAGGACAGAUGAUCAACAAUUAGAAAAUGAAAAUUUAAAGGGUACUACUUACAAACUUACUGAAAAAAAAUCUAAAAUAAAACAUAAAACCAUAAAAUGUCUUGAAGAAAACAUAAGAGAAAAUCUCCAGGACCUUGGAUUUGGCAGUGAAUUCUGAAAUACGAAACCAAAAGUUUAACUCGUAGGAGAAAAAGAAUCAACAAAUUGGACUUUAUCAAAAUUAAAAGAUUUGCUGUGCAACAGACACUGCUAAUGGAAUGAAAAGACAAAGCACAGACUUGGAAAGAAUAUUUGCAUAUCACCUAUCAGGUCAAGGACUUGCACUCAGAAUAUAUAAAGAAUGCUUACAACUUGACAAUAAAGUGAACAAUCCAAUUUUAAAAAUGGAUUAUAAAUAAGCACAUGAAAAGAUACACAAUUAACAUAAAUAUGGAAAUGCAAAUUAGAAUCACAAUGAAAUUCCAUAAAUUAAAAAAAAAAUUCAAAACCUGACAAUACCAACCACUCUUGAGGAUGUGGAACAUGUAGAACUCUCAUAUGUUACUGGUGGGAAUGCAAAAUGGCACAGUGACUUUAGGAAAUAGUUUAGCAAUUUCUUAUUAAGUUAAACAUACACAUACCACAUGACCUAUUGGUUCCUUUCCCACCCAAGUGAAUUGAAAUUUUAUGUUCACAAAAACCUGUACAUAAAUGUGUAUAGUAACUCUGCUCAUAAUUACCAAAUACUGGAAACAAUGAAGAUGUCCUUCAACAGGUGAAUGCAUAAACAAAAUAUAUAUAUUCAUGCAAUGGAAUACCACCCAGCAAUAAAAAGAAAUUAACUAAUGAUUUAUGCAACAACAUGGAUGAAUCUCAAAUGCAUUUUGCUAAGCAGUGAAAGAAGCCAGAUGCAAAAGAAUACAUAUUAUAGGAUCCCAUUUAUAGGACAUUCUAGAAAAAACAAAACUACAGGGACAUAAAACAGAUCAAUAGCUGCCAGUGGUUAGGGGAGAAGUACUUGACUUCAAAAGACUCACCCCAGGGUAUUUUUAGGGGUAUGGAACUUCUCUGAAUGAUACUGGAUUGUGGAUACAUGACUCCAGGCAUCUGUCAAAUCCCACAGAACUGAAUCUCAAAGAGUGGAUUUUACUGUAUGCAAAUUUAAAAAAUUAACCCGGAUGUUGGAGGACCCUACGAUGAAAAGCAGACUGUGAUGAGCGAAUUCUAUGUGUGUUACAAACAAAUGACAUAGCAAUGAAAGGAAAGAAGGAGGAGCUGGCAUAUGUUGCUUUCAAAAACACUGUUUUGACUGGACACUCUAUGGUUAAAGCAAAAGUCUGUCAUAAACACUCUAAUCUAGUAGGUAAAUUUGCUUCACAUACGGUACUACGUGUACAAUAGGGUUACACAAAUAAGUAAAUGAACUGUAGGUAAUGGGAGCCAGGUUUCUCGCUGUCAGAGAAAAAGCUAUAAAUAAGUUGUGGGGGAGGGGGCAAGGAUGAACUCUGGUCAGAAAUGUCAGUAUGAACUCAUGGUUAGCUUUAUAUAGAUACAGAUAUGUAAAGAUGUAUGUGUACUCAGGUUACAUACAUACAUAUAUUUCCUAGCUCUGUCCACUGAGAGGAGACAGAAGCAGUGAUACCCCAGUAGCCACGAGCAUACCCCGUGCCUAGAUCCAGGUUUUCUAUUCAUUCUCCAAUAAAAGGAGCCAGGGCUCUCUGGAUGAAUGGAUGAUUCUAGGGCUAGGGUAGGGAAAAUAAAAGAUGAGCCUGAAGUAUUGUCAAGUGCUAGAAAAGAAAUGCUUAAAAAUAAAUGAAAAGGAUGGGGGGCACAUCAAAAGGACACAUGAACCCACCAAUGGCCACAGCUAGAACAAUUUGAGCAAUAAAAUAAAUAACAUCGGACUAUAACUCAAAAAAUAAAUACUCCCAAAUCCACACUGAUAAAAUUAAAUAAACAAUUGGAGGAGAGGGACAAAUCUUCCUUACAAAGGAAUUCCAAAUAAAAAAUGUAGAAGGAAUGAGGAAAAUAGAAGUACAUCACGGUAAUAUUUGCUUCAGGAAAAUGAUCCAUGAAUGAAUGCUGAAAUUAGUGAAACUCAGAAACUUCAGUUUCUUCCUUGAAAUAUAUUUUAAUUGCAGUGGUAGUUUUAACAUAUUUUCAGAUUUUUUUUUGAUAUUCUCCUGCAGGAGGUAGAGUUGAACUCCUCCCUUCCCCACCUUGAGUGUGGGCUAUACUUAGUGACUCGCUUAAGGGAAAAACAGCAAUUCACUUACAGUGGAGGAGCCUGGCCGACACCACUUUAAAUGAGUGGCUCAAGGUUAAUAUUACCAGUGAUAAACCAUGUUGAUGUCAUGUUCCACAACGAGGAAAGCAUCUCACCUCAUUGGCAUUCUUCCCCUAAACCUAUAACCCUGGUCUAGUCCUGAGAAAACACCAGACAAACCCAAACUGAGGGACAAUGACACCUGACUGGUAUUCUUCAAAAGUGUCAAGUUAAUGAAGAACAAGACUGAGAAGCCCGUCACCGAUCAGAGAUGACUAAAGAGACAUGCUCAAUAAAUGUAAUGAUAGAUCCUAGAUGGGAUCUUGGAACAGAAAAAGGAUAUUAGUAGUUAAACUGGGGAAAUCCAAAUAAAUUUACAGCUCUAGCUUAAUAGCGUACCAAUGUUAAUUUUUUAGUUUUGAUCAAUGUACCAUGGUUAUGUGAGAUGCUAACAUUAGGGGAAGCUGGUGAAAGGGAUGUGGGUACUCGGUACUAUUUUUGUUUCUCUUCUGUAAAUAAAAGAUGUGAGAUAACAAGCAAAAACAGAACCUGUAUACAAUAGCACAAAAGAAUAUUAAUUAUCUAACUAAGGAUAUGCAAGAACUCUGGAGAAAAUUGUAAAACUUUAAUAAGGGACAAUGAAGAAGAUAUAAAUGAAGAAAUAUGCCUUCAUUCCAAUGACUAGAAGACUCAAUACUGAAAAGAUUAUCUCUAAAUCUGAAUAGAUCUCUCCAAAUCUUAAUAAAAAUCUCAAGGCUUCUGUGUGAGAACUUUGGCAAGCUGAUUCUCACAGCGACUUGGAAGUGCAAAAAGCCAAGAAUUGGCAAUAUUCUUGAAGAAGAACAAGGUGGGAGAACUUGCUGUACCAAACAUCAGUACAUCUUCCAAGGCAGUGGUCAUUAGGGCAAUGUGGUAUUGACACAGGGAGAGACAAAUAGGCCAAUGGGACAGGAUUGAGCAUUGGGAAAUAGCCCACACAAAUAUGGAAGCUUGCUGUGUAUCAGAGGUGGCCUGCACAUCCUGGGAAGAGCAUGGACUUUUCAAUCAAAUGUUCAGGAGCAGUUGGAUACCCACACUGGAAAAACAUUAAGUUGGACCCUUAAUUACCUCACAUCAUAUACCAAAAAUUCAUUCUUGUCAUUCUAGGGGAUUGAAGACCUAAUUAUGAAAAGCAUAACUAUAAAGGUCACAUGACUGAAUAUAGAAGAAUAUCUUAAUGACAUCAGCAUUAGGAUGGUUUUCUUUUUUUAAAAGAAGCAAUAACCAUAAGAGAGAAGACUGAGUAAUCUGACAUUAGAGUUAAGACCCAAUCAUCAAAAUACACCUUAAAGAGUGAAAAGAUAGUGCCCACAAAAUGCAAAGGACUCCUACAAAUCAAUAGGAAAAAUAUAAAUGACUUAAUAGAAAAUGGGCAAUAGACAAAGUAGCACAUCACAAAAGAGGAAUCCAAAAGGCUGAUGAGCAUGUGGAAAGGUGUUGCGCCUGACUAGCAAUCAGGGAAAUGUAAAUAAACUCAGGAGCUCAUGGCCCGUGGGGGUGAGUGGCAGACUUCCAGCAGGAAACCACACAGACAUUACUUAGUCACAGCCAGGAGAAGGGCUCAGAGUGAAAGGGCUCUGUGCCCAUGACAUCCUUAGAGAGACCAGGGAAGGACCUGUAAGGCUUGAAGAAUGUGUGCAGAUUUGGAGACCCACAGGUCUGGGACCUGGCAGAAGCAUGUUACUGCCCCCAUUUUAGAGAUUUGGGGCUGAGAUUCAAGUACCCUAGGUUAUAUAAUGCAGUUGUCAAGUGACAGAGCUAAAAUUUCAUCCAGGAUUCAAUUUUUUUUAAAGGAAGGAAGAAAGAAAAAACAUAUUUUGAUGUUUGCAUCACUUGUAUGUAGAAGGAAUGAUGGAGCACAGGCUAGAACGUAGAGUUGCUUUCCAAACACCCGUGAUGACAAGUGCCCAUCUCCAAAGCCUGAGGGCCAAGGGUGAGCCACCUGACCGCUGAGGAAGGUUCUGCCCUGGUGUUUUAGGAAAUUAAAAUGUGCACAUCAGUUGGCUGCCCAGAGUGGGUGGGACCUGCACCUGCCAGAGAGGAAUGUGUGCUUUUUGGUUUAAUCCUGGGAACGGCAUAUGGGGCCCCUAUAACAAGGGGCAGAGAAGGGCUCCACAGGUUUGUUUUUCCAAUUCAAGAGGAGAGGUUAUUGUCUGCUGGCUUGUGUGUCGGAGACUGUGGGGCGUGCUUUCUCCACCACAGGGAGGCAGUGACCAGAGCUGCCACCUCUUCCCUGUUUUCACCUGUGGCCGUAGCCAGGUCAGGCAUCUAGGAGAGCAUGGAGGGGAGCUCGGGGUGGGUGGGUGGGGAUUCAGCUCUUUCCGGACACACUGGUGCUGCCUCUUUCAGGCCAGGGCUUGAGGGCAAGUGCUGUGCCCUAACAGGUCUUGUCACCCCCACCUCUGAAGUGGGUAUUUCACAGCCUGAACUCACAGCUGCAGAGAAGGUUGAGCCCAUGGUGUACUUGAAAGGGCAGUUCAUCUGGAUAUCCAGGCUCUGCAGGAGGUACCGGAGCAAUGCCAGGUGCCCUUUGCUGAACUGCCUGGAGUGGCUGGCCCUGGGGACAAAGAGCACAGCAUCCUGGUGACAAUGAAGUCACACUUUCCUAAGACAGUCCUGGUUUUUGAUGCUUUAAUUCUUUGGCUGCCUUUGCUUUGUCAAGGCCAGGAUCUGGGCCUAAAUUUUCAGGGCAGAACAAAACAAUUUUGUUUUCUAGGAAAAUGGGAGGUCUGGGAUGGCAAAGGCAGCCUCGGGCGUGGCGACUACCCCAGCUGGGGACGCCGGCUGCCAAGUCUCACCCUCUCAAGAGAACAGGAAUCAAACUCAGCACAGCAUCCUCCUUUCUAGUCAGUGGUCCUGCUCGAUAGGGGGAUUUGAAUUUUAUUUUUUUAAAAAUACAGACACAGAAAAAAGACUAGAAGGAAACAGAUCCAAAUGUUAACUUUGUCUUUGGGUGAAGGGACUUUGGGUGAUUUUCAUUUCCUUCCUUAUUGUGUCUGUGUUUUCUAUUUUGGAUGAUACUUUUCCAAGUCAAGAAACAAUAAUUUGUGGAAGUCUCCUGUAUCUGUGCCUUGCUCUCUGGCCCACGACCCUGCACAUCUUAUCCUAGAGUUGCCAGAAUAUGUCCCUCCACCUGGCCUGGAGCUGCCCAUGAGGCUACAUAGAGCUCUCCUAUCAUGAAGGUCUUUGAGGCUUUCUGUUCCCAAGAAAUUCUGGUCUCACUUCCUCUGCCUUCUCAUCAAGUCCCAGACCCCUCCCUGCCCAGAUUAGGUCAGCAUUCGAGCCCCAAGUCCAGCCUAUGACAAAGCUUAAAGCUCCAGCCCAUCUCUGCUGCCCUCUGCCCUCAAGAGACUCUCGCCAGUGUCUGGGCCCUUCCUAGUAACUUCACCCAACCACUCACCCCCUGCCCUUCCCCUCCUGAUUGAUUAAAAUCCGGCCUAAUCUCUCAGGUGUAACCCAAGCCCUCUUCCACAAGCUUUCCAGGGCUCCGGAGAUUGCCCCCUCCCCUGUACUGCUGCAGGGCUUAUGUGUGCCUGGCGCUCAGCACGGGAACCUUGCCUUCUGCCUCACCCAUGUCUCUCCAGGGUUUGGCACAGGCGAGUUCCCUGUGCCAGCCUACUUCACAGGGAUGAACAGAAGCUCUCCCUAUCCUUUGCAAGUAGAAGCCCCCUCCCUGGCCCCCUCAAGAAAUCUCCCCCUCUCAGUGGAUUCACCAAAGCCCUGCGGAUCCUGCACUGUGAAGGAGAAGCCCUCCCCAGGGACAUCCGGACAGCUGCAGCCAGGCCCUGCGUGACAUUGCUGAGCCGCAGCCCCACAGCCUGUGCCAGCUGCCCAUGCCCGGCUCAUAGACCCCGAGCCAGAGUGGCCCCGCCACCACCUGUGUCUCCACUCAGAGGCGAGAAGUAAGGGACAUGGAUGGAAAGUGUAAAAGCCAUUCCCACAACAGCUGCCAGGAACAAGGCGAGGAAUGGAGUGAAAAUGUAUAUUCACAGCUGGCACCCAGUUCCGCUUAGGAAAAUACCUUGCUUGAGUGGACACCUGUUGUUUUUGCCUGCCCAGCAGCCAGGCCCGGCUUCUGGGAACAGCUUCUCAAAUCUUCCUUAGGGGGCUCUUCCUUUCCCACUCCUAGUGUGCAGUGUUUAGGUACCCUCUGGCCAUCCCCAAAGGGGUCCUUGUGGACCUUGCCUCAGCCAUCGGAGGUACAGCUGCAGGUCCAAGGAUGGCUUGUACCCCAGCUGAGGCCAAUAAGAACCUGGCCUUAGAUUCUGGCAGGAAUCCUGGAAGAGAUGACCUCGUUCUGCUGGGCUUCCUGAGCUGUUGAAUGCAAGCUGGUGGCCAUUUUGCCCCUUUUAGAAAGUAGCUGCCUAAGGAUACAGCCAUCCCAUGGGGCCAGUGGAUAAAGAGCAAGGGAAAGGGAGAACAAAAGAGGGAAUGGGAAGAGAGAAGGGGAGUGCAAGAGGGGGAGAGUGAGAGCAAGUGAAAGAUCAUCUCAGCUCUGGGGUCCAGCUGUGUCUGAAACAGCUGGGUCCAGCUGUGUGAGCCAAAAAAUGUCCCUUUUGUGCUUAAGCUUGUUUGAGUUGGGGUUCCAUCAUUUGUUACCAAGAGAGUCUUCAGGAAUGUACAUGACAAACUUAGGGGUGAGGUGUGAGCCUAAGGACAUGGGCCUGGGGGCAGUCAAGGUUACAAAAUAGCUAAACUGGUCUGCACUGCCCCCACUAGUUUUCAGGGCAGAGGGCAGGGAGAAGGCUUGUGGGAAAGAAGCUGGCCUGAGGCCAAGGCCCUGGCCCUAGCCCUGCAACAGCACAGGCAACUCUUGGAAAGGGACUUCCUAAGGUGGGACAUUGGCUUUCUACUGCUGUGAUGCAAGUCCUCAUCUCCCCAAACCUUCAGUGAGCCUCUCUCCACACCCUGCUGUAUGAGGAUGUUUCAUGCAAAUUAUGGAACAUGUUGGAUCUCACAUUGGAUCAAAGGUGUGCAGAAUAGAUUUGCCUCAAGCAUGACAGUGAUGUGACACAGUCAAAGAUGACUUCCGGAAUCCUGAGAAAUCCCAGGGAGGAUUCUGGGCUUUCCAAAACCUAAGUUUAGGAUACUGAGGACCACACCCCACACCCCAAACACUUCUCCUUAGAAUGAGUAUAGCAAGCCUCAGCAUACACAAAUCUCAGAGUGAACGGAAAUGGCUCUGCAGGCCCAAGGGUGGGGUCUGAGUAGCGGGGGCGCUGAGGAAGACAGGCAGUGACAGAGCCAGGACAGGGUCAACCCUGAGCGUGAGUGAGCCCAGGAAACGGAAAGAGAGCAACACAGCCACCCACACAACUAAAAUCGACCCACCCGAGUCUCCAUGCUGCAGGAAGUCACUGUCUAGGUCUCCCAAGACACAUUUUCAGGGGAAGGUUCCAGGCAGCAAGAGCAGCCCUAGGAAACUUUAAUAUACAAUGGAAUCUGGGUUAAGCACUAUCUUCUCCAAGAGUUGAGCUCACAGGACAUUCCCCAGAAACCUCUGGAGAGGUGGGGAGGAAAGUUUCUGGAGGUCUUUGGAUGAAGAAAACAAAAAAGUGGCCUUGAUUUUCAAGGCAAAAUUACACAGGAAGAAAAAAAUGUUUUUAAUCUAAUUAAGAGCGAUCUUUUCACCUUCAUCACAACAUCGCGGAAAUGUGCCAGUUCUUAACUUCACACAAUAAUCAAAGCAAUUAGUGAGGGAGAAGCCUUGGAAACCGGUGCAGAUGUUCUCAGAAUGUUUAAUGGGGAAAUGAGUUGCAGGCCUCAUUCUCAGCAUCCGGCUCCAGGCCCUGGCUACCAAAUCCAGACAUCUGCUGGGGCCCCACCCCCAGGCCCCGAGGGCGCGGGCUUGAGAAACACAGGUCCCUUCCCAGGCCACCUCCCAGCCAGGCCAGAACUGGGGCCGAGAGGCUCCCCAUAGCUUCUCAAAUUGGAGCCUGGACACAGUCAGAGCCACCCCAGAACUGGGGGGAGGCUCAACAUCAAAAUUAUGUUAACAACUGAUGUCAAAAGUAAUCAACUCAGCUUGGCUCCCCCACUGCUGCUGGCUGCAGGAGGGCUGUGAGUAGGAGGAGAGCAAGCAGCCCCAGGGGGACCCUCGGCUAUGACCCCCUCAGCCUGAACACUACUUCAAGAAAAGAUGUGGUGGCAUCUGUCUGGUAUGGUCCUGUGGGCUCCAUUCCAAUGCUAAUGGACUCUUAAGGGGCCCAGGAAUCAAAAUGAUCAACACUUGAGGAAUUUCCAGUAAUCAGAGAAAACGUAUAGAAAUGAGGAUGAUGCUUACUUAGGAAAUGGCCUAUUACAGGGAACAGAGGGCCACGUGGCUAAUGUCAGCGAGCUGUGGGAGAGACAGAGACCCCAGGUGGGGCAGGCAGAUCAGCAAAUCUUGGAGGACCUGCUAUAUGGCAGGCACUGGAGACAUGGAGGUAAAGAACACAAUAUCCAUGUUCUCAGGGACACACUCAUAUGCCCUUAGCAUUCAUGUUCUUCACACUGACAGCUUCUUAAUGCAGGCCCACCAGAUACUUUCAUAAGCACUACCUCUGACUUCAGGCACUUGCUUAGCUGCACACAGGGCAGGCCAAAAGGAAUGGAAAGUGAGCCACCACCAGGGCAGCACUCACUAGUGACAGAUAAAUACCCCAGCUCUCUCAGCCGCUUGUAGAACUCUGAGGAGUGUUCUGUGCAGCUUCCCAGCUGCCCACCAUGAAGCUCUUUCUCAAUAAGUGACCAACACAGCUUAAUUCCUGAAUUAAGCUGUGUGUGCUGUGAGACUGGCACAAGACAGGGUGACAGGAAGCUGUCAGAACAUUCGAGUAGGGAAGCAGCAAGAUCCACUGUACAUUUAAAGAACUCCCUUGAGCGGUUAUGUGAAGAAUGGAGUAGAGGAAGCAAGAGUGGAAAGCAAGAGACCAGUAAUGAGGUAAGGACAACAAUGUAGGCAGAGAAAUGGUGGUGGUUUUAACCAGGGAGAUAGCUGGAGAGACUAGGUGUGGGCAAAUCCAGAGAGUUGAUAAGACAUACUGAUAGAUUAGAAAGGUGUACUAAGAAAAAAGGAUAAUUUAAAAAAGACUUUCAGCCAGGCUUGGAGAAAAAUAGCAUGCUGCUCCUCAUCCCCUCUGACUAUAAAUCAUCUCACUUAUCCUCCCCUAAAAGCAUAAAAUCAGUAAGUGCAAGUAAAACCACAUGACCCAUGCUGUUAGCAGUAUUAGGAGAAAGAAUACCUUCAAAUUGCCAGUGGGUAGCAAAGUGAACCAAAUUCCAAUAGCAUUCUAGUCCCCUGCCCAGCACUGCAAAACUGCAUACAGAAUCAGAGAAGAGGCUUAAAAUGCUUUGUCAAAAAGUUUGAAGGUAGUUAGCAACAUCAGCAAAAAUAGAGGAGUAAGUACCCCUAAGGAGCCUUCUUGCCUUCACAGACAUCCUAAGCGCCAAGCAGCCUAAGCCACUGAUGAACCUGCAGAUACCACUGAUGUGGAUUAUAGUCUAAUUAAUUGUAGAGACACCACCCUUCUCCACCGAACCAGAACCAAAGCCAAAGCACCCUACCCAAAUGAUACUACAGAUGCGUGUACAGGAAAAGUCCUUACUAAGGCUACUCCAUAAAAUUGGAAGUCUCUGUUAUUCCAGAUAUGCAGAUAUCAACUUGGGGACACAAAAAACUGGGGGGAUAAAAAACAAGAAAACAUGACUUGCCAAAAGAACACAAUAAUUCUCCAACAAUAGACUCCAAAGUAAAGGAAAUCUUAAGGAAACCCAAUGAGAUAAAAGAGAACACAAACAGACAAUACAAAGAUAUCAGGAAAACAAUUCAUUAUCUAAAUGGGAAAUCCAGCAGAGUUAGAUAUGAAAAAGAACCAAACAAAAAUCCUGGAGGUGACAAAUUAAAUGAAUGAAAUAAAAAAUACAAUUGAAAGCUUCAAAAGCAGGUUAAGUCAAGCAGAAGAAAUAAUUUCUAAAUUUGAAGACAGGUGUUUUGCAAUAAACCAGACAGAUUUUAAAAAUAACAAUAAAAAAGAAUGAAGAACGCCUGUGUGACAUAUGACACUAUUAAGCUAACAAUAUUUCACAUUUUGGGAGUUCCAGAAGAAGUGUUGGGAUAAGGACCAGAAAAUCUAUUUAAGAAGAUAAUAUCUGAAAACUGCCAAAGUUUGGGAGAGAAAGAGACUAACAGAUAAAGGAAGCUAACAAAUCCCUAAAUAGAUUCAACCCUAAAAGGGCCUCUCUGAGGCACAUUUUCAUCAAACUGUCAAAAAUCAAAGACAGAAUUUAAAAAACACCAAGAGAGAAGCAUGAAGUCACAUAUAAGGAAAUCAACAGCAGAAUAACAGAUUUUUCAGCAGAAACCUUCUAGGCCAGGAAGGAAUUGAAUGCCAUAUUCAAAGUGCUGCAAGGUGGGGGAAAGCUCACAAAAUUGCUAGACACAAAUACUAUACCCAGCAAAGCUAUUCUUCAGAAAUGAAGCAGAAUGAGGGAAGAAAUUUUGCUUUCCUCAGACAAGCAAAAACUGAGGGAAUUCAUUACUACUAAAUCAGCCCCACAAGAAAUGCUUAAGGGAGUACUACAUCUGGAAGUAGGAGGAUGAUAUCAACCAUCAUGAAAAUACAAAAGCAUAAAACUCACUAGUAGAGCAGAUACACAAAUGAGAAACGAAAAGGAAUAAAAGAUUAUCACCACAGAAAACCAAAAAAUUGCAAAGAAAAACAAUGAGAGGAAACAAAAGUAUACAAAUCAGUCAGAAAACAAUAAAAUGACAGGAGUAAGUCCUCACCUAUUGAUAACAAUCUUGAAUGUAGGUAAUUUAAAUUUCCCAAAUGAAAGACAGAUACUGGCUAAAUGAAUUAAAAAAAUAAAACCCAAUUACAUGCUGCCUAUAAGAAACUGACUUCACCUGUAAAGACACCCAUAGACUGUAAGGGAAUGGAUAGAAAAAGAUAUUCCACACAAACAGACACCAAAAGCAUGCAGGAGUAGACAGACAAAAAAUACUGAGUCAAAAAAAAAAAAAAAAAAAAAAAGAAGGAGACAAAGGAGGUCAUUAUAUAAUUAUAAAUGGAUCAAUUCAGCAAGAAGAUAUAACAAUUAUAUAUGCAACCAACAACACUGGAGUACCCAGGUAUAUUAAACAAAUAUUACUAGUGCUAAAGAGAUAAACCCUAAUACAAUAAUAGUUAGGGAUGGCAACAUUCCAUACUCAGCAUUGGACAAUUCAUUUGGAUGGAAAAAUAUCAACAAGGAAAUAUUGGAUUUGAACUGCAUAGAUCAAAUGGACCUAACAAAUUUACACAUUUCAUCCACAGAUGCAGAAUACACAUUCUUCAUUAGCACACAGCACAUUCUCCAGGAUAUACCAUAUGUUAGGACACAAAACAGGUCUCAAUAAAUUUUUAAAAAUCAAAAUCUUAUCAAGUAUCUUCUCAGACCACAAUGGAAUAAAACUGGAAAUCAAUAACAAGAGGAACUUCUGAAAUUGAACAGAUACAUGGAAAUCAAACUACAUGUUCCUGAAUGACCACUGCGUCAAUGAAGAAAUUGAUUUAAAAAAUUUUAAAAUUCUUUGAAACAAAUGAAAAUAGAAACACAGCAUACAAAAAUGUAUAGGGUACAAAAGAAGUGCUAUGAGGGACAUUUAUUUCAAUAAACACCCACAUCAAUAAGGUAGAAAGUUUUUAAACAAAUAACCUAAUAAACGCAUCUCAAGGAACUAGAAAAGCAAGAAUAAAUCAAACCUAAAAUUAGAAGGAAAUAAAUAGUAAAGAUCAGAGCAGAUCUAAAUGAAAUAGAGAUAAAAGAUAAAAAAGACAAAAGAUCAAUGAAAUGAGGCCUCCCCCCCCACCCCCUGAGACACGGUCUCACUCUGUCACCCAGGCUAGAGUGCAGUGGUGUGAUCUUGGCUCACUGUAACCUCCGCUUCCUGGGCUCAGGCAAUCCUCCUGCCUCAGCUUCUGAGUAGAUGUGCAGCACCACACCUGGCUAAUUUUUUUUUUUUUGGUAGAGAUGGGGGUUUGCCAUGUUGCUCAGGCUGGUCUCAAACUCCUGGACUGAAGCGAUCGGCCUGCCUUGGCCUUCCAAAGUGCUGGGUUUACAGGUGCGAGCCAACAAACCCAGCCAAAAAGUUGAUUUUUUGAAAAGAGAAAAUAAAUAAACCAUUAGCUAGACUAACCAAGAAGACCCAAUAAAUAAAAUCAGAAAUGAAAAAGGAGACUUAACAACGGACACCACAGAAAUACAAAAGAUUAUUAGAGACUAUUAUGAACAACUAUAUGUCAACAAUUAGAAAACCUAGAGGAAACAGAUAAAUUCCUGGACAUAUAUAACCUCCCAAGAUUGAACCAGGAAGAAAAAAAAUCUGAACAGAGCAAUAACAAGGAAUGAGAUUGUAUCAGUAAUAAAGUCUCCCAGUAAAGAAAACCUCAGGAUUGCAUGGGUUUUCUACUGAAUUCUACCAAACUUUUAAAGAACUAACAUGAAUUCUUCUCAGACGAUUCCAAAAGACUGAAGAGAAAGGAAUUCUCCCUAACUCAUUCUGUGAGGCAAGCAGUAUCCUGAUACCAAAACCAGAUAAGGACACAACAACAGCAAAAAAGAAAACUACAGGCCAAUCUCCCUGAUGAACAUAGAUGCAGAAUCCUCAGAAACAAAACACACACACAGACACACAAACUAGCAAUCUGAAUCCAAUCGCACAUCAAAAAGAUAAUACACCAUAAUCAAGUGGGAUUUAUCCCAAGGAUUCAAGGAUGGUUCAACAUAUACAAAUCAAUAAAUGUGAUACAUCACAUUAACAGAAGGAAGGACAAAAAAAUACAUGAUCAUCUCAAUAGAUGCAGAAAAAGCAUCUGAUAAAAUUCAAAAUCUCUUCAUGAUAAAAAAAAAAGCUCAACACAUAAUGUCUAGAAGGAACAUAACUCAAUGAAGGUCAUAUAUGACAAACCCACAGCUACCUGGGGAAAAGCUAAACACCUUCUCUCUUAGAACUAGAACAAGACAAGGAUGCCCACUUUCACCAUUCUUAUUCAGCAGAGUAAGAAAAGUCCUCACCAGAACAAUUAGGCAAGUAAAAGAAAAAGGGUAUCCAAAUUGGAAAAGAGAAUGUCAUAUUGUCCUUUGCAGAUGGCAUAAUCUUAUACAUAGAAAAACCUAAAGAUUCCACCAAAAUCUUUUAGAACUGGUAAAGGAAUUCAGUAAAGUUGAAGGAUAAAAAAAUCAACAAACAAAAAUCAGUAGGUGUGGACAUGAUGGCUCAUGCUUGUAAUUUCAGCACUUUGAAAGGAUGAGGCAGCUGGAUUGCUUGAGCCCAGGAGUUUGAGACUGUCCUGGGCAACAUGGCAAAACCUCAUCUGUACAAAAAUGAGCUGGGCGUGGUGGCCUGCACCUGAAGUUCAGCUACUCAGGAGGCUGAGAUGGGAGGAUCACUUGAACCUCGGAGGUGAAGGUUGCAGUGAGCAGAAAUUGCACCAUUGCACCCCAGCCUGGGCAACAGAGUGAGACCCUGUCUGCACUCCCCCGCCUCCCCCAAAAAAUCAGUAGCAUUUCUGUGAAACAGCAAAUUAGCCAAAAGAGAAAUCAAGAAAGCAAUCCCAUUUGCAAUAGCUACAAAAAAAAAAAAGCAAAGCUUAAAAAAAGAGGUGAAAGAUUUCCACAAUGAAAACUAUAAAAUACUGAUGACAGUAAUUGAAGAGGCUACAAAAUUUUUUGAGACAUCCCAUGCUCAUGGAUUGAAAGAAUAAUGUUAAAAUGAUCAUAUUUACCUAUAGCAAUAUACAGAUGCUAUGAAAUCCCUAUCCAGAUAUCAGCAGGGGCUUCAAGAUGGCUGACUAGAGGCAUCUGGCACUCAUCUCCUCCACAAAGAAGAACAAAAAUAGCAAGUAGGUAACCACAGUUUAUAUUGAUCGCCUCUGAGAGAAUGCUGGAAUUCAACUGAGAAUAAGAAAAACCCAAUGCAAGGGAUAAGAGGGGAGUCAGGCAGUCUGCUUCUAUGGGACUGGCUGGGAUCAUGAAGAGACUCCUCAAUGUGCAGAAAGGUAAGUAAGUGAGCCCCCAGUGGUCCACAUUCCCACAGCAGACUCCUGAAAUCCUAGUCAGAGAACCCCCUGACCCAUAGAUGCCUUGAGACUAACAAGAGGCUACCUACAGACUGUGAAAUGGCAAUGAACAGCUCCCAGAGAGGGAGAUCACCCUGAAUCCUCAGGCAACUUCAGGAAAGUCCCAUUUUGAUAGCCCAACCCCCACCAGGCUGCAUCUGCCGUGGGCCGCACAUCCCUGUAUCUCAUCCCUGGAGCCCCAUGGACAUCCCUUACACAAAGCUGGUUGCCACUCCUGACUGCUGCCUCCAGGACAAAGCAUGAGCCAUUGGCAAUACUCUGCUACCUCUGAAGCAAGGCUGCCAUGAGGAAAGGUGACCCUGCCCAUAGUCACCACCUGGGGCCGAAGCAUGCAUUGCCCAACUGCCUGUUUAUAGCUGCUGCCACUGAAAGCAAUCCCACCCAACUUCCCCAGGAGUAGGGCUGCAAUAGACUUGCUGCUGCCCCCACAUGAGCAUUCAGCAGGGUAUACAGGGAUCUUCCUGUGCCUGCCUACCACAGUCAGUACAUUCUUGCAUUACUGGAGGGCCUCAGGACAGGCCCACCUGGCCUGGUCCCACCCUCUUUUCUCCCAGUGCCAGCGCAUACCAUCUCUGGGCCUAGGGAUCACCCUGCCCUAUCCAGUAUUGUUGGCACCUGAGCACUCCUGGGGGCUUAAGGACUGCCCUACCCAACUGACCAUUACCACCACAACUGGCAUUGACUUGAAUUUGCCACCUGUGGGCCUUGGGACAAGCUCAUCCAGCUUAUCCCAGCCAUCCCAAUACCAGCAUGGACACCUUGGGAGGCAGAAGAUUGUUCUGCCACUGCUACUGCCAUUGCCCAAACCAUACCUGCUGCUCAGAGCUCAAGGACCUACUCACCCUGUGGCCCAGCUCUGUCAUCAUUGGCACCUGAGCAAGUUGCCUGGAGGCCCAAAGUUGGUUUCCCUGGACCUGCUAACACUGGUACCAGCAUACACUACCAUUGGGCCCAAGGAUAAGCAUUCGGGGCCAGCCACUGCUGCCACUGGGGCCUGAGGACUGGCCCACCUGGUGUCCCUAUCCCCAGCCAGACUUUACCACAGCCUCCACCAACAACUGCAUCCUAAACUACAGAGGAACUCCCAGACACUACUGGUGCUGUUUACAGCUGAAAAAAAUUCCAUGGAGAUCACACUACUGCAGGAACCCAGAAUCAAAACCAAAGUGCCCUGCCCAAAGAACACCAUAGCUAUAUCUUCAGGAACAAGACUCUCUUAGGAAAGACAGAUCAAAAAAUUGGAAGAAGCUACUGUUACACCAGAUGUGCAGAUACCAAUGUAAGCACACAAGAAACAUGAAAAGGCAAGAAAACAUGACACCUCCUAAGGAAUGCAGUAAUUCUCCAACAGAUUCCAGUGAAAAAGAAAUUGAUGAAGCCUUGAAAAAUUCAGUAUAAUAUUAAAGAAGGUCUGAUAGACUAUACAAAGAAAUCAGAAAAAACAAUUCAGGGUAUGAAUGAGAAAUUUGUCCAAGAGAUAGAUAUAAAAAGAACCAAACAGAUAUUCUGGAAUUGAAUAAUAGAUUGAAUGAAAUAAAAAACACAUUUGAAAGCUUCAAUAACAGGCCACACCAAGCAGAAGAAAGAAUUUCACACUUUGAAGAUAAGUCUUUUGAAAUGACUCAGACAAAAAUAAAGAAAAAAUAGAAAAGAAUGAACAAAGGCUAUGUGACUAUAGGAUGCCAUAAGGUGACACCUUCAGUGUCCCAGAAGGUGAAGAGCAAACUAAAAGAUUAUAAAACCUAUUUAAUGAAAUAAUACCUGAACACUUCCCAAUCUCCCAAGAGAUUUAGAUCCAAAUAUAGGAAUCUCAGAACCCUAAAUAGAUACAAUUCAGAAAGGUCUUUUCCACAGCACAUUAUAGCAAAUUGCCCAUCCCAAGACAAAGAGAGAAUCAUAAAACCAGUGAUAAAAGAGGUUGUAGACACUUACAAAGGAACAACCUGCAGACUAACAGAUUUUUCAGCAGAAAGUUUACAGGCCAGGAGGAUGGAAUUAUAUAUGCAGAGUGCUGAAAGAAAAAAACAAAACCAAAAACCUGCCAGCCAGGAAUACCGUACUUAGCAAAGUUAUAUUCAUCAGAAAUGAAGGAGAAAUAAAGUAUUUCCCUUAAAAGUAAAAGCUGAGGGAAUUAAUUGCCACUACACUGGCACUACAAGAAAUGCUUAAGGGAGUCUUACAGGAAGAAGUGAAAGGACAACUUCAUGAAAGCACACAAAAUAAUCAGAAAUCAAUUAAUGACAGGAAUAAGCCCUCACAUAUCAACAAUAACCUUGCAUAUAAAUGGAUUAAACUUUCUACUUAAAAGACAGACUGGCUGAAUGGACUUAAAAACAUGACCCAGCUAAAUGCUGUCUACAAGAAACGCAUCUCACCUGUAAAGACACAUAUAGUUGAAAGUAAAGGAAUGGGAAAAGAUAUUACAUGCAAAAGGAAACAAAAACCAAACAGGAGUAGCUAUACUUACAUCAGAUAAAACAAAGGUUAAGCUAAAAACACUAAAAAGAGACGAAGUCAUUAUAUAGUGACAAAGGGAUCAAUUGACCAAGAGGAUAUAACAAUUCUAAACAUAUAUGCACCCAACACCAAAGCACCCAGAUAUAUAAGGCAAAUAUCAAAUCUGAAGGGAAAGGUAGACUUCAACACAAUAAUCUUGGGAACUUCAGUUCUCCACUUCCAGUAUUAGACAGAUCAUCUAGACAAAAAAUUAACAAAGAAACACUGGAUUUAAACUGCACUUUAUACCAUAUGGACCUAACAGACAUUUACAGACCAGUUCAUAAAACAGCUGCAGAAUAUACACUUUUCUCAUCAGCACAUGGAACACUCUUCAGGAUACAUUAUAUGUUAGGACACUAAGUAUGAUUUUAAAUAUAUAUAUAUAUAUUUUAAAUUGGAUUCAUAUCACAUAUCUUCUCAGACCACAAUAGCAUAAAACUAUAAAUAAAUAAGAGGAGCAUUCAAAACUGUAUAAAUAAAUGGAAAUUAACAUGUUCCUGAAUGACCAUUGGGUCAAAGAAGAAAUUAAGGCAGAAAUAAAAAAUUUACUGAAACAAGUGAAAAUAGAAGCACAACAUUCUGAAACUUAAGGGAUACUGCAAAAGCAAUGCUAAGAGGAACGUUUAUUGUAAUAAAUGCCUCCAUCAAAAAAGGUAGAAAAGAUCUUAAAUAAUCUAAUGAUGCACCUGAAGGAACCAGAAAAGCAAGAACAAACCGUACUAAACAUAAAAUUAGUAGAAGGAAAGAAAUAACAAAGAUCAGAGCAGAACUAAACAAGAAACUAAAUAAAUAUAAAGGAUCAAUGAAAUGCAAAAUCAGUUUUUGAAAAGAAACAAAAUAACCAGUGGCUAAACUAACCAAGAAGAAAAGAGAGAAGACCUACAUGAAUAAAAUCAAAAAUGAAAAAGGGGAUAUUACAACUCAUAACAUGAAAUACAAAAGAUCAAAACUCUUCAGUCUGAUCAAUAAAUUGAUUAUAGUUACAGGAUUUAAAAAUCAGGCUCAUUUCUAUAUACCAAUAAAGAACCAGCUGAGAAAGAAACCAAGAAGGCAUUAUCUUUUACAACCACUACAAAAAAUCUAGGAAUGAGUUUAACCAAAGAGGUGAGACACCUCUAACAAGGAAAACUACAAAAGUCUGAUGAAAGAAAUUGAAGAGAACACACAAAAAACGUCCCAUGCUCAUGGAUUGGGAGAAUUAACAAAAUUAAAAUGACCAUACUACCCAAAGCAAUCUACAGAUUCAAUGCAGUCUCUCUCAAAAUACCAAUGCCAUUUUUCAUGGAAAUAGAAAAAAUCCUAAAAUUCAGAUGGAACCAAAAAAGAGCUGGAAUAGCCACAGCAAUUCUGAGCAAAAAUAACAAAGUUGGAUGCAUCACACUGCCUGAUUUAAAAAUAUAAGGCUAUAGCAUCAAAAGCAGCACGGUAUUGGAAUAAAAACUGAUAGACCAAUGGAACAGAGUAGAACCUGGAAAUAAAUCCAUGUAUUUACAGCCAACUGAUUUUUGACAAAGAUGCCAAGAACACACACUGGGGAAAGAGCACCCUCUUCACUUAAUGGAGCUGGGAAAAUUAGAUAUCCAUUUGAAAAAUGAAACUGUUUCUAUCUCUUGCUAUACUAAAAUCAACUCAAGAUGGGUUAAAGACUUAAACAUAAGGCAUGAAACUAUAACACCACUAUUAAUAGAAGGAGACAUUGGGGAAACACUUUAGGACAUUGGUCUAGGGAAAGAUUGUAUGGAUAAAACCUCAAAAACACAGACAAAAACAAAAAUAGACAAAUGGGACUAUAUUAAAUGAUAAAGCUUGUACACAACAAGGGAAACAAUCACCAGAGUGAAGAGACAGCCUGUUGAAUGGGAGAAAAUAUUUGCAAACUACUCAUCUGACAAGGUACUAAUAUCCAGAAUAUACUAGGAACUCCAAUAACUCAAUAGUAAACAACCAAUUAAUUCCAAUAAAAAGUGAGCAAAAGACAUGGAUAGAUAUUUCUCAAAAGAAAACAUACAAGUAGCCAACAGGUAUAUGAAAAAAAAAUGCCCAACAUCAGUAAUUAUCAGGAAAAUGCAAGUCAAAACCAUAGUGAGAAUGGCUAUUUUAAAAAGACAAAAAUUAACCAAUGCUGGAGAGGAUGUGAAGGGAACUUUUAUACACUGUUGGUGGGAAUGUAAAUUAAUACUAUAGAAAACAGUUUGAUUUCUGAAAAACCUAAAAAGAGAAAUAUGACAUAAUCCAGCAAUCUCACUACUGGAUAUUUAUCUAAAGGAAAAGAUAUCAGAAUACUAAAAAUAUACCUGCAUCCCCGUGUUUAUUGCAGCACUAUUCACAACAGCAAAGAUAUGGACUCAGGAACCUAAGUGUACAUCAGUGGAUAAAUGGAAAAAGAAAAUGAGGUAAAUAUAUACAAUGGAAUACUAAUUGACCAAAGAAGAAUGAAAUCAUGUCCUUUGCAGCAACAUGAAUGGAGCUGGAGGUCAUUAUUUUAAGUCAGGCACAGAAAGAUAAUUAUCUUAUGUUAUUAUCAUAUGUGGGAGCUAUAAAAGUUGAUCUCAUGGAGGUAGAGAGUAGAAGGAUAGAUACCAAAGGCUGUGAAAGGUAUGUUUGGAGGGCGAAGAGGUUGGUUAGCGGGUAAAAAUACACAGCUAGUUAGAAUAAAUAAUUUAUAAUGUUUGAUAAGAGUCGGUUGACUAUAUUUAACAAUGUGAUGUAUAUUUCAAAAUACAAAAGAGGACUUGAAAUGUUCCUAACUACAGAGAUGAUAAAUUGAGGGUGAUGGAUACCCUGGCUUGAUCAUUACAAAUUCAAUGCAUGUAACAAUAGCACAUGUACCCCAUAAGUAUUAUGUAUCGGUCAAAAAAAAAAAAAAUAAGGAAAUCCCAGUGCUUUGGGAGGCCAAGGCAGAAGGGUCGCUUGAGCCCAGGAAUUCAAGACCAGCCUGGGCAACAAUGCACGACACUGUCUCUACAAAAAAUUAAAAAGUUAUCCAGGCAUGGUGGUGCAUGCCUGUAGUCCCAGCUACUUGAGGGGUCAAGGAUGGAGGAUGACUUGAGCCUGGGAGUUAAAGACUGCAGUAAGUGGGGUGGUUCCAAGAUGGCUGAAUAAGAACAGCUCCAGUCUAUAGCUCCCAGCGUGAGUGACCCAGAAGACGGGUGAUUUCUGCAUUUCCAACUGAGGUACUGGGUUCAUCUCACUGGGGCUUGUCAGACAGUGGGGACAGGACAGUGGCUGCAGCCCACCGAGUGUGAGCUGAAGCAGGGUGAGCCAUCGCCUCACCUGGGACGUGCAAGCGGUCAGGGAAUUCCCUUUCCUAGCCAACGGAAGCGGUGACAGACGGCACCUGGAAAAUCGGAUCACUCCCACCCUAAUACUGCACUUUUCCAAUGGUCUUAGCAAACAGCACACCAGGAGAUUAUAUCCUGUGCCUGGCUCGGAGGGUCCCAAGCCCAUGGAGCCUCGCUCAUUGCUAGCACAGCAGUCUGAGAUCGAACUGCAAGGCAGCAGUGAGGCUGGGGAAGCCUGCCAUUGCUGAGGCUUGAGUAGGUAAACAAAGUGGCCAGGAAGCUCGAACUGGGUGGAGCCCACCGCAGCUCAAGGAGGCCUGCCUGCCUCUGUAGACUCCACCUCUGGCGACAGGGCAUAGCCGAACAAAAGGCAGCAGAAACCUCUGCAGACUUAAAUGUCCCUGUCUGACAGCUUUGAAGAGAGUAGUGGUUCUCCCAGCACAGAGUUUGAGAUCUGAGAAUGGACACACUGCCUCCUCAAGUGGGUCCCUGACCCCCGAGUAGCCUAACUGGGAGGCACCCCCCAGUAGGGGCAGACUGACACCUCACACGGCUGGGUACCCCUCUGAGACGAAGCUUCCAGAGGAACAAUCAGGCAGCAACAUUUGGUAUUCAGCAGUAUUCGCUGUUCUGCAGCCUCUGCUGCUGAUACCCAGGCAAACAGGGUCUGGAAUGGACCUCCAGCAAACUCCAACAGACCUGCAGCUGAGGGUCCUGACUGUUAGAAGGAAAAGUAACAAACAGAAAGGACAUCCACACCAAAACUCCAUCUAUACGUCACCAUCAUCAAAGACCAAAGGUAGGUAAAACCACAAAGAUGGGGAAAAAAACAGCAGAAAAGCAGAAAAUUCUAAAACUCAGAGCACCUCUCCCACUCCAAAGGAAUGCAGCCACUCGCCGGCAAUGAAACAAAGCUGGACGGAGAAUGACUUUGACAAGUUGAGAGAGGAAGGCUUCAGACGAUCAAACUUCUCCGAGCUAAAGGAGGAAGUUCGAAUCCAACGCAAAGAAGCUAAAAACCUUGAAAAAAGAUUAGACGAAUGGCUAACUAGAAUAACCAGUGUAGAGAAGUCCUUAAAUGACCUGAUGGAGCUGAAAACCAUGGCACAAGAACUACGUGACAAAUGCACAAGCUUCAGUAGCCAAUUUGAUCAACUGGAAGAAAGGGUAUCAGUGAUUGAAGAUCAAAUGAAUGAAAUGAAGCGAGAAGAGAAGUUUAGAGAAAAAAGAGUAAAAACGAACGAACAAAGCCUCCAAGAAAUAUGGGACUAUGUGAAAAGACCAAAUCUACAUCUGAUUGGUGUACGUGAAAGUGACAGGGAGAAUGGAACCAAGUUGGAAAACACUCUUCAGGAUAUUAUCCAGGAGAACUUCCCCAACCUAGCAAGGCAGGAUAUUAUCCAGGAGAACUUCCCCAAUCUAGCAAGGCAGGCCAACAUUCAAAUUCAGGAAAUACAGAGAACGCCACAAAGAUACUCCUCGAGAAGAGCAACUCCAAGACACAUAAUUGUCAGAUUCACCAAAGUUGAAAUGAAGGAAAAAAUGUUAAGGGCAGCCAGAGAGAAAGGUCGGGUUACCCACAAAGGGAAACCCAUCAGACUAACAGCGGAUCUCUCGGCAGAAACUCUACAAGCCAGAAGAGAGUGGGGGCCAAUAUUCAAUAUUCUUAAAGAAAAGAAUUUUCAACCCAGAAUUUCAUAUCCAGCCAAACUAAGCUUCAUAAGUGAAGGAGAAAUAAAAUACUUUAUAGACAAGCAAAUGCUGAGAGAUUUUGUAACCACCAGGCCUGCCCUACAAGAGCUCCUGAAGGAAGCACUAAACAUGGAAAGGAACAACUGGUACCAGCCACUGCAAAAACAUGCCAAAUUGUAAAGACCAUAGAUGCUAGGAAGAAAAUGCAUCAACUAACGAGCAAAAUAACCAGCUAACAUCAUAAUGACAGGAUCAAAUUCACACAUAACAAUAUUAACCUUAAAUGUAAAUGGGCUAAAUGCUCCAAUUAAAAGACACAGACUGGCAAAUUGGAUAAAGAGUCAAGACCCAUCAGUGUGCUGUAUUCAGGAGACCCAUCUCAUGUGCAGAGACACAUAUAGGCUCAAAAUAAAGGGAUGGAGGAAGAUCUACCAAGCAAAUGGAAAAUAAAAAAAGGCAGGGGUUGUAAUCCUAGUCUCUGAUAAAACAGACUUUAAACCAGUAAAGAUCAAAAGAGACAAAGAAGGUCAUUACAUAAUGGUAAAGGGAUCAAUUCAACAAGAAGAGCUAACUAUCUUAAAUAUAUACGCACCCAAUACAGGAGCACCCAGAUUCAUAAAGCAAGUCCUUAGAGAUCUACAAAGAGACAGAUUCCCACACAAUAAUAAUGGGAGACUUUAACACCCCACUGUUAACAUUAGACAAAUCAACAAGACCGGAAGUUAACAAGGAUAUCCAUGAAUUGAACUCAGCUCUGCACCAAGUGGACCUAAUAGACAUCUACAGAACGCUCCACCCCAAAUCAACAGAAUACACAUUCUUCUCAGCAUCACAUCACGCUUAUUCCAAAAUUGACCACAUAGUUGGAAGUAAAGCACUUCUCAGCAAAUGUAAAAGAACAGAAAUUAGAACAAACUGUCUCUCAGACCACAGCGCAAUCAAACUAGAACUCAGGAUUAAGAAACUCACUCAAAACCGCUCAACUACAUGGAAAAUGAACCACCUGCUCCUGAAUGACUACUGGAUACAUAAUGAAAUGAAGGCAGAAAUAACCAUGUUAUUUGAAACCAAUGAGAACAAAGACACAACAUACCAGAAUCUCUGGGACACAUUUAAAGCAGUGUGUAGAGGGAAAUUUAUAGCACUAAAUGCCCACAAGAGAAAGCAGGAAAAAUCUAAAAUUGAUGCCCUAACAUCACAAUUAAAAGAACUAGAGAAGCAAGAGCAAACACAUUCAAAAGCUAGCAGAAGGCAAGAAAUAACUAAGAUCAGAGAAGAACUGAAGGAGACAGAGACACGAAAAACUCUUAAAAAAAUCAAUGAAUCCAGGAGCUGGUUUUUUUGAAAAGAUCAACAAAAUUGAUAGGCCUCUAGCAAGACUAAUAAAGAAGAAAAGAGAGAAGAAUCAAAUAGAUGCAAUAAAAAAUGAUAAAGGGGAUAUCACCACUGACCCCACAGAAAUACAAACUACCAUCAGAGAAUACUAUAAACACCUCUAUGCAAAUAAACUAGAAAAUCUAGAAGAAAUGGAUAAAUUCCUGGACACAUAUACCCUCCCAAGACUAAACCAGGAAGAAGUUGAAUCCCUGAAUAGACCAAUAACAGGCUCUGAAAUUUAGGCAAUAAUUAAUAGUCUACCAACCAAAAAAAGUCCAGGACCAGACGGAUUCACAGCCGAAUUCUACCAGAGGUACAAGGAGGAGCUGGUACUAUGCCUUUUGAAACUAUUCCAAACAAUAGAAAAAGAGAGAAUCCUUCCUAACUCAUUUUAUGAGGCCAGCAUCAUCCUGAUACCAAAGCCUGGCAGAGACACAACAAAAAAAGAGAAUUUUAGACCAAUAUCCCUGAUGAACAUCAAUGCAAAAAUCCUCAAUAAAAUACUGGCAAACAGAAUCCAGCAGCACAUCAAAAAGCUUAUCCACCAUGAUCAAGUGGGCUUCAUCCCUGGGAUGCAAGGCUGGUUCAACAUAUGCAAAUCAGUAAACGUAAUCCAGCAUAUAAACAGAACCAAAGACAAAAACCACAUGAUUAUCUCAAUAGAUGCAGGAAAGGCCUUUGACAAAAUUCAACAGCCCUUCAUGCUAAAAACUCUCAAUAAAUUAGGUAUCGAUGGGAUGUAUCUCAAAAUAAUAAGAGCUAUUUAUGACAAACCCACAGCCAAUAUCAUACUGAAUGAGCAAAAACUGGAAGCAUUCCCUUUGAAAACUGGCACAAGACAGGGAUGCCCUCUCUCACCACUCCUAUUCAACAUAGUGUUGGAAGUUCUGGCCAGGGCAAUCAGGCAGGAGAAAGAAAGAAAGGAUAUUCAAUUAGGAAAAGAGGAAGUCAAAUUGUCCCUGUUUGCAGAUGACAUGAUUGUAUAUUUAGAAAACCCCAUCAUCUCAGCCCAAAAUCUCCUUAAGCUGAUAAGCAACUUUAACAAAGUCUCAGGAUACAAAAUCAAUGUGCAAACAUCACAUGCAUUCUUAUACACCAAUAACAGACAAACAGAGAGCCAAAUCAUGAGUGAACUCCCAUUCACAAUUGCUUCAAAGAGAAUAAAAUACCUAGGAAUCCAACUUACAAGGGAUGUGAAGGACCUCUUCAAGGAGAACUACAAACCACUGCUCAAUGAAAUAAAAGAGGAUACAAACAAAUGGAAGAACAUUCCAUGCUCAUGGGUAGGAAGAAUCAAUAUCGUGAAAAUGGCCACACUGUCCAAGGUAAUUUAUAGAUUCAGUGCCAUCCCCAUCAAGCUACCAAUGACUUUCUUCACAGAAUUGGAAAAAAACUACUUUAAAGUUCAUAUGGAACCAAAAAAGAGCCCGCAUUGCCAAGACAAUCCUAAGCCAAAAGAACAAAGCUGGAGGCAUCACACUACCUGACCUCAAACUAUACUACAAGGCUACAGUAACCAAAACAGCAUGGUACUGGUACCAAAACAGAGAUAUAGACCAAUGGAACAGAACAGAGCCCUCAGAAAUAAUACCACACAUCUACAAUCAUCUGCUCUUUGACAAAGCUGACAGAAACAAGAAAUGGGGAAAGGAUUCCCUAUUUAAUAAAUGGUGCUGGGAAAACUGGCUAGCCAUAUGUAGAAAGCUGAAACUGGAUCCCUUCUUUACACCUUAUAGAAAAAUUAAUUCAAGAUGGAUUAAAGACUUAAAUGUUAGACCUAAAACCAUAAAAACCCUAGAAGUAAACCUAGGCAAUACCAUUCAGGACAUAGGCAUGGGCAAGGACUUCAUGUCUAAAACACCAAAAGCAAUGGCAACAAAAGCCAAAAUUGACAAAUGGGAUCUAAUUAAACUAAAGAGCUUCUGCACAGCAAAAGAAACUACCGUCAAAGUGAAUAGGCAACCUACAGAAUGGGAGAAAAUUUUUGCAAUCUACUCAUCUGACAAACGGCUAAUAUCCAGAAUCUAUAAAGAACUCAAACAAAUUUACAAGAAAAAACAACCCCAUCAAAAAGUGGGUGAAGGUUAUGAACAGACACUUCUCAAAAGACGACAUUUAUGCAGCCAAAAGACACAUGAAAAAAUGCUCAUCAUCACUGGCCAUCAGAGAAAGGCAAAUCAAAACCACAAUGAGAUACCAUCUCACACCAGUUAGAAUGGCAAUCAUUAAAAAGUCAGGAAACAACAGGUGCUGGAGAGGAUGUGGAGAAAUAGGAACACUUUUACACUGUUGGUGGGACUGUAAACUAGUUCAACCAUUGUAGAAGACAGUGUGGCGAUUCCUCAAGGAUCUAGAACUAGAAAUACCAUUUGAUCCAGCCAUCCCAUUACUGGGUAUAUACCCAAAGGAUUAUAAAUCAUGCUGCUAUAAAGACACAUGCACACGUAUGUUUAUUGCAGCACUAUUCACAAUAGCAAAGACUUGGAACCAACCCAAAUGUCCAUCAAUGAUAGACUGGAUUAAGAAAAUGUGGCACAUAUACACCAUGGAAUACUAUGCAGUCAUAAAAAAAGGAUGAGUUCAUGUCCAUGUCCUUUGUAGGGACAUGGAUGAAGCUGGAAACCAUCAUUCUCAGCAAACUAUCUCAAGAAUGAAAAACCAAACACCGCAUGUUCUCACUUGUAGGUGGGAAUUGAACAAUGAGAACACUUGGACAUAGGAAGGGGAACAUCACACACCGGGGCCUGUUGUGGGGUGGAGGGGAGGGGGGAGGGAAAGCAUUAGGAGAUAUACCUAAGGUAAAUGACGAGGUAAUGAGUGCAGCACACCAACAUGUCACAUGUAUACAUAUGUAACAAACCUGCACGUUGUGCACAUGUACCCUAGAACUUAAAGUAUAAUUAAAAAAAAGAGAGAGAGAGAGAAAAGAGAAAUCUAAAAAUAUAUAUAUAUAUACCAAAGACAAUCUUCACCGAAAUAGAAAAAACACAGUCCUUAAACUUGCAUGGAACCACAAAAGACCGCAAAUAGGACAAACAAUACUGAGCAGGCAGAAUGAAGCUGGAGGCACUACACUGCCUGACAUCAAAAUACAGUUGACUCUUCAACAACAUAGAUUUGAACUGUAUAGGUUCACUUAUAUGUGGAUUUUUCCCAUAAUCUAACAAGGAUAGAAUGCAAUAUUCACAAAAGUGAAAACCAUGUAUACAGACGACUGACAUUUUGUAUAUGCGCAUUAUACAGUGCUGACUCUGGGACUUGAAUAUACAUGGCUUUUGGUAUAUACAGGGGGUCUCGGAAGCAAUCCCCCUUGUGUACAAAACAAUGGUAACCAAAUUAGCAUGCGAUGGGCAUAAAACAGACAUAUAGACCAAUGGAACAGAAUAGAGAACCCAGAAGUAAAUACAUUUAUUUACAGACAACCGGUUUUUGACAAAGGUGCCAAGAACACACUUCAGGGAAAGGACACCACGUUGAACACAUCAUGUUGGGAAAACAGGAUAUCCAUUUGCAGAAGAAUGAAACUAGACUAUCUCUCAGCGUAUAAAAAAAUCAACUCAAAAUUUAUUAGAGACUUAAACAUGAGACCUGAAGCAAACAGUACCAGAAGAAAACAGAAGGGAAACCCUUCAGGAUAUGGGUCUAGGUGAAGAUUUUAUGGGUAAGACUUUAUAAGCACAGGCAACAAAAACAAAAAUAGACAAAUGGGACUAUAUCAAACUAAAAACCUACACAUAAAAGGAAAUAAUAAACUAUUAAGAGAUAUCCUGUAGAAUGGGAGAAAAUACUCAUCUGACAAGGGAUUAAUAUCCAGAAUAUACAAGGAAUUCAAACAAUUCAACAGCAAAAAACACCAGAUUAUCUGAUUUAGAAAUGUGCAAAAUAGAACAACUGGCCAACAGGUAUGUGAAAAAAUGCUCAACAUCUCUCAUCACAGAAAUGCAAGUCAAAGCCACAAUGAGAUAUUAUUUCACCUCAGUUAGAAUGGCUGUUUUCAAAAAGACAAAAAAUAACAAAUGCUGGCAAGGAUGCAGAGAAAAGAGAAAUAAUACACUAUUUAUGGGACUAUAAAUUAGUGAGUCAUUAUGGAAAAUACUAUGGUGUUUUGUCAAAAAACCUAAAAGUAGACUAUCAUACAGUUUGACAAUCCACUACCGGGUAUUGACUCAAAGGAAAGGGAAUCAGUAUAUAAAAGAGAUAUUUGCAUUCUCAUGUUUAUUGCAGUACUGUUCACAACAGUUAAGAUAUGGAAUCAACUUAAAUCUCCAUCAGCAGAUGAAUGGAGAAAGAAUGUGGCAUGUAUACACAAUGAAUAUUAUUCAGUCAUAAUAAAGCAUUAAGUCCUGUCAUUCACAGCAACGUGGAUGAACUUGGAGAAUAUGUUAAAUGAAAUUAGGCACAGAAAGAUGGAGGAUUUUGACUGCUCACAAAACAGAGAAAUGAUAUUUGAGUUUAUGAAUACGCUAAUUACCCUGAUUUGAUUAUGAUACAUUAUAUACAUGUAUCACAAUAUCACUGUGUAUCCCAUAAAUAUCUACAAUUAUUACAUGUUGACUAAAAAUAAAAGGACACAAAAGAAAAAGACUCCUAGAAGAAAAACCCACAAGGAGCAUCAUAAUGGUGAAAAGACUAAGAGCUUUUCCUCUAAGAUCAGGAAUAAAGCAAGAUGCCCACUUUAGCCAUUGUAUUAAACACAGUAGUAGACUUUCUAGCCAAAGAAUAUGGAAAAGAAAUAAAGGCAUCAUUUGGAAAGGAAGAAUUAAAAUUAUGUUUGUUCAUAGAUAUGAUCGUAUUUGUACAAAUCCCUGAAAACUCACCACAAAAACUGAAUAAAUUAAUUCAGCAAAGUAGCAAGAUAGUAAGUCAGUACACAAAAUUCAGUUGCAUUUCUUUUUUUUUUUUUUUGAGACAGAGUCUUGCUCUGUCACACAGGCUAGAGUGCAGUGGCGCUAUCUCGGCUCACUGCAAGCUCUGCCUCGCGAGUUCAUGCCAUUCUCCUGCCUCAGCCUCCCAAGUAGGUGGGACUACAGGCACACGCUGCCAUGCCUGGCUAAUUUUUUUGUAUUUUUAGUAGAGAUGGGGUUUCACCAUGUUAGCCAGGAUGGUCUCGAUCUCCUGACCUUGUGAUCUGCCCGCCUCGGCCUCCCAAAGUGCUGGGAUUACAGGCGUGAGCCACUGCGCCCAGCCUUCAGUUGCAUUUCUAUACAUUAAUCACAAACAAUCUGAAAGAGAUAUUAUUAACACAACUCUAUUUACACAACAGCAUCAGGACACUCAGCCUUGGCCACCAAGGACCCUUGUAAUGUUUGCCACUACUGACCUCAGCUGAUGGAGCUGCAAGAAGAGUAUUCCAUUAUAUCCUCACCUGGGCUACAGCUGCUGCACCCUACCUACUUAACACUCCAUCAAGUGAGCAGAUUUCAAUUCAUUGUAACGAGAACAGAAAAACUAAGGAAACAUAGCACCCACCAGAGAAAUACGAUAAUUUUCAGGGACUGACUCCAAAGAAAUUGGGAUAUAUUAAUUGCCUUACAGAAAAUUAAAAACGACUGAUUUAAGGAAGUUCAGUGUGCUACCAGAGAACAGAGAGACAACCUAAUGAAAUCAUUAAUACACAAAAGGAGACAUUCAAUAAAGAAAUAGAAAUCCUAAAAAAAAAAAAACCAAACAUUUUGGAGGUGAAGAAUAUAAUGCAUGAAAUGAAAAGUGAAAUAGAAAGCAUCAGCAUCAGACUUGAUCAAAUAGAAGGAGGAAUUCGUCAACUGGAGGAUAAAUUAUUUGAAAAUAACCAGUAGAGGAGAAAAAUAAAGAAUGAAAAGGUAACAAGGGAAGUUUACAGGAUUUAUGGGACACCAUCAGGAGAGUUAAUGUUCACAUAGGAUUUAUAGAAGGAAAGGAGAGAGGUAAAGGGUAGAAAGUUAAUUCAAAGAAAUAAUGGCUGAAAACUUCCCAUAUCUGGGGCUCUUCCCAGAUUGAUGGACAUCUAGGUACAUGAAGCUCAAAGAAUUACAAUUAGUUUCCAUCUAAAAGAGAUUUCACCUAGAUAUACUGCCAUCAAACCAUAAAAAAUGGAAGACAAGAUAAUUUUGAAAGCGGCAAGAUAAAUAAAGUUCUUACAUCUACAGGAACCUCCAUAAGCUAUCAGUGGAUUUCUGAGCAAAAACUUUCCAGGCCAGGAAACAAUAGGAUUAUAUAUUCAAAGUUCUGAAAGAUAAAAAAAACUGUCAUCUAAGAAUACUUUACACAGCAAAGCUGUCCUUCAGAUAUGAAACAGAUACAAGACUUCCUCAGGUAAACAAAAGUUAAAGGAGUUUAUCAGCAACUACUCUUGCCUUACAAGAUAUGCCAGAGGGAGUUAUUCAGGCUUAAAUGGAAGGAUGCUAAUUAGUAACAUGAAAACAUAUGAAAGUACAAAAUUCACUGAUAAAUAAAUAUAUGGGCAACUUAAGAAUACUCUAAUAGUGUAAUGGUAGUAUAUAAAUCACAUAACUGUAGUAUAAAGGUUAAAAGAAAAAUAAUUAAAAAUUACUAUUGUUUUAAUAAUUUCUCAAUGGAUAUACAAUAUUAAAAGGUGUACCUUGGGGCAUCAAAAAUAAAAUGUAGCAGGGGAAGUAUAAGAUCAAAAUAUUCCCCCCAAACAAAGAGGGAACAAUCCCAACUUAUUUUACAAGGCUAACAUUGCCCUCAUACUAAGGCCGGACAAGGACAAUAUAAGAAAAGAAAAUAACCGGCCAAUAUUUUUUUAUGACUAUACAUUUAAAAAUUUUCAACAAAAUAUGAUCAAACUGAAUUUAACAGCACAUUAAAAAAAUCAUAUAUCACAAACAUGGGAUUUAUCCUUAGUACAUAAGGACAGUUAAGUGUACAUAUACAAGAAAUGGGAUACUUUAAUAAAAUCAAAGAUAAAAAUCAUACAAUCAUUUUGAUAAGUACCAAUAAUGCAGUUCACAUAAUUCAACAUCCUUCCAUGAUAAAAACUGUGAACAAAUUAAGUAUAGAAGGACUGUACUUCAACACAAUAAAGGCCAUAUAUGAAAAGCCCACAGCUAACAUCAUACUCAAUGCUGAAAAGCUGAAUGCCUCUCCUCUAAGAUGAGGAACAAGAAAAAGAUAUUCUCACCACUUCUAUUCAACACCGUACUGGAAGUCCUAGCCAGAGGAAUUGGGCAAGAAAAAUAAAUAAAUACACUCAAAUCAGAAAGAAGGAAGUAAAAUUGUCUCUGUUUGCAGAUGACAUCAUAUAUGUAGAAAAUGCUACAGACUCCACAAAAAAACCUGUUAGAAUAAUCUAAUUCAGUAAAGUGGCCGGAUACAAAAUCAGCAUUCAGAAAUCAUUCGUGUUUCUAUACACUAAUAAUGAACAACCUGAAAAACAAAUUAAGAAAACAAUUUCAUUUAAAAUAGCAUCAAAAAUAAUACAGAGCUCCCAAAUAAAUCCUUUCAUAUAUGAACGCAUGAUUUCUGACAAGCAUACCAUGUCCAUUCAAUGGCGAAUGGAUUCUCUUUUCAACAAAUGGUGGCAGGAAAACUGGAUAUCCUCACAUGAAAGAAUGAAGUCGAGACCUUUACCUAACUCCAUAUACAAAAAUUAACUCAAAGUGGACCACAGACCUAAAUGUAAGACCUAAAACUAUAAAACUCUUAGAAGAAAACAUGGGGCAAAAACUGCAUGACAUUGGGUUUGGUAUUGACUUCAUUUGGAUAUAAUAUGAAAGGCACAGAUAAAAUAAAAAAUAGAGAAAUUAGACUGCAUAACAUUUAGGCAUACAUUUAACCAAGGAGGUAAAAGACCUAGACACUGAAAACUAUGAAACAUUGAAAGAAUUCUAAGAUGACACAAAUAAAUGGAAAGAUAUCUGGUGUUCAUAGAUCAAUAGAAUCAAUAUUGCCGAAAUAGCUAUACUACUCAAAGUGAUCUACAGAUUCAAGGCAAUGCCUAUCAAAUUUCCAGUGACUUUUUUUCACAGAUAUAGACAAAAAAAUCCUAAAAUUUGAAAGAAACUACAAAAGACCUUAAAGAUCUAAAGCAUUCUUGAGCAAUAAGAACAAAGUGAAAGAUAUUACACAUGCUUAUUUUGAAUUAUAUUUCAAAGUUAUAGCAACCAAAACAGCAUGGUACUGAUAUAGAAAUAAACCAAUGGAACAGAAUAGAAAGCACAGAAAUAAACCCACACAUUUAUGGUCAACUAAUCUUUGACAAAGACACCAAGAGUACACAAUGGGGAAAGGGUACUCUCUUGAAUAAAUGGCACUAUGAAACCAGGAUAUCCACAUGCAAAAAAAUGAAAUUGGAACCUUACCCUACACUGUACAGAAAAGUGAAUAAGAUUUAAACGUAUGACCUGAAACCAUAAAACCUAUAAAACAGGGAAAAGCUCCUUGCCAUUGGUUUUUGUGAUAAUUUUUUAGAUGUGACAUCAAAAGCACAAGGAAUAAAAUGCAAAAAUAAAUUAGAACUACAUCAACAAAAAAGUGUCUGCACAACAAAGCAAACAACAAAAUGAAAAGGCAGCACAUGUAGCGGAAGAAAAUAUUUCCAACCAUAUAUCUGAUAAGCUAUUAAUAUCCAAUAUAUAUAAGGAACUCAUAUAACUAAAUACCAAAAAAACUUAAUAACCCAAUUAAUGGCCUGUUAAGAUGUACAAGGGACUGAAUAGACAUUUAUCCAAAGAAGACAUACAGAUGGUCAACAGGUAUAUGAAAAAGGUGUUUAACAUCACUUAUCAUCAGGGAAAUGCAAAUCAAAACCACACUGAGCUAUCACCUCACAACUGUUAGAAUAGCUAUUAUCAAAAAGUCAAAAGAUAGCAAGUGUUGGUGAGGAUGUGGAGAAAAGGUGUCCCUUAUACAUUUUUGUUAGGAAUGUAAAUUGAUACAGUCAUUAUGGAAAACACGAUAGAUCUUCUUUAAAAAAUUAAAAAUGGAACUGCUAUAUGAUCCAGCAGUCUCAGUUCUGGGUAUAUCUAAGGAAAACAAAGUCAGUAUCUUGAAGAGGUAUCUGCACUUGCAUGUUCAUUGUAGUGUUACAGUAGUCAAGAAAUGAACAACAUAGUGUUCAUAGGCAUGGUGGCUUGUACCUGUAAUCCCAGUACUUGGGGGUGGCCAAGGUGAAGGAUAGCUUGAACACAGGAGUUUGAGACCAGCCUGGGAAACAUAGUGAUACCCUAUCUCUACAUAAAAUUUUAAAAAUUAGCUGGGCAUGGGGGUGCAUGACUGUGGUCCCAGGUACUCGGGAGGCUGAGGCAGGAGGAUCACUUGAGCCCAGGAGGUUGAGGCUACAGUGAACUGUGAUUGUGCCACUGUACUCCUGCUGGAUGACAGAUGGAGACCCUGUCUCAAAAAGAAAGAAAGGAAGAAAAUAGUGUGUGUGUGUAUGUGUGUAUCACCAAAUUCCCAAAUAAACACAUCACAUACAUAUACAUACAGACACACACACACACACAUAUAUACACACACACAAUGAAAUAUUCAUCCUUUAAAAAGUAGGAAAUCAUGCAAUUUAUGACAACAUAGAUGAACCUGGGGGAUAUUGUGCUAAGUGAAAUAGCCAGACACAGAAAGACAAAUACUGCACUAUCCCAGUUACAUAUGGAAUUCUAAAAAGCUUGAACUCAGAGAAACAGAGAGUAGAAGGGUGGUUACUAGGGGUCAGGGAGUAGGGGAAAUAGGAAAUGUUGUUGAAGGGUACAAACGUAGAGUUAUCAAAUGAAUAAGUUCUUGACAUAAUGUCCAGAUUGGUGACUAUAGUUAAUAUAUUCUAUACUUGGAAUUUGCUAAGAGAGUAUAGCUUAGGUAUUCUGACCACACACAUGCACACACAUGGCAACUAUGUAAGGUAUAUGUUAAUUGGCUUGAUUGUAGUAAUCAUUUCACAGUAGGUCAAAUAUGUUCUUAAAUAUAUGCACUUUUAAUUUGUCAAUUAUACUUCAAUAAAAGCUGAAAAAAGCAUCAAGAAUAACAAACUUAGGAAUCAACUUUACCAAGGAGGUGAAAGUCUUGUACAAUGAAAAUUACAAAACAAUGCUGAAAGAAAUUAAAGUAGACAUAAAGGGAAAACACAUCCUAUGUUCGUGGACUGGAAGGCCAAUAUUGUUGUCAGUACCACACAAAACAAUCUACAAAUCCAAGGUAAUCCCAAUAAAAAUCCUAAUGAUGUUAUUUGCAGAAAGAAGAAACUCCAUCCUAAAAUUCAUAUGGAAUCUCAAGGGACCUUGAAUAGCUAAAACAUUCUUGAAAAUGAUGAACAACAUUGGAGGACUCAUACUUUCUGAUUUGAAAACUUACUACAGGCCAGGUACAAUGGCUUACACCUGUAAUCUCAGCACUUUUGAAGGCUGAGGUGGGAGGACUGCUGAGCCCAGGAGUUUGAGACCAGCCUGGGGAACAGAGGGAGACCUCAUCUGUACAAAAAAUAAAAUAAUUGGCCAGGUGUGAUGGUACACACUUCUAUUCCCAGCUACUCAAGAAGCUGAUGUGGGAGGAAUGCUUGAGCCUGGGAGAUUGAGGUGGCAGUAAGCAGUGAUAAUGCCACUGUACUCCAGUGUGGGCAACAGAGUAAGAAUGUCUGAAAAACAAACAAAAACCCCAACUUAUUACAAAGCUACAGUAAUCAAAACUAUGUGGUAUUGACAUAAAGAAAGAUGUAGAGACUAAUGGAAUUGAAUAGAGAGCCCAGAAAUAAACCCUUGUAUACAUGAUCAAAUGAUCCCUGAGAAGAGUGCUAAGACCAUUCAAUAGGGAAAGUGCUGUAUUUUCAACAAAUGGUGCCAGGAAAACUGAAGUUGAGACCCUUAUCUAAUACCAUGCAAAAAAAUUAACUCAAGAGAAUGAAGUUGAGAUCCUUACCUAACCAUGGAUAAAAGAGAAUGAAGUUGAGACCCUUACCUAACACUGUGUACAAAAACUUACUCAAAAUGGGUCAAAGUCCUAAAACUAUAAAGUCUUAUAAGGAAACAUAGGGGAAAAACUUUACAUCAUUGGCAGUGCUUCUUGUAUACGACACCAAAGGCACCGGCAAUAAAAGUAAAAAUAGAUAAAUUGUACUUGCACAGGCAAUAAAAGUAAAACUAGAUAAAUUUUAAAAAUUUACAUUGUGUACAUUAAAAGAAUAUCAACUAAGCAAUAAGACAACCUACAGAAUGGGAGAAAAUAUUUGCAAAUCACAUACCUGAUAAGGGAUUAAUGUCCAGAUUAUACAGAGAACUUCUAAAAGUCGUCACCAAAAAACAAUGCACCUGAAAAAUGGGCAAAGGGGCCAGGCAUGGUGGCUCACGCCUGUAAUCCCAGUACUUUGGGAGGCUGAGGCGGGAGGAUCAUGAAGUCAGGAGAUUGAGACCAUCCUGGCUAACAGGGUGAAACCCCGUCUCUACUAAAAAUACAAAAAAUUAGCCAGGCAUGGUGGCGGGCACCUGUAGUCCCAGCUACUCGGGAGGCAGGAGAAUGGUGUGAACCCAGGAGGCGGAGCUUGCAGUAAGCCGAGAUGGCACCACUGCACUCAGCUUGGGCAACAGAGUGAGACUCCAUCUCAAAAAAAAAAAAAAAAAAAAAAAAAGGCAAAGGACUUGGACAGACAUUUCUCCAAAGAAGAUAUACAAAUGGAUAAUAGUACAUGAAAAGUUGUUUAACAUCUCUAGUCAUUAGGAAAUACAAGUCAAAACCACAACCUUACAUACACUCAGAUGACUACUAUUAAAAAAACAAACACAGCCUAGGCAACAUAGUGAGACCCAUCUCUAGUACCAGCUACAUGGGAGGUUAAGGUGGGAGGAUCGCUUAAGCCCAGAGGUCUAGGUUGAGGCUGCAGUGUGCCAUGAUCACGCCACUGCAUUCUAGCCUAAGUGACAGAGCCAGAUCUUGUCUCGAAAAAAUCCCACAUAAACAGAAAAUAACCAGUGCUGGAAGGGACAUGGAGAAAUUGGAAUCCUUGUGCACUGUUAGUGGGAAUGCAAAAUGGUACAGCCUCUGUGUUAAACAGUUUGGUGUUCCUUCAAAAAUUAAAAACAGAAUUAUCUGAUCCAUCAACUCCACCUCUGUGUAUAUACCCAGAAGGAUUAAAAGCAGUCUCAAAGAUAUAUUUGUAUACCCAUGAUUAUAGUGGCAUUAUUUACAACAGUUAAAACAUCAAUGCAACCCAAAUGUCCAUGGAUGAAUGGAUAAGCAAAAUGCAGUAUAUACAUACAAUGUAAUAUUAUUCAGCUUUAAAAAAAAUAGAAAUUCUGACACAUGCCACAACAUGGAUGAACCUCGAGGCCAUUAUGUUAAAUGAAAUACAGCAGUCACAAAAAGAGAAGACCUUAACAGACAUCUCACCAAUGAAGAUAUACAGAUGGCAACUAAGUAUAUGAAAAGAUGCCCCACAUCUUAUGUCAUUAGGGAAAUGGAAAUUAAAACAAGAAAUGUGAUAUAUCUAUACGCUUAUUAGAAUGGCCAAAAUUCAAAACACUGACAAUACCAAAUGCUUGCCAAUAUGUGGGGCAACAGGAACACUCAUCCAUUGCUGGUGGGAAUGCAAAAUGGUACAGCCACUUUGACAUAUACCAUUAAUGGGAAUGUAAAGUGGUGCAGCCCUGGUGGAAAAGAGUUUGGUGGUUCUUCAAAGAAUUAAAAAUGGAAUUAUCAUAGGAUGCAUCAAUUCCACUUCUGAAUGUGUAUAUAUAUCCCCCGAAGAAUCCAGAGUAUAUCGAAAUCAGUGGUUUCUUAUAAACUUAAACAUAUUCUUACCAUGCAAUUCAGCAAUCACAUCCUUGGUAUUUACUCAAAGGAGGUGAAGACUUAUAUUCACAUAAAAAUCUGCACAGAGAUGUUUACAGAAGCUUUAUUUGUGAUUGUUGAAAUUGGAAGCAACCGAGAUGUCCUUCCAUAGAUGAGUAGACAGAUAAACUGUGGUACAUCCAGGCAAUGAAAUAUUAUUCAUCACUAAAUAGAAAUGAGCUAUCAAGCCAUGAAAAGAUAUGGAGGUAAUUAAAAAACAUAUUACUAUGUGAAAUAAGGCAAUCUGAAGAAACUACAUACUGUAUGAUUCCAAUCAUAUUGCAUUUUAGAAAAGGCAAUGCUAUGGAGACAGUAAAAAGUUCAGUGGUUGUCAAGGGUUGUUGAGGAAGAAGGGAUGAAUAGGCAGUGCACAGAGUACUUUUAGGGCAGUGAAAAUGUACAAAUAUAUGUAAAUAUACAGUAUCUGUAUGAUACUAUAAUGGUAGAUACAUGUAUAUUAGUCCGUUCUCACACUGCUAUAAAGAACUACCUGAGACUGGGUAAUUUGUGAGAAAAGAGGUUUAAUUGACUCACAGUUUUGUAGGCUGUACAGUAAGCAUGGCUGGCAGGCCUCAGAAACUUAAAAUCAUGGCGGAAGGCAAAGGAGAAGCAGGCACAUCUUUACCAUGGCAGAAUAGGAGAGGGAAAGAAAGUGAGAUGGGAAGUGCCACACACGUUUAAACAACCAGAUCUCAUGAGAACUCACUAUCAUGAGAACAGCAAAGGGGAAGUUUGCCCCCAUGAUUCAAUCACCUCCCACCAGGCCCCUCCCCUGACACAUGGGGAUUACAGUUCGAGAUGAGAUUUGGGUGGGAACACAGAGCCAAACCAUAUCAACAUGUUACAGAUUUGUAGAAACCCACAGAAUGUACACCCCAACAGUGAGCCCUAAUGUUAACUAGGGACUUUGAUAAUAAUGUGUAAAUGCAGAUUCAUAAGUUGUAACAAACGUGCCACUCUGGUGGGAGAGUUGGCAAUGGGAAAAGCUCUGUAUGUAUGGGUGCAAUGGGUAUAUGGGAAAUCUCUGUACUUACCUCUCAAUUUUGCUGGAACCCUAAAACUGCUCUAAAAAUAUAAAGUCUUUAAAAUACACAUACACACAUACAGACAAUCGAAUAGAGAAUCAUAAUGGUACACUAUCAGAAAAUCAACAAACACAAAAAAGGCAGUAAGGGAGGAAAUGUUGUAUUUAAAAAAUGUAAGGCAAAAAAGAAAAGGCACAAAAUGUCAGAAUUUCUUUUUUAUAAGUAAGUACUUUAAAUGUAAGUCGAUUAAAUUCUCCAAAAAGCAGAGGUUGGCAGAAUGGAUUUAAAAGAAAACCAUCAACCUAUGCUGUUUAUAACAAACUUACUUUUGAUCUAAAGACACAAGUAGGUUGAAAGUGAAAGAAUGAAAAAUGAUAUUUUAUACAAAUGGUAACCUAAAGAAAGCUGGAGGUAAUUAUACUAAUAAAAGAAAUAAACUUGAAUUUAAAAAUUGUUAUAGGAGACAAAGGAGGACAUUACAUACUGAGAAAAUGGCAAAUUACUCAAGACUUUGCAAUUGGAAAUGUAUACACACCAAAAUAUAGAGCCCCAGAAUAUCAGAAAAUAUAUUGACAGAAUUGGAGUGAGAAAGACAGUUCUACAAUAAUACUUAGGGACUUCAAUAACUUACUUUCAGUAAUGGGUAGAGUCAAAGAAGAAAUGAAAACAGAAACUUAAAAAUAUCUUCAGACAAAUGACAGUAGGAACACAACAUACCAAAAGCAAAACAUGCAGCAAAAGCAGUUCUAAGAGGGAAGUUUACAGCAAUAAAUGCCUUGCCUACAUUAAAAAAGAAGAGAUAUCUCAAAUAGCCCAAAAUUGUACCUCAAGGAAUUAGACAAAGAACAAACUAAAGCCAAAGUUAGCAGAAGGAAGUAAUAAAGAUCAGAACAGAGACAAGUUAGAAUAGAAAAACCAUAGGGGAAAAAAGUCAGUAAAACUAAGACUUCAAUUUUUGAAACAAAGAAUUGAUUUUUGAAAAAUAAAAUCAACAAACUCUUGGACUAAGAAAGAGAACAAAAUCAGAAAUGAAAAUGGAGACUAUAUUACAACAGGUACUUCAGAAAUAAAAAGGAUCAUAAGGGACUUUUAUGAACAAUUAUAUCCCAACAAAUUGGAUAACCUAGAGGAAAUGGACAAAUUCCUAGAAAAAAACCAACCUGCUAAGAUUAAAUCAGGAAUAGAAAGCCUGAACAGACCAAUAGCAAAGAGAGCACAGUGGUAAACUAAAGAGCUUCUGCAUAGCAAAAGAAAUUAUCAACAGAGUAAACAGACAACGUAUAGAAUGGGAGAAAAAUAUUUGCAAACUAUUCAUCUGACAAAGGUCCUAUAUCCAGAAUCCAUAAGGAACUUAAACCAAUCAACAAGCAAAAAACAAAUAAUCCAAUUGAAUCGGCAAAGGACAGGAACAUACAUUUCUUAAAAGAAAAUACACAAGUAGCCAAACAAAAAAACAUUCUCAUGAUCACUAAUAAUCAGAAAUGCAAAUCAAAACCAUAAUGAGGCCGGGCGUGGUGGCUCAUGCCUGUAGUCCUAGCACUUCGGGAGGCUGAGGUGCAUGGAUCAUCUGGGGUCAGGCAUUCGAGACCAUCCUGGCCAACAUGGUGAAACCCCAUCUCUACUAAAAACACAAAAAUUAGCCAGGCAUGGUGGUGGUCACCUGUAAUCCCAGCUACUUGGGAGGCUGAGCCAGGAUAAUUGCUUGAACCCGGGAGGUGGAGGAUGCAGUGAGCCGAGAUUGCGCCACUGCACUCCAGCCUGGGAGACAGAGCAAGACUGUUUCUCAAAAAACAAACAAACAAACAAAAAACCAAAAAACAAACAAAAAAACCAAAACAACAACAACAAAAAAACACCAAACCAUAAUGAGAUACCAUCUCACACCAGUCACAACGGCAAUUAUUAAAAAGUCAAAAAAAUAAAAGUUGCUGGGAAGGCUGCAGAGAAAAGGGAACACUUAUACACUGUUGGCAGGAAUACAAAUUAGUUCAGCCACUGUGAAAAGCAGUUUGGAGAUUUCUCAAAUAACUGAAAACAGAACUACCAUUUGACCCAGCAAUCCCAUUACUGGAUAUAUAUUCAAAGGAAAAUAAAUUGUUCUAUCAAAAAGACACAUGCAUUUGUAUGUUCAUCACAGCACUAUCCACAACAGCAAAGACAUGGAAUCCACUUAGAUGCCCAUCAGUGGUGGAUUGGAUAAAGAAAAUGUGGUACAUGUACACCAUGGAAUACUAUGCAGCCAUAAAAAUGAAUGAAUUUGGCCAGGCGCAGUGGCUCUCACCUGUAAUCCCAGCACUUUGGGAAGCCAAGGCGGGUGGAUCACCUGAGGUCAGGAGUUCAAGACCAGCCUAACCAACAUGGAAAAACCCUGUCUCUACUAAAACUACAAAAUUAGCUGGACGUGGUGGCGCAUGCCUCUAAUCCCAGCUACUCAGGAGGCUGAGGCAGGAGAAUCACUUGAACCCGGGAGGCGGAGGCUGCAGUGAGCUGAGAUCGUGCCAUUGCCCUCCAGCCUGGGCAACAAGAGCGAAACUCCGUCUAAAAAAUAAAAAAAUAAAAAAUAAAAUAUAUAUAUAUAUAUAUAUAUAUAUAUAUAUAUAUAUAUAUAUAUGAAUGAAUGAACUUACGUCCUUUGCAGCAAUAUGGAUGCAGCUAGAGGCCACUAUCUUAAGCAAAUUAAUGCAGGAACAGAAAACCAAAUACUGCAUGUUUCCACUUGCAAGUGGAACCUAAACACUGAGUAAACAUGGACAUAAAGAUGAUCAAUAGACACUGGGGACUACUUGGGGGAGGAACAGAGAGGUGGGCUGAAAAACUACCUAUUGGGUACUAUGCUCACUACCUGGGUGAUAGGCUUAUCCACUUAUCCACACUCCAAACCUCAUCAUCAUGCAAUGUACUCAAUAUACCAUGCAACAUACAGACCUGUACAUAUACCCUCUAAAUCCAAAAUAAAAGUUAAAAAAAACCCAAAACCUCAAAGAAAAGCCCAGGACCAGAUAGCUUCAUGACUGAAUACUACCCAAUAUUCAAAGAAUACCAAUACUUCUUAAACUCUUCCAAAAAAAAAAAAAAAUGCAGCUAAAGGGAAUACUUCCAAAAAAAAAUGCAGCUAAAGGGAAUACUUCCUAAUACAUUUUAUGAGGCCAGCAUCACCUUGAUACCCAGGUGAGACAAAGGCAUCACAAGAAAAGGAAACUACAGGCCAACAUAACCCAAGAAUACUGAUGCAAAAAUCCUUAAUAAAAUAUUAGCAGACUAAAUUUAACAACACAUCAAAAAGAUUAUAUAUCCUGUCUAUGUGGAAUUAAUCCCUGGCAUGCAAAUCUCAUUUAAUAUACAUGUAGCAAUCGAUGUGAUACACACUAACAGACUGAAAGAUGAAAACCACAUGAUCAUCUCAAUUGACACACAAAAAGUAUUUGAUGAAGUUGAACAUCCUUUAUUGAUAAAUUCUAACAGUUCCGGUAUAGGAGGAACACUCGUCAAUAUAACGAAUGCCAUUUAUGAAAAGCCCACAGCUAACAUUAUAAUCAAUAAGGGAAAAACAGAAGCUCUUCCACUAUGAACCAGUACAAGGCAAGGAUGCCCACGCUAGCUACUACUACUCAACAUAGUACUGGAAGUACUAGUAAGACCAAACAGACAAGAAAAAGAAAUGCAAGACAUUCAAAUCAGAAAGUAAGAAGUAAUAUUAUCUUUAUAUGAAGAUGACAUGAUCCCACAUAUAGAAAACCCUGAAGACUCUGACAAAGCAACCUGUUAGAACUAAUAAAUGAGUUCAGUAAAGUUGUAGGAUAUAAAAUCAAUAUAAAACAGUAGUUGCAUUUCUAUACACAAAUAAUGACCUGGCCAAAAAAGAAAUCAAGAAAACAAUCCCAUUUAUGAUAGCAUCAAAAAAAUUGCUUAGGAAUAAAUUUAGACAAAAAGAUGAAAGACAUGUACACUGAAAACUAUGAAUUAUUGAUGAAAGAAAUUAAGCAAGAUACAAAUAAAUGGAAAGAUAUCCCAUGCUCAUGAAUCUGAAUAAUAUUGUUAAAAUGUCAAUAAUAUCCAAAUCAAUAUACAGAUUGAAUAAAAUCCCUAUCAAAAUCCCAUGGAAAAUUUUUUUAAAUUCUAAAGUUCAUUUGGAAUAGCAAGAACCUUAAGUAGCCAAUGAAAUUCUGAAAAUUCUGUUCUGAAAAACAAAGUUGGAGACUUCAUACUUUCUGGUUUAUUUUACAAAACUAUUGAUCAAACAGUAUGGUCCUGGCAUAAAAAACAAACAUGUAGACCAGUGCAACAGAAUAGAGAGCCCAGAAAGAAAUUCAAAGAUACAGGAUCAACCAAUUUUCCACAAGAACAUGAAGAAAACAAUGCAGAAAGAUAUCUUGCUCAUAAAUGACGUUAGGAAACCCAGUUUUGUGGCUUGUCCAACCCAUGGCCCACAGACCACAUGUAAGCCCAGGAUGGCUUUAAUGAGGCCCAACACAAAUUUGUAAACUUUCUUAAAACAUUGAGUUUUUUUUGCAUUUUUUUUUAGCCCAUCAGCUGUUGUUAUUGUUAGUGUAUUUUAUGUGUGGCCUAAGACAAUUGUUCUUACAAUGUGGCCCCGGGAAGCCAAAAGAUUUGAUAUCGCUGCCUUACACCAUACAUAGAAAUAAACUCAAAAUGGGUAAAAGACCUAAACAUAAGACCAAAACCCAAAACCAGAAGAAAACAUAGGGGAAAAGCUCGACAUGGCUCUGGCAGUGAUUUUUUGGAGAUCACACCAAAAGCUCAGGCUACAAAAACAAAUAAUUGGUAUACCAUCAAACUAAAAAACUUCUGCACAGGAAUGGAAACAAUCAACAAAAUGAAAAGGCAACCUAUGGAUUAGAAGAAAAUAUUUGCAAACCAUGUAUCUUAUAAGAGGAUAAUAUCCGAAAUUUAUAAGGAAUGCAUACAACUCAGUAACAAGAAAACAGAUAACCCAAUUAAAAAAUGGGCAAUGGACCUGAGUAGACAUUUUUGCAAAGAAGUUAUAAAAAUGGCAAACACAUAUAUGAAAAGACAUUUAACAUCACUAAUCGUCAGGGAAAUGCAAAUCAAAAUUACUAUGCGAUAUCACCUCACACUCAUUAGGAUAGCUAUUAAGUGUUGGCUAGCGUUAGGGAACUCUUGUACAGUGUUGGUGGGACUGUAGAUUGGUGCAGUCAUAAUGAAAAACAGAAUGGUGGCUCCUAAAGAAAUUGAAAAUAUACGAUCAUCUGACCCAGUAAUCCCUCUUCUGGGUAUAUUCCCAAAGAAAAUGAAAUCUCCACCUCAUAAAGAUAUCUGCACUCUUAUAUUCAUUGUGGCAUUAUAUGCAUGAGUCACGAUAUGAAAACUUACAUGUCCAUUGAUGGAUGACUAAACUGUGGUGUGUAUGUCUACAAUGGAAUAUUAUUCCGCAUUAAAAAAGGAGAUCCUGCCACUUGCCACAUGGAUGAAACUGGAAGACAUUAUGCUAAGUUAAAUAAGCCAGAUACAAAUGAAAAGUUUUAAAUAAUCUCACUUAUAUGUAGAAUCUUAAAAAGAAAAAUGUCAAAUAUACAGAGAUAGAAUAAAAUAGUGGUUACCAUGGGCAAGGUGUGGGAGAAGAAAAUGGAAAGAUGUAGGUCAAAGGCUACCAAGUAACAGAUAUAUAGGAUGAACAAGUCUACAGAUCUAAUGUAGAACAUGAGAAUAGUUAGUGUAUUGCAUUUGGAAUUUUUGCCAAUUGAGUAGAUUAUAGCUUUUCUCACUCAUACACACAAAAGAAUAACUGUGAGAUGAUGGAUAUAUUAAUUUGCAUCACUAUGUUAAUGAUUUAACUGUAUAUUUUAUACAUUAAAUAUGCAUAUUUUUUAAAAUUAAAAAAAAACACAACAAGAUAAUGUACAGCCAGAUAGAAGCCCAAUAUGAAAAGAGAGGACUUGAACAAUACCAUAAACCAACUAGACCUACAAACAUAUAUGGACACUCCACCUAACUACACAUUCUUCUCAAGUGCACAUGGAACAUUCCCUAGGAGGGAUGAUAUGUUAGGCCACAAAAGAGUCUCAAUAAAUUUAAAAAUAUAGAAAUCAUACAAAAUAUCUUCUCUAACUACAAUAUAGUGAGGCCAGAAAUCUGUAACAGAAGAAAAACCUAAAAAUUAACAAAUUCAUGGAAAUAAAACUACACACUCUUUAAAAAUUGUGUCAAAGAAGACAUCAGAAGGGAAAUUAUAAAAUACUUUCAAAAAGUGAAAAUGACGACACAACAUACUCAGACUUAUGGGAUGUAGUGAAAGAAGUGCUCAGAGGAAAAAUUAUAGCUGUGAAUGCCCACACUGAAAAAGAAGAAGGAUCCAUAACCUAAUAUUAUACCUUAUGUAACCGGAGAAAGAAGAACGAAGUAAACCUAAAGUUAAAAGAGAGAAUGAAAUAAUAUGUAUGAGUGGAGAUAAAACUGAAUUCGAGCUUAAAUAAACAACAGAGAUAAUUUAACAAAACCAAAAGUUGCUUGUUUUUGAAAAGAUCAAAGUUGAAAACCUUUAACUAGAAUGAGUAAGAAAAAAUUAGAGAAGUUGCACAUAUCUAAAAUCAUAAACAAAAGUAGGAACACAACAAAAAUAAAAACAAAAAUAAGAAAAAAACAAAAGUGGGAAUGAUAUAACUGACCUUAUGGAAAUAAAAAGUGUGAUAAAAGAAUACUAUGAAUAACUGUAUACCAACAAACUAUAUAACCUAGAUAAAAUGGACAAAUUCACAAAAUACUAAUACAGACUAAAACAGAAAUUGAAAUUAUGAGAAGACCCAUAACAAGUAGAAAGUUUGAAUCAGUAACCAAAAACCUUCCAAUGAAGAAAAUGCUACACAGAUGGCGUCACUGUUGAAUUAUACCAAACACUUGAAGAAUUAACACCAAUCCCUCUCAAACUCUUCCAAAAAACAGAGGAGGAGAAAACACUUUGCAAUACAUUCUAUGAGGCCAGUAUUACAUGGAUUCCAAAGCCAGACAAAUAUACCACAAGAAAAGACAAACUAGAUACUAAAAUCUUUUAUUUAACAAAGUACUAGUAAGCCAAAUUCAGCAGCAUAUUAAAAAGGAUUAUAUACCAUGACCAUAUGGAAUUUAUCUCAAGAAUGCAAGGGUGGUUCAGUACAAGAGUACCAAUUAAUGUAAUACACCACAUUAAUAAAAUGAAGGAUAAAAAAUCCAUGCAAUCAUUUCAAUUCACUCAGAACAAGCAUUUGACAAAAUUCUACAACCUUUCAGGAUAAAAACAUGGAACUUUCAAAAUGUGUUAAAGAGGAUUUGUGAAAAAUCCACAGCUAAUAUACUUAAUGAGAAAAAAACUGAAAAAUUUCUCCCAUAACCAAGAAUAAGAUAUGGCUGUAUGCUUUACCCAGUGCUACUGAACAAUGUACUGAAAGUUUUAACCAUGACAAUUAGGCAGAUAAAUAAGCAAACAGGUAAAUGAAUAGCAUCCAAAUUGGAAAGGAAGCAGUAAAACUCUUUAUUCAAUAAUGACAUCUUCUAUCUAGAAAAUCAAAAAAUCCACAAACUAGUAGAGCUAAUAAACAAGUCCAGCAUAAUUGCAGGGUACAUGUUCAACAUUUAUUUAAAAAAAUCAUUUGUGCCUCUAUAUACCAGGAAUGAACAGCCCAAGAAGGAAGUCAGUUUUUAAAAUUCCACUUACAAUAGCAUCAAAAAGAGUAAAAUAGCUAGGAAUAAAUUAAAACGAGAAGGUGAAACACUUCUGCACUAAAGACUACAAAACACUGUUGACAAAAAUUAAAGAAGACUUAAAUAAACAGAACUAUACAUCCUGUGUUCACAGAUUGGAAGAUUGAAUAUUGUUAAGUUGACAAUAUUACCCAGUGAUCUACAGAUUCAAUGCAACCCUUAUCAAAAUCCCAAGGGCCUUUUUAUUUGCAGAAAUGUAAAAACUGAUUUUAAAAUGUAAAUGGAAUUUUCCCAGGGCCCCAAAUAAUCUAAAAUCAUAUUGAAAAAGAAAAAAGUUGGAAGACUCAGGCCUGCCAUUUUCAAAACUUUUACAAAGCUGCAGUAAUCAAAAUAAUGUGGUACUAACACAAUGUGGUCUCUAGGACACACGGAUGGACAUAGAGACCAAUGGAAUAUAAUAGAGAAUGUAGAAAUAAACACUCACAUAUAUGGUCAAUUCACUUUCAACAAAUGUAUCAAGAAUUCAGUGGCAAGAGUAGUCUUUUAACAAAUGGUGCUGGGGCAACUGGAUCCUCAUAUAUCAAAGAAUGAAGUUGGACCCAUACCUCAUAGCCUAUAAAAAUUAUCUCAAAAUGUAUCAGAGACCAAAAAAUAAGAGUUGAAGGCAUAAAUUUGUUAGUAGAAAACAAGAGUAAAUCUUUAUGACUUGAGAUUGGAAAUAAAUUCUUAGAAAUGACACAAAUAACACAAUACUGUAAAUGUACUAAGUGACACUGAAUUGUACAUUUUGAAAUGGUUUCUGUUAUUUAAAAAAUGUAAAGGGUGCAUAGAAGACUAAAAAGCAGCACAGACAGAAUUAUCACCAGAAAAAGAAGGCUCAACAUUAAAUGUCAACAUGGAGAACACGUCAGAAAUAGGUAGUCCAGAGCAGCAGCUAUAGUGGAGGCUCUUACGAAUGACUAAGAUUUGAGGUGGCGCCUCAUAGAAUCACUUCUUGGGGGUAGAUUCGAUUUAUACAGUAGAUGUAUCUCAGAGACAUGGUAGGAAAGCCAAAGAAUGGUGAGCAUAGCUGCCAUCUAGAAACUACCUACACAUGCAAGCGUAACAGAUUGGUUGAAAGGUUAUAGUACAGUCACACUAAGGAAUACUAUGCAGCUUUAGCAAUACAAUGAGAAAGAUCUCUGUGAAGGGAUAUUGAGUGAUUUCUAGGAGAUGUUGUUAGGUAAGAAAAGCAAAGUUCAAAAGGGCGUAUAUAGAAUAGUACUUUUUUGGGAAAUGAGAAAAUAAUCAUGUCUUAUAAAGAGCGAACACACACAAACUGUAAACUAGAAAACACUGAAACCGGUCCCCUAUAAUGGGUAGGGGGAAUUAGGAUGGAAGAGAUAUGGGUGAGAGGAAGAUUUCUCUCAGUAGCUCCUUUUGUUUAGUAUUGACUUUUGGAAGUAUGUUAAUGUUAUAUGUAUUCAAAAAAUAAAAUUAACAAGAUAGGGACCACUUCUGAGAUGGUGGAAUGAGCACCUUGGUAUAACCACUCCCUGAAAAGCAAUGAUAAAACUGGCCAAAGAAAUAUAAAAUUGAAAAGUGCUAAUUAAAGAAAAAAUAUUAAGCCUUCCUAAGAAUAGCAGGGUUAUGAUUUAAUGUGGGGCUGCCAUCUCCCCACCCAAGCUCAGGGGCAUGGUAGGUGUGAGGACCAGCAACAAAGAAGGCUCAUCUGAUUUUGAAUUCCAUAGAAAACCCUAUGCACUAUGUUAAGCAACAGUGAUUUCAGUGGCAAAUAAUUGGAGGCAGCCCACAUCACAGCAACCUAAUGUUCCAAUACUGGUUGGGCAAGCGACAGAUUAAGAAAAAUUUUAAAAGGAAUUCUGGAGAUAUGGAAGUUGUACAUGCUCGCAGGAGAGAUCAGAGAGGUUUCCUGCUAUCUACUUAUCCUUGGCUGACUGUGAGACCUUUUGCAAGCAGACAGUAAAAUACAGGACAGAGUUAUAAAGUGCCUGAACUUUGAAUGUCCCAACCCACACAUAGAUCCCCUCAGCAGAGGGUGGAAGAUUCACUGGCUCAAGAUGUUUAAACAAAUGUCUGACUAAUCAUGGCUUGACCACUAGGUUAUGCUGAUCCAGGAGUGACACCAAUGAAGCCAGGCUUACAAAACAAACAUAAGAUUUAAAACAAACAAAACUGAGCAGAGACACCAGUGGCUGCACACUGCAGGAGAACACAGACUCUGCAGAAUCCAUGCAGAGAAGGCAUACACAAGCGAACAAACAAAUAAACGAGCAACAGAAAUCAUCCCUGGUUAGGAAGAAGAAUUAGAAUCCAGAGUUUCUACAAUAUAUUAUCUAAAAUAAGUUUUUAACAAAAAAAAAUGAGAUAUGCAAAGAAACAGAAAAUUGUGACCCUUAAACAAGAAUAAUGAGCAAUAAAUAGGAAUUAUCUCUGAAGGGCCCCAAAUGUUAGGGCGCGAUUUCAAAAUAAGUAUUAUAACUAUGUUCAAAGAAACAAAAGAAACCACAUUAAAGAAUGCAAGUGUGAUGACAAAGACUCAUCAAAUAGAUAAUAUCAAUAGAGAGAUAGAAAUUGUAAACCAAAUAGAAAUUCUGUAGUUGUGAAAUAUAAUAACUUAGAUGAAAAACUCACUAGUGGGGCUAAGCAAAUUUGACCUAGCGGAAGAAAGAAUCAAUGAACUUGAAUGCAGAUCCAUAAAGAUGAUUCAGACUGAAGAAUAGAAAGAAAAAUAAUGAAGAAAAAUGAAGAGAUACCCAUUGGAUACCAUAAUAUAGUGGUCCCCAACCUUUUUGGCAUGAGGGACCAGUUUUGUGGAAGACAAUUUUUCCACAGCCAGUUGGGGGAGGCUUUAGUUAGAUUCUUAUAUGGAGUGUGAGAUCUAGAUCCCAUACAGAUCUAGAGCUCAACCUAGAUCCCUCACAUGCUCAGUUCACAAUAGGAUUUGCUCUCCUAUGAGAAUCUAAUGCCAUCACUGAUCGGACAGGAGGCAGAGCUCAGGCAGUAAUGCUUGCUUGCCUGCUGCUCACCUCCUGCUGUGUAGCCCAGUUUCUAAUAGGCCACAGACUGGUACCAGUCCAUGGCCCUGGGGUUGGGGACCCCUGUCCUAACAGGAUGUGUAACAAUGUAUGUGUAAUUAAGUUGUAACAUAUAUGUAAUUAAGAGUAGAAAACAUAUGUGGAAUUAAGGAGUAACAACAUAUGUGUUAAUAAGAGUACUCAGAAGGAGAGAAGAGAAUAGGGCAGACAAAAAUAUUUGAGUAGAUUAUUAACCUGAAGCAGAUUGUUUUUGCUUAAGCUGCUGUUGUAACCUCCAGAUUACACUUUAAAAAUGGGGGAAAUCAACUAACAAAGGAAUUAGAAUGGUACUCUAGAACAUAUCUACUCAACAUGCAGAAGGCAGUAAAGGAGGAAGAGAGGAACAGAAGUGAUAUGCGACAUAUAGAAAAUAAAUAACAACAUGGUAGAUAUAAAUCCUUCCAUAUCAAUAAUUGUAUGACAUAUAAGUGAAUUAAAUACUCAAUAAAGGGCAGAGAUUGCCAGGCUGCCUUAAAAGCAGGAUCCAAAUAUAUAUGGUCUACAAGAGUCACACUCUAGAUUCAAAGACAUAGUUGAAAGUAAAAUGAUGGAAAAAGAUGACAUGCAAACAGUAAUAAGAAUGCUAGAGUGACUGUACUAAAAUCAGACAAAAUUGGCUGGGUGCAGUGGCUCACACCUGUAAUCCUAGCAUUUUGGGAGGCUGAGGCAGACAGAUCACUCGAGGUCAGGAGUUCAAGACCAGCCUGGUCAACAUGGUGAAACUCUGUCUGUACUAAAAAUUAGCUGGGUAUGGUGGCAGAUGCCUGUAGUGCCAGCUACUUGGGAUGCUGAGGCAAGAGAACCGCUUGAAUCCAGGAGGCAGAGGUUGCAGUGAGCCAAGGUCACGCCACUGCACUCCAGCCUGGGCAACAGAGUGAGACUCCAUCCCAAAAAUAAAAUAAAAAUAAAUAAAAUCAGACAAAAUAGACUUUAAAAACAAACCAUGUUAUUAGAGAUACUGAGAAGCAUUUUACAAUGACAAAAGGGAAAAUUUAACAGGAAGAAAUAGAAAUCAUAAACAGAAAUCAUAAAGAAAUAAAAAUUUAUAACAGCUAAAAACACAGCCCUAAAGUAUAUGAAAUAAAACUGUCAGAACUGAAGAGAGAAACAGACAAUUGAACAAUAAUAGACAACUCAACAAUAAUAGUACUAACUCUUGUUGAUUUUCUGUCUUGUUGUUCUAUCAAUUAUUCAGAGUGGGUUAUUGAACUAUUACCCAACUACUAUUGUUGGAUGAAAUGGUGGGAGGUGAGGCUAUGUGGCACUCUGCUUAAUACCCUCCCCUGUUCUGGUGUCAGGGAGACAAAUGUGGAGCUGACUUUUCGUCAGAAACAGUGGUACCCAGAAAGUAGUGGGGUAACAGAUGCAAAGUGCUCAAAGUAAAAAAAGAAAGUCAACCAAGAAUACUGUGUCCAGAAAAGUUUCUUUCAAAAAGAAGGCAAAAUAAAAGCAUUCCCAGAUAAACAAAAACAGAAUUCCUUGUUAGCAGACCAGUUUUGUAAGAACUACUAGAGGAAGUUCUUCAGGCAAAAAGCAAGUGCUCCCAGUAAGUUCACAUAUAUCCAAAAGCAAAGAGCAAGGAGGUAAAUAGGAGCAAAGCUGUUCUAGAGUAAGGAAAUACCACCAGUUGGUAACUCAAAUCCAUAAAAACCAAAAAAGUGGAUCAAAUAUGUGAUAUAAGGAGGUUAAUAAAACAGAAACUAGAAAUAUAUACUUGCUCUCCUUUCAGCUUCUUUAAAGAUAGAUCAUUAUAUAAUAUGAUCAUUAUAAUAGUGCAUAAUAAAGAUGUAAUAUAUGUAACAAUAAUACCACAAAAAGUGGUAAAACUGAAUAAACACACACAGGAAUAACUUCUGUAUCUCACCAGGAUUAAUAUAAAUAUGAAGUAAAUUUUGAGACGAUACAUAAGGUAAGCCCUAGAGCAAACACUAAUAACAAAUAGAAUAUUGAAGAAUCAUAAAAGAAAUGAAAAUUUAUAUUAGAAAAUAGUCACUAGAUGGAAAAGAAAGCAGCAAAGGAGAAAUAGAGGAACAAGAAAUAGUACAUAGAAAAUACCAAAAGUAAAACUGUGGAUAUAAAUCUAAUUAUAUCAAUAAUAACAUUAAAUGUGAAUGGAUUAAACAAUCUAAUCAAAGGCAGGAAUUGUCAGACCAGAUUUGAAAAACAGGAUCCAUCUGUAUUCCGUCUAUAUGAGGCACACUUUAGAUGAUAAAUGCCAACUGAAAGUAAAAGGAUGGAAAAAGAUAUAUCAUGUUAAGCAGCAACCAUAAGUAACCUGAAGUGCUAUAAUAAAGUCAAAGGAGACUUAAUUAAGAAUGUUACUGAAGUUAAACAUGAAUAUCUCAUAAUGACAAAAUGUCAAUUCAUGAGAAGAUACAAUGAUUAUAAACAUAUAUUCACCUAACAAUAGAGAACUAAAACAUAUGAAGCAAAAACUGACAGAACUGAACAGAGAAAUAGCCAAUUCAACAAUAGUAGUUGGAGACUUCAACACUCCACUUUCAAUAAUGUGUAGUACAAGAAAGAAGAUCAAUAAAGAAACAGAAGAUGAGCAACACCAUAAACCAACUAGACUCAAAAGGUAAUUAUAGAACACUUCGCCCAACAACCAACAUUGAAUAUACAGUAUUUUCAAGUGCACAUGAGACAUUCUCCAAGAAGGACCAUAUGCUAAGUCACGAAACAAACCUGCAUAAAUUUAAAAGGAUUGAAAUAAUACAAGGUAUUUUUUUCUGAAUAUAAUGGAAUAAAAGUAGAACUCAGUAGCAAAGAAAUUAGGGAAACAUACACAUGUGGAAAUUAAACAACACUACAUUCUUAAGUAAUCAAUGGGUGAAAGAAUUCACAAGGGAAAUGGAAUGUACUUUGAGAUUAAUGAAAAUGAAGAUACAACAUAACAGAACUUAUGGGAUACAUUUAAAGCAGUGUAAAAAUGGAAUUUUAUAGCUGUGAAGGCCUAUAUCAAAAAAUAAGGCUUCAGAUCAAUAAGCCAACUCUCCACCUCAGGAAACUAGAAAAAGAAGAGCAAACUAAACCUAAAGCAAGUAGAAAAAAACAAAAUAAUAAAUAUUAGAGUAGAAAUAAAAUAUAGAAUAUAAAAAUAAUAAAGUCAACAAAUCCAAAAUUUGGUUCUUUGAAAUUAACAAACCUUUGAUAGAUUGGUAAGAGAGAGGGAGAGGGAGAAGAAAAGAAGGGGAGGAAGAAACGGGAGGAGGAAAGACAGAGAGGGAAGUGCAUGAGGCAAAGGGGGAGAGAGAAAACUCAAAUUACUAAAAUCAGAAAUGAAUGACAGUUUUACAAAUUAAAGGAAAAAAAAGAGGCUAGCUGCAGGGGCUCACACCUGUAAUCCCAGCACUUUGGGAGACCAAGGCAGGAGAAUUGCUUGUGGCCAGGAGUUCAAGAAUAGCAUGUGCAACAAAGCAAGACCCUAUCUCUACAAAAUAUUUUUUGAAAAACAGCUGGUGUUGUGGUGCACACCUGUCGUAGGCUAAGGGGCAAGGAUCACCUGAGACUAGGAGAUCGAGGUUACAGUGAGCUAUGAUCACACCACUCUAUUCCAGCCUGGGCAACAGAGAGAGACUCUGUUUCUCAAAAAGAAAAGGAAAAAGGAAUGAAUGAGGGAAGUAUACUACCAACCUGACAGAAAUAAAAAGGAUUAUGAAGGAACACGAUGAACAAUUUUGUGCCAAUAAAUUAUACAACUUAGAUGAAAUUGACAAAUUCCUAGAAAGAUGAAAACUAUGAAAACUGACUA